UGGCUUUAAAAUGUCCCGCCCAAAUGGUCGGAUUUGUUUAGUCAACUAAGCCUAUUUACCACAAUAAUCACGAUUAAGCUUUUCCUGGCAUUCCAAGAGAGAAAGCAACACAAGAAGCCGCGAUGGCGCUCGCGAAUCAAAGAAACACACGGACACACAUGAAAGGAAAUUUCUUCACUGCGACGCGAUCACUUCUUGCUCGCGGGCGGACUGUAGGUCGCGCUGCCUUUGCCGCUGUUGUAGUACGUCGAUCCAUUGGGAUUGGAGUAGUAGUAGGAUCCGUUCUGGUUGGAAUAGUGGUACGCGUUGGGAUUUGGAGCCGAGGCGCCAUAAUCGCGAGAGCAGUAGUGAUUUCCCUGCGAGUUCGUCCCAGAGCCCUUGUAGGAGUAGCCCUUCUCGCCCGAUCCAGACAUUGUAGCAAGCGCGCCUGCGAGAAAGGCGAGAGAACAAGGAGGAGAAUCGAAGCGAUCGAGAGAUAGAACCCUACCUCGAAAACCGAAAAAGCCCACGGAAAGAAUGGCACAAAACCCUCUUUGCUUGGUGAUCUAUAAAUGCCUGCUGACGGCGGUUUUAUUCCACGUGGCGGUUCGUUACUCUGCCACGUGGACACUUGGGAAUUUACGGUCACAACGAAGAACUUCCAGUUCUUCGAGAUAAAUAUCUCAUAUUUACAAACUGCUGCCUGUAAAAAUUUCUUGUGCUACGCGAAGACUGGAGCGCUGGAGGAAGACGACGAUGGCGUCUUGUUGUUUGAUUCUUCUUUUCCCCACCAAGUAGCCAGCGUCAAUCCCAUCACUGCCAUUAUCACCACCGAGCAAGCCGGAGGAACUGCUUGAGUGUCGCCCAAAAACUGGGUGGCCAGGAGCAUUGCUAGCGUCGAGCUUUGCAUUCCAGUGCAAAGUGACAGUGUUCUUGACACCUUGUGAUUUUGCCUGAGAUACAGAACAAAAAGGAACUCGAAGUAAGGAUUAACGGAACUAGAAGCGAAGAACUUUAGUUACCUCCAGAAGGGAAGUCUCGAGAUGAAAUAGCCAAGACCAAAGCCAAGGGCGUGGAAUACCAGCACCGGGAACAAAAGCUGGAGACCUUCCAUUGAUAUGAUCUUCGACUGGUUGAGAGCCAGAGGGCUUCCAAUGCACAGCGACGUGCAAACCAUGGCAACCAGCGGCAUCACGGGACGUAUUCUGUCCACCAGCGGCUUUGCGUAAGUGUUGAGAGUAAGUCCUGUUAGAACCGGAAGAAAGACCACCUGAAACAAGGAAAGGAUUUGAGUUACAUGAAAUCUCGAGGCCAUAGUUUACCUGGAGAAUUGAUUUCGCCAUGGCUACGACGUCCACUGGCACAACUGAGCCAAUCAAAAACUGCGUAAGAAAAGGCGUGACGAUCACAGAAGUAAUCGUGCUGAUGCUCGUAAGCAUGAUGCUGAGAGCUAUGUCGCCUUCACUUAAGUAAGCCGCGUAGCUGGAGAGCUGAGCACCCGCAACACAAGCCGUGAGAAUGAGACCCGCGGCAAACGAAGGAGGAACACCGAAGCCUCUCACUACCAAAAACCCGAGUAUUGGCUUCAUCACGUAUUGAAGCACGUAGCCCAUGCAUAGAGGCAAAGGCCUGAAUCGAAAAAAGAAAAGGAAGAACUUCUCAGUGCAAAAAAACAUGGACUGUAAGCUCACCUCUGCAAAACAAUCGCGAAGUCGGAUAUGGAAAGCUGGACGCCUAUAGAGAGCAUGAUUCCUCCAAGUGCCGGAGCAUAGUGCUCUUUUCUGACCCUGAAAGUUCAUCAAAGUUUAUAUCCAAUCUCAGUGAUAAAACCUUGAUUUGGAUGGACAGAAGAAAGCUAGAUCAAUCUCAAAAGUUCUCGGUGAGAAAUUCUCUUACGUACCACGCAAAUGUAGCUGGGUGGAUGAGCGCCGCGGCAGCAGUGGCCACCACAAUGUAUGGCAGCAUUUUGGAGAGCGACUUGGCUAUGUCGAUCUUCCUUCCUUGGCUGUCCCUCUUAACCUUCAAGCCAAAAGACGCCAGGGGAUUCUCUUCUCUAGAAACCUUUCGGGAGCUAUGAUCCUUGGGAGCUUUGGAGAAUACCUGGAGCUUCCCGAUGCUACUCGCGCUGUUGUUCGCGCUGCUGGCUGGAUGAAAAUCGCCAAAUUUCGAGAACAUCCCGUCCUCUGCCUCGCUGUGCUCGAUGCGAGAGCAAUAGCGCCUCCAUCGCCUUCGACCUGGAGCGGCAUUCGAAAUAUCUAUCAUCCAUCGCUGCGAAACCAAAUUGCCUCACACAUACCUCUGGGAAGGACGCUUCUCGAGCACAAAACCCUGAGAGACAAGAAUGUGCCCUGCGAGACCGCGCUACUCGUCGUCAGCACGAAUGCCAUCUCCGGCGAGGCAAAAUAGCGGCGUCAACACCGCCAGAGCUUCAUUCCGGGAUAAAAUCCGUGAGAACCGACCGAGCGCCGCGCCCGCCCUCUUUGCCUAUCUAUCGCGCCUCACCGCCAUAGCUAAAAGCUCACCCUAUCAAUUCAUUCACAAAGCGGGGAACAAAGAAAUUCCAUUGCGAGUACGGUCGGAUGCCAUAAACGUACGAAAGAGAGGAUAUUUAACGAUAUUCCUAGAGAUAUAUGCUGUCCUUUAGGUCAUUCAAAUGGCGCUCUUUCUUGUUGCUAAAUAGACACAGUUGAGCCACAAGGCUCGAUUGGUGGUGUGGAGACCACUGUCGUGGAAGAAGCUCAUUCCUACACGCUGCUUUAAUAGUUAUAUUCGAACUCGUGCAUAGAAUCUAUACCAUAGAGAUUUAAACAAUUGAGCAAACCAUAGAGCAUGGUAAAACUUAAUUAGCUCCGUGACAUCCUUCAUGACUUGCUAAUGUAGCAGGCACUCUUUUCCCCGGCCUUAAUUAUUUUCUUCGAUUGUAAUGAACACUUUGCUAGAGCUUUGUGGCCGCGUCUCUAAUAAACAAGAGCUCACUAGUGUAAGCAGACAAAGAAAAACUGGGAGUUACCUUUGUUUUUCUACUGCCCGUACAAGCUUAUUCCAUGCGUCGUCAGUGGUGCUUUUCUUCACGCUGGGAAUGCUUGCUUUGGCGCUAGAGCACGCAAUGCACAGGCUGCCGCUUUGACGCGUACAGGAUUCUGGAAGACAGAGUUACCUCAGUACGGACUAAGAAAUUUGCGAGCACAAUCUUGCCUUUCCCAUGAUGUUAAUGACAGGAGCGCCUUUGUCAUCUUGCUGGUGGUAGCAACCUGUAAAUUAUAUGAAUCGACAUGUUUAAUAAGACAGCCAUCAUACCAAGUGUCAAAUCCGGGUACUCUGCAGCCAAUUGGGAGAAAGGCUUCGCUAUUUCUACCUGUAAACAAAGGGCAUAGGAGAUCGAAACAAAAGCUUGUGAAAUACGUACUUUAGACAAUUGUGUUUCGAGCCGUAUCAAGCAAAAGGGGUGCUGGGUAGCGAGAAAGUCGCGGCUUUUGCUCAGCUCCAAAAGGCACUGGUAUUGUAGCUUGAAGUCCCUAAUCGUUGGACCCGACAGUACAAACACGUUUCGACAUUUUAUCUGAGAAGUACAUGGUAAGGAGAAAAAAAAGCACGUAAUCGAGAGAAUUUACCACUGGGAUAGAGAGCCGUUUGUGAUGCAAAAGCUCAGUGAUUCCUUCUGGCAAUCUCGCCAUCUGCUUUUAAAAAUUCUUUGGGACCCAGAAAAAUAAAAAGAAAACCACACUACCGCAUUCUGAUCCCCUGCACAGUUGUCUCCAACAAGUUGACGAAGAUACUCUUCAAACUCUUCAUCGGGAGCCUGAUUUCUAAAAAUAAGAUCAAGUUCACGUAUACAUUCUAAACUUACCAAUCGAACUCCAAAAGCUUUUGCCACGCCGCCCAGGGUUACAUCACAAUGCAAAGGUCCAACACCCCCACAAACUAAGACCUGUCAGCUUCAAUGUUACUCCUGUACACAAAUAAAAUAUUGGAGCUUACAAUAUCGCUCGCACUUGAUCUCUGUUCGAUUUCCUCGGCAACUGCGUCAAUCUGCCUCGAAAAAUAGCUUAGCUCACCUCUACAUGCUAAAACACGGGAACCACUUACAUCAUUUGGAACGACUGCACGACGCGUAACAGUCCAGCCUAGAGAGAAAAGCUCUUUGCUUAAGAAUGUACCCAUCUGGUCGUCCAUAUCUCCUCUCCUGUAAUACUGAAGUUAAACCAGCACAAAGCUCCAGGAGGAAAAACUUACAAGAGCUCAUCACCGACUGACAAGACAGAUGCAGCAUAUAAAGUAUCAACGUUGGCCUGAGUAUCCGUAUUUUCAACACCAUUUGCAACACCCGGGCCCUGAUAGUCCUUUCUCGGUUGCUUUCUCAACCGUCCCGCCCUUUCAAGCCUUCCAUCGCGCAAUAAGUAAGCUGGCUUGUAAGCCUUCUUUCUCGACAAUCCUAACUCAGGGCAAUCUUUUUCCACCGAAGAAUCGAUAUACAAUGCUUCAUUCGGAACGGUAUCAUGUACGCUUCCAAUAGAUGUGUACCUGGUAUAACCACGAACUAUAUUAACCAGAGUCAGAUGAAGAUUCGUUCGAUGGAAGUGCCCUCACCCUUGAUCAUAUAAUUUACAGUAAGGAACUUUGCAAGCCAGUAAAAAUGCCCAUACGUCUCUGAAAAGUACAAAUAGUGGUGGCAUUUCGUGUGAGUCUAAAAAUCGUACCUGUAAGACCAAUCUAGGAUUGGAUUCACGCGCAUGAACGGCGGCCAGCCAGUAGAACUUGGUGAGAACUGCUCUUGCCCCACCUACACAAAAUAAACAAACGAAACGUUUUGCAUCAAUCAGUCGAGAUACCACGAAACAUACUGCAUUCGGAUCGCCAAUUCUCGUGCCUAAGAAUAUAGCCUUAAUAGGCUUGUUUUUUAAUAGAGCUUCCAAACCUGACUUGAAGUCUUGCCUUAAAACUUCAAGCUCUAAGUUAUAUCUGGAAACACAAAUGCAAAGUUAAACACAAAGUUAGAAGCAAGAGAAAAAAAAAAAGGAAAAUCGCGUACUCUUGUGCUGUCUCGUAUGUGAAGGAAUCAAUCUCUGGGAAAGCAUCGGGACCUUCGAAAUAAAUCGUUCGAAUCCGAUCUUCAGCAUCUGCCGGCAGUGACAAUUUAGACUUCAAAGCUGCACAGCCAGCUCUUAAAAGAUGAAGAAGAACCUAAACCAGACAGAGAAAGAUAUAAGAUUGACCUCUUAUCAGCUCUUUUGGUAUUUGUAUCUCUAUCUCAAGAAUCUAACGCUAGAAAACACAAACGAAUUCCACACAGUCCCACCAUACCGUCGAGUCUUUUCCCCCAUUGAAGCUAAAUGCGACCUCAUCCGGCCUGGAAAAACCAAAAUCCCAGCUCAAAACCCCUCAAUCUCUCCAAAAUCAGCCGAAGCACCUGUAGAGCGCCAGCGUUCGAUCGAUCACAAACAUCGCGUGCUUGUACUUGGCCUGGAGCCUCCGAUCGCAGCUCGCGUCCACAGCCCGGCAAAUCUCCAUCCCUGUAGCUCCCAAGAGCCCUAAACAGGAGAACCCAUAAUAAACACAAGGGGUUUUUUUUGGAGCAACGAAUAUUCCCAUAGACGUGAUCGACGAUUCGCAUAUCCCUGGGUGCGCCUACAAUAUUCCCCGCGUCAACAGGCUCGGCUUCGCAGACCUGAAUUUAAACGCCCGCCGGGGCUAUACCGUAGCUCGAGCCUGAGGCUCGGUAGCCCAGGCCUGGGCCCUUGUUUGCUGGAGUUCUUUCUUCCCUUCCUCCAUUCUGCUGAAAGCGCUUGGCUAUGGCGUGCGCUUUCUCGACUCGACGCCAGGGUUUCUCGUCGCGACAGGGGGCUCGAGCUAGCGCGUGGGGUGUUGGAGGGCUGGAUCGUCUUCGGCGCCGCGAGAGCUCGCUGUUGACUCAAGAAUCGCGGGGAGGAAUGAAAUUUCCAGGUUCUGCUCGAGCAUUGCUUCUUGCCUAGGUGAUCCGGCGGUCCUAGAUCAGCAGUAGGAGUGGUAAUCGUCCAUAUUUCGUGCGCGUCGAUGAUGCUGCAACCCAAGAACUCGCCGUCGAGCGUUGUGGCGGCAGCGCCGGUAGCUCCACAGGUCCCCAGCAGCCCAGCGGCAGCGGGGGAUUUGGUUUGCUUCUCCACACCUCCUCCAGCGGCGGCGGUGCCAUCAACGCCAGCAGCGGCACUAGCAAACAAUGUAGCAAGCACUCCAGCGGCAUCCAGCGGCAACGUCGCGUCCGUUAAGCAGAGGCUCCGAUGGACUCCCGAGCUCCAUGACCGCUUCAUGGAAGCCGUGAACCAGCUUGGUGGCUCUGACAGUGAGUACUAGGACCACAGUCCAUUUCUUUCUUUGAUUCUUUCGCUUCUAAGAGCUAAUGUUCUAUUGUUGGUUUGUUUUUUUUCUUGCAGAGGCUACUCCCAAAGGUGUUCUUGGGCUGAUGGGCGUUCAAGGACUCACAAUUUACCACAUCAAAAGUCAUUUACAGGCAAGGAUCUUAAAUUUGUUGUUGCCAGUUCUGAUGGAGACGUGAUUGUUUCUAUAGAAGUUUCGGCUCGCCAAGUAUCUUCCUGACACUUUGGGCGAUGGUAAGCUACUACGAGUCCUGUCGCCAGAGCUUUGUCUUUACGUUCUUUUUCUUUCUUCUGUGUCACAGGCGAACUCGAGAAAGGGAGGGACCUCGAGGCAGAUUCACGGUACUCUCCUAAAGUUUUUUCCAUUCUUUGCUUGUCUAGUACUAUAUAUUUGUUUUUCCCCGUCCAGUGGCAGGCAACUUAGCGAGGCAUUGCGAAUGCAAAUGGAAGUUCAAAAGCGACUGCAUGAACAGCUCGAGGUAAUCAAACGGUUGACGUCUUUGUGGAUCUUUCUCAAAACAUGUUCUUUUACUUCUCGACAGGUGCAAAGACACUUGCAGCUUCGGAUCGAGGCACAGGGGAAAUACCUGCAAAGGAUACUCGAGGAGCAGCAGAAGAUGAACAAGCUCUUGCGUGGCGACGAUGGCCUCCCCCUCUCGCCGAUCAAACUAGACGCGGAUCCAGACCCGGAGCCAGACCCCGCGAUCGACCUCACGGACGACAGUGCAGAGGACGAGGAGCACAAGCCAACAACAGCGGAUGUAAUUCUAGUCGACGAGGAGAAGCUAGCAGGAGGAUCAUUGGCAGCAGCAGCGGUAGACAGUGGAGAAGAACCUCAUGCAAAGAGGAAGAAGGUGGACGAUCUUCAACACUCGCAGCACAAGGACAAUGGCGCGGAGGGCGAUGCGAAGGAGAAUGGCCGCUGACGAGAUAAGCUUCUCUUCCAUCCUUUUUUUUUUCCUUCUCUCGGGCUCCACACAAAACACUGACUCUACUUACAGCGAUUGAAUUUUAACUCUUAAAAGACACAGCGUUGCUAGCAGCAAAAAGUGUACCACUACAUAGAAUAUAUAUCGAAAAGGAGAGAUUGACAAUGUAUGAGUUGCUCCUCGCAAUUGUUCUCCACGACAUAAAUGCUUUGUGAAGCAAGCUAGUGCUGUUGCUUAUGCUGCCUAGUGCAGAUGGACAGUAGCUUCACCAGUGUUCAAGUGUUCAAGUUCUCCGAUAGCAGUUGUAAUCUUUAGCAACAAGCAGGCUUCUUAAAUGAUUUUUAAGGUGGAUUUCUAGAGAUUCAAAUGCUUUUUGAUUAUUUGUUUCAUCCCUCUUUUACCUUAACCUUUUAUUCUCCGUAGAAUUGUUUAAUAAUUUAAAGAACAGUAGGAUUAAAACCUAAUUCAACAAAAGCAAAAAUUGUGAUUGAAAAUUUCUUAAUUAACUAUUUGUAUCCUAAAUAAGUUAGAUUUUGUUUAUAUUCACAAUUUUAAAUAUUAAUUAUUAAACUAUUCAUGUUUUUUAGUGUUAUUUAGAGUGAUAUUACUAAAAUGUUCAAAUGUUAUAAAUGAUAGUAUUAGUUUUUAUUGGGGAUGCUUGUGCAAAUUUGCAAUUAUACAAAAUUAAUAGUAGUAACAAUUAUAAAAGUUUAAUUAUCUCAAAAGUUGAGGUAUAUAAAUAUUUGUAAAUCUUUAUAAAAUGAAAAUCUUAAAGCCUACCAUAUCCUUUAAAAUGUUUCUUGUGAUAUAUUAAUAUAUAUGAUGCUAUUGUUGUGUUAGCUAGCCUUAUGAAUAUUUGCAAUAUAAUUUUUUGUGCUUCACUUUCCAGUAAACGAAACGAAGUGAUUUGCAAUCCCAAAACUUAUUGUGUUGAGCUAAUAGAUUAUGGAUGUCUUUGAUGGCAUCAUCAAAUCAAAAUCCAAAAUUGGGAGAGAUUUUAAAUUCUAUUUAAUGCCAAGAGACUGAAUAUUUUUUAUGUGAAUAACUUUUUUUAAUGCUUUAUGAAUAAAAUAAUCAACUUUACCUAAAAAUAUUCUUUUCUAUAAAGUAUUAUACUUUUUGAAUAGUUUAGGUCAAAAUUAACUUUUAUAAUUUAGUUUUAAUAGUAUUUAUAAAUUGUCAAGACCCUCAACAAGAUCAAGACUGGAAAAUGCUAAAGACAAAGAGAAAAUGCUAGUGAAAACAAAGAACAGGCCUUAGACUGGUGUUGAUUCAGAUUGUGGAGAAAUGGAACAAGGCUAACCUAUAUAUACUAUAGGUUGAUGAAGCUCCACCACUCUUGGAUCGAGGACGGCCUAAAUACAGCUGAGGUCGAGGAGGCGCCACAUCAUCAUCAGGAAUGUGGCUCGAGACUUAGGAAUCGGGAAGUGUCUCGAGACUUAGGAAUCGGGAAGUGUCUCGAGAGUCAGGAAUAGGGAAGUGUCUCGAGAGUCAGGAAUGUGGUCUGCAGGUCAGGAAUCCGGCGAGAGUCAGGAAUGUGGCAAGAAUUGAGGGAUUCCUGAUAGCACCCCCUCCUCAAGAACGAGUGGAACGAGGAUGUGAAUGAGAACGAAGAGGAGGAUGAGAUGAGCGGCGAGGGAUGGGAGAGGGAGAAAAAAAAUGAGGACUGGGAUGAGAAGGAUAGCGGCGGUGGAAGUCCUGAACAAGGUCAGGAGAAUGAAUUAGGUUGUCCGCAGGUUCCCAAGUGCGUUCCUCAGGUCCGUAACCCUUCCAGUCCACUAGAUAGUAGAGUUUAGACUGUGAAAUCUUGGAAUCAAGGAUGUCCUGAACCUCGUACUCAGACCCAUCCUCGAGCUGCACUGGUGGAGGCGGAGGAAUGACUCGAUUUGGAAUAGGACUGGGAAUAUAAGGCUCAAGGAGAGAGGAGUGAAAAACAGGGUGAAUUUGAUAUGAGGAGGGAAGUGCAAGGUGAUAAGUGACAGGAUUAAUGAUGGCAGUGAUAGGGAAAGGACCAAGGCGUUUGAAAUCGAGUUUUGGACAGGGCCUGGUGGUGGAGAUAUUUCGCCUGAGGAGCCAGACUUUAUCCCCGAUAUUGUAAGGGGGACAAUCCUGACGAUGGACAUUGGCAAAUGUUUUAUGAGAUUCCUGAGCACGAUGGAGGUGGAAGGAGAUAGAGUUGUGGAUUUCCUGGAGGUUGGAGAUAAAUGCCUCAGAGCGGGGAUUUGAACGAGAGGAUUCAGAUGGAGAAGGAAGUGAGAGAUUGAAUCGGGGAUUUCGGCCAGAGUUCGCAAAGAAGGGGGAAACUCGAAGAGAGGAGUGAACAGAGUUGUUAUAGGAAAACUCAGCAAGGGGAAGGAUAUCGAACCAGUUAUCCUGAUGAUAGUUGAUGAAGCACCUCAAGAAUUGUUCCAACGUCUGAAUCGUUCGCUCGGACUGCCCAUCAGUUUGAGGAUGAUAUGCCGAAGAGAGGUUGGCCUUCACUCCAAGCAGCUCCAAAAACCGUUGCUAGAAAUGAGAGAUGAACUGAGGCCCCCGAUCCGAAACCACAUCUGUAGGAAUCCCAUGAAGUCGGAAAAUUUCCCUGAAUACCAGUUUUGCCAUGUCCUCGCCCGAAAACUCCUUGGAACAUGGCAAGAAGUGCGCCAUCUUUGUGAAGCGAUCCACCACGACUAAAAUGCUGUUGAAGCCUCCAGAACUCGGAAGAUCACUCAAGAAAUUCAUGGAGAUGGAUUCCCAAGGACCUGAAGGGACCGGAAGGGAACAAAGCAAACCUGAAGGAAGGUUGUGAGGUACCUUAUUCUAGGCACAAGUGUCACAGGAGGUAACAAAAGCUUUGAUGUAGUUGUCCAUGUGAGGCCACCAAAAGUCCCGUGCAACUAGCUCAUAGGUUUUCGCAAUGCCAAAGUGACCAGCAGUCGGGCUAUCGUGGCACGCCAUCAGGACCAACCUUCGAGCAUCACCUUCAGGAACGUAAAGCUGCUCCCCACGGUACAAUAAGCCAUCUAAGAACUCGAACUCGUCAAAUCGCCGGCAGUCGGGAGUCACUGGGUGUCUAGCUUGAAGAUGGGGGAAAAUGUCGCUAGCGAGAUCAUCGGAUUGAAGAUUGUUUCUGAUUGCAUCCAUCAAGGAGGAGUCCUGAGGGGCCAGGGAAAUUGCCAUAACUUGAAGCCGAUCAGGACCGAGGAUAACUUGAUCCUGUUGAUCGAAGGCAGGAUUACCAGGCCUGAGACUGAGAUAGGAGCGCCUUGAAAGAGCAUCAGGAAGGCCUUGAAACUUUCCAGGUCUGUACUUGAUAACAAAGUCAAACCGACUCAGGAAUUGUGCCCACCUUGCUUGACGACGGCUUAAAACUUGGGAAGUGGCAAAGUACUCGAGAUUUUUGUGAUCCGUCCAGACUGUUGUUUGAUGGCUCGCCCCCUCCAAAAAACGGCGCCACUCUCCAAAGGAAUCCACGAUAGCAAGGAGCUCCUUGUCGUGGAUUUCGUAAUUGAUCUCCGCAGGCUGGAAUUUCCGAGAAUGGAAAGCGACCAGAUGAAGUUCGUGAUCCGCUCCAAGUUGAGACAGCACAGCACCAAUGGCAAAGUCGGAGGCGUCAGCCUCGAUGAAGAAAGGUUGUGAGGAAUCAGCAUGGAUCAAGACAGGAGCAGAACUGAAGGCCGCCUUGAGUGUGUCGAAGGCCUGCUGGGCAGCAGCAGACCAAGAGAAGGGAACAUCCUUGCGAGUGAGAUGUGUGAGAGGAAGGACAAUGUCAGAGUAGUGAUCAAUGAAUUUGCGGUAGAAGUUGGCGAAGCCAAGGAAAACCUGAACGUCCGACAUUGAUUGUGGAGGCUCCCAUUCGAGAAUAGUCUUGACUUUAGCAGGAUCCAUCGUGAUACCCUUAGGAGUGACAAUGUACCCAAGGAACUCCACAGACUGCUGAUCAAAGGAACAUUUCUCAAGCUUUGCGUAUAGGCCGUGUUCUCGCAGCUUCGCUAGCACCUUGCGAACAUGUUCGUCAUGCUCCUCCUGAGUUUUUGAGUAGAUGAGGAUGUCAUCGAGGUAGACGAUCACCAUCUGAUCAAGAAACUCCCGAAAAACAUCGUUUGCCAUGUGUUGGAAAACCGCUGGAGCAUUUGUCAAGCCAAAUGGCAUGACAGUGUACUCGAAGUGGCCAUAGCGGGUUCGGAACGCAAUCUUCCAUUCAUCACCAGGCCGGAUCCGGAUCAGGUUGUAUGCUCCACGGAGGUCGAUCUUGGUGAAGAAACGGGCACCGCUGAGGCGUUCCAACAGGUCCGAGAUCAGGGUCAGCGGAUAACGGUUCCGAACAGUCACCUUGUUCAAACCUCGGUAGUCGAUGACUAGCCGCAAGCUCCCAUCCUUCUUCUUGACAAAGAAGACAGGCGCUCCAACCGGGGACUGCGAAUGCUGAAUGUAGCCCGAGGCAAGGUUCUCAUCCACGUACUCUUUGAGGGCCUUAAGCUCGGACGGGGAUAACCCGUAGAUAGGCCCCCACAGAGGUGACGCUCCUUCCUGUAAAUCAAUGGGACAAUCAUAAGGCCGAUGAACAGGAAGUACACUAGCUUUUUUCUUGUCAAACACAUCCCCAAAAUCAUGAUACUUCUCAGGAAGACUGACAGGAGAAACAUGCAAAGCAAAAAGAAAAAGAGGUUCUUCAUGAAGGAGUUCCAGAAGAUGGAGACACAAAAUGCCCGCCGAUGCCUUCAACCCUCAGAUCCCGUAUGGUAGGAGAAAGAGGAACGUGAUAUCGGGCAGCAAAGUCCGUGUCCAUGAAGCAGGAAGUUGCACCCGAGUCCAGUAGCGCCAAAGCCUUGAGUCCUGAUUGUCCGGUGAAAGAAAGGAGAUAUGGGACGCGGAAGUUGCGGGAAUUGGUGGUGGCUUUGAUGAAAGGUGGUGAGGAGCUUGAUAAGGAAGAAAAGUGAUUUUUAUUUGGGGAGUCCAAACAGACAGCUCCUACUCUGUUUGGACAGGGUCGUUUCCCAACUGCAACAGAAGUGGACUUUGAGGCAGAGUGAACUCGAGCAAUCGGGGAGGCUUCCUGGGACACACAGCUGCUUUGUGAUUAGGAUCAGCACAGUAGAGGCAAAGAUUAUGAGAUAUUCGACGUUGCCUCUCAGCAGGACUCAACUUCCCUCUAAUGAGUUGGGGAGUACCAGAAAUAUCCAUCGGGACCGGAGCAGUAGGUUCAGGACUAUGCCCCGAAGACUCAAGCUGGGAUUCCUGAGUCUGGGACGGAAAAACAGCGGCGCGGCGACUUUCCUGACGACGUUCAAAGAGACGAUUGUCACAUCGAACAGCUUUGUUGAUGGCGUCCGACAGGUCCUUGGGAUCCUCCAUGGUGAGCAACAAAUCCUUGACACCGUUGUUGAGGCCGAAACGAAAUUGGUCAAUCAGGGCCUGCUCAUGCCACUGAGUGUCCAAGGCAAGGAGUUGGAACUCUGCAGCGUAGAUCGAGGCAGGACGAGACCCCUAAGAGAGACGUCUCAUCUUUGUGGUAGCAGCCCGAACCCGAUCCGUCUCGCCAAAACAUGCCUCGAGCUUCUCUUUGAACAAUUGAAGAUCCAUCAGCUCCAGAACCACAACCCCUUUCAUGCUCUUCUCCAGAAGAGGAGAAAACCAUGACAAAGCUGCACCCUUGAGCAACGUCCCAAUCGCGCCGAUUUGAGACUCGGGAGUGGGGUAUCGCCGAUGUUGAAGUGCAAAGAUCAGCUCCAUUUGGUUCAAAAAUCCACGAAGCUCCGAACGCUUGCCUGAAAAUUUCGCCGGGAAACUCACCUUCGGUUCAGGAACUUUGCUGGAUCCUUGAGCCGAAAGUGAAGCAAGCUCCUGCUGCAUGCGAAGAAGGGUCGCCUUCAGCUCGGUAUUCUCAGACUGGAUUUUUGCAAGGACUUCGGCAAAGAAAUCAAGAUGGCUUGGAGACUCCAUUGGCAAGAAGAAAGAAAAGAAAAGGGGGAAAAAGACAAAGGCAAUUAAAUAAUCAAAACGAGCUAAAAGAAAAGCAAAAAACACAAUCUGAAUCAAAUUGUCAAGACCCUCAACAAGAUCAAGACUGGAAAAUGCUAAAGACAAAGAGAAAAUGCUAGUGAAAACAAAGAAGAAGCCUUAGACUGGUGUUGAUUCAGAUUGUGGAGAAAUGGAACAAGGCUAACCUAUAUAUACUAUAGGUUGAUGAAGCUCCACCACUCUUGGAUCGAGGACGGCCUAAAUACAGCUGAGGUCGAGGAGGCGCCACAUCAUCAUCAGGAAUGUGGCUCAAGACUCAGGAAUCGGGAAGUGUCUCGAGACUCAGGAAUCGGGAAGUGUCUCGAGAGUCAGGAAUAGGGAAGUGUCUCGAGAGUCAGGAAUGUGGUCUACAGGUCAGGAAUCCGGCGAGAGUCAGGAAUGUGGCAAGAAUUGGGGGAUUCCUGAUAUAAAUAUAAUAAAAAAACUAUAUUCUGUACUCAACAUUAAGUGAUGGUAUAUCAAAUGUGGAUUGACUUAAUUUUAGAAAUGUGUAGAAUCAUGAUUAAAUCUUUAAGUGUUAAUACAAAAAUAUUAAACAACUUUAAUAAUAAAAGUAUAUAUUAUAUUUUUAUAUGUAGCCUUAGCUAUUUACAAUAUAGCUCAUUAUCAAAAAAAAAACUAUGAUAAUGUAUGAAGUAUUUAAUUGAACAAUAAUAUUUUAAAAUCUUUUUACUAAUUGCAAAUAUAGUUUAUUAGAAUGUAACUUUCUCAUGAACGUUUUACUCAAAAAAUAAUAUCCAGCCUAAGUAACAAAAGCAUUACACAUCUAUAAAAAUUUGACAACUAUGAAGUAAUUAAGCAAAAGGUGCAACAUAAUACUAUGGAAUAUAAAAUUUAAAUUUAUAGUUUCUAUAAAAUAUAUAUAUACAAAUAUUUAUUUUUUUGAUUGGAUAUGGGUAGUUAUAUAUUAAUGUUCCUAAACACUUAUUGUUUUAUUUUCUGAGUAAAACCUAUCAUCAAUUAAUGUCUUGUAGUAAUUAUUCUCUUUUAUUUGAUAAAAUCAUAAUAAUUUAUCCCAAGUAAAAAUAUAAUUUAAAUAUAUAACAUAUUUUUAAUAAUAUGAAAUUCAUUUUUACUUUUUUUCUUUUUCAGUUAUUUUCUAAAUAUAUUCAUAUUUCUGAAUAAUAAUUUGUAUAUAAUCUUUUUAUGAAUUAAUAUUUAUUCUUACUUAUGCCUAGGAAUAUAUUUGUUCUAAAUAUUUAUAUUAUCAAGUUUACAAGAAUUGAUUUUUAUAUUCUUCUAGCAUUUUCUAGACAUUAUUCUCUCAAUCAAAGUGGAAUACAAUAUUUGUUGUUUUGAUACUAUUCCAAUUUAAUUUUUGAUAUAUUAAAAAAUCAAAAUAGUAUUUUGCUUGGCAAAUGCUAGCCUAAACUUUCUGAGUCAUCGGAUCCAGCCAAUUGCAAUUGUCCAAUGGAGGGUAAUUGUGUGAUAAGUGUCAUAUACAAUGUGUUAACUAUGACUGUGCUUAUCACCUGUUAAGUGAAUUGGUUUUGUUUUGUAAUUUUUUUCUAGGGUUUAUGAAAUGGCGAAACAGCCCCUGCCGCUGCAUGAUCCAAAUCUGAGGUGUUGUGUUAACGCUGUUGGAACAAGCCAUGUCCUAGUAUUGUUUGUGUCAAGAUCUAAUCGAUUUGUCCAUGCUUUCUUCUAAUGUCUUCCAUUUUACUUUCUUUUCUUCUUCUAGAACGCUUCAACUCUUGGUGUCUUUUCUUGCUGUUUUCAUUCUUUUUUUAAUUUGGUUUUUGCAAUAGAACGCUUCAACUCUUGGUGUCUUUUCUUGCUGUUUUCAUUCUUUUUUUUUUUUUCCUCUAGAUUGGAGCUCGCUCGAUGCAUUGAUGCAUUGCAGAUGCUUCGUGUGCCGCCAACGUUGCAUGCUUACAAACUUGUAACAAUCGACCACCAAGUGCCUUGAGAUUUUGUGCAGUUAUUUGGAAUCUAGAGGGGAUUUUAGGGCUUCUUUGUGUAUGGGGAGGAGGCGACUGGAGCUGUUGCCGGGGUUGCCACCGUCGUGUUUGAUACCAGUUUCUUCAACGCUUGAGUCGCCCAAGGAUACCAUGAAGACGCAGGAGUGCCGAAGUCUGUUUGCUUCGCUCGAAGAAGUCCGAGACACUUCAAGGCACCCAGGAGAGAGAGGAACCGGAUCCGAGAGGAGGCGGAGAAAGAGGCUGUCGACAGAGCCCAGAGGAGUGUACAAUCAGUCCCUGGCGCGAUUGAUAUGGAAAAACAUGACCAGGCUGUGGUUCUUUUCUCUCCUUUGCAAGCAGCAUUUCUUCACAUUGAACUCCAGCCGACAAUGGUCGAAAUCGUUUCGUUCAUCAGUACAAGAGCACUGCCAAUGCUUUGCUCACCAUCGCGUGAUUAGAGGUCUGAUUUAUAACAUACAAUCGAUUGUAAGAGUCUGUUAGGUGUGAAGCAUUCAUUGUGGAAGAAAAUAUGCAACACAGCUAGAGCAAUUGUUCAUAAUCAUCUUACAGCUUUGAUCUAGAAAGAUAUUGGGCAAGCUGCUUGGUAUGGGCAAUGGUGAAUGGCAAGGUGUUGGGAAUGGUGAGGAUUUAGGCUAUGAGGAUAUUGUGAAUUGUUUUGGAUCAGGCUUAAUAUUUGCUAUCCACAGAUAGUGAACAUCACAAAUGAUGCUAGAACAGUUGCAUGGAUUUUAAUGUUGCUCUAGAGACAUCAAUCUUUUAUUGAUAAUGUGAGGAUAAAAAAAAAGUUUUGUUAACUAGGCAGCUUAUGCUGGGCAAGUGCUAGUACAAUAAUAUAUUUUUAAAAUUUUUUUAGUUAUUCCAUACUUUACAUACAUUGAUAUUUUUUAUUUAUUUCUUUUUACUAUUAAUUUCUGAAUAUCAAAUAAUUUUUAAAAAAACUUCUAAUGGAUUUACCACAUUAAACAUUUGAUAGUAAAAAAAUCUUUUAAUAAUUAAUAUAAAUUGUAAGUAAUGACAGAAAUAGUAACACACACACACAUAAGGUUUUGUUUCAACCAAUAGUUAUUUAGCACAACUUUGAGUAUAUAUUAGGUGUUGUGAGAGAAGAAAAAAAUUUAACACAUGUAACAUGCACAUUUAUGAGAGAAUCAAAAUAAUGCUCCUUGCUCCUUCAAUUCCAUUCCCACUAAACAAGGCCACUUUAUGAUCUUUGCCAACAAGGCAACUUAUGCUAGUAUAUGUAUAUAAAAUAUAUAUUAACCACCAAAGUUUAUAUUUGUUGUUUAUUUGAUCAACUAUCUGUUAUCAUCUGUAUUUUUGUUGGAAAAAGUUUUAUUAAACAUCUUAUCUGUGGUUUUAAUUAGAAUUGCAAAAUUAUACAUUUCAAGAACAUUAAUAUCAUGGAUGAGGUUGAAGGCACUUAUAUUUGGAUAAGGUGGGGAGGUGUAUGCAUGAGCCUAGAUGAGAAGAGAUUAGUGUAGUGAUGAUAGUGCAUUCCAUCUGGCAUGGAGUGCUCUCCUUGAUAUCCACAUGAUCAAAUACUGAGGUAUAUUUGCAGAAAAUGUUUGUAUAGAAGAAUCCAGAAAUAUUUACCAACACUCAUAUUUGCAUUCCAUGGAACUUCCAGCCAAAACUCUUGCCAAAAACCUUGUCUAAAACCUCCACCUUCAGAAGGAUAGUAGCAUCGUCAUACAGAGUCCAAGUCUGGGCUUUUGGCGAGACAACCAUGGGCAGCCACCACAAACUUUUGCUCGUGUCCUCUCUCAGGUUACCCAAUGGAAGAACAGCCCCUUCCUCAAUUAAAGGCAAAAAAUUCGGUGAGACAAACAAAACCCUUUAAUUGAUUUUACUCUAUCAAUGCUUCUUGGUUUAAAUUUGGGGGUUUGGGUUGUUUAAUUAGGGUUUGGGUUGGGUUAAUUAGGGUACACGCGGCUGCCACCUCAGACUUGUGCUUCAAUAAAAGUAUCCGGAGGAGCCCUAGAUUUUAGAUUUUGGCGCGAAUUCGAGCUCCUCCUAGGGCUUGGUGUGGGCGGCGGGAUGUCUCUUCUUGUCAAGAAGCUCUCGGCGUGCGCCAUUUUGCCGUCCAGAGGCUCGGCGCUCGCCGCCGGCUACGAUCUCUCCAGGUUUGGGCAGCUCUCGCGUUCAUUCUCGCGUUCUAAAGCUUCGAUUUUGGGGGCGGCAGUGCGUAUGAUAGCGUUGUUCCUGCCAGAGGCAAGGCGCUUAUUCAAACCGAUCUCUCGGUGGCAAUUCCGGAAGGAACUUAUGGCCGCAUUGGUGAGCAAAUCCUCUCCUCUUCAUGAAAAGAGAGAUCAAGGCUAAAGCUUUUUUUCUUUCGCAGCUCCACGCUCUGGACUGGCAUGGAAGCACUCGAUCGACGUGGGCGCUGGUGUUAUAGACGCCGACUAUCGCGGACCACUCGGUGUCAUCCUUUUCAAUCACUCUGACACGGAGUUUUCGAUCAAAGCCGGGGAUCGGAUUGCUCAGCUCAUACUGGAGAAGAUUGUCACUCCUCCCGUCCUGGAAGUCGAGGACCUGGAUCUCACCGUCAGGGGAGCUGGAGGAUUUGGCUCAACCGGAGUGACCCUCAAAGUUGUUGCUUGAGAAUCGAUCGAACACUAGUAAGUUUCUCUUUGCAAAUUCUUGUAGCUCAAGGGAUGUUUGCAAAGUUCGUUCUUUUGUCUAUUGACAGAUGAGAUGAAGCGAAGAUAAAUGGUUUCUUUAUUUCCCUGGUUUGGCCCCUGUGAGCUUUUGUAGAAGGAUCUCCUCGUAGCCCGGAUCGUAGUACUGGACAACUUCUUUGGGAUAGCUCGCAUUCACGCCGUCCACCAGGCUCUUCAUCUCUGGAUCCGGCCCGAAAUUCAUCUGGAGCAGCUUCUCGAGGCCACCCGACGUGACAAACUUCGUUCUUCCCUCGGGAUCGUUUGGAAGAACCUUUGCGAGCUGCGCUAUCACGUACUUCAAUGUCUCGAUUGGCAACGGUGGCCCCUGGAGAGAGAGCUCAAGAACAGUAAGCUGAGAGGAAAUAGUUUUUCAAACAGCGUUACCUGGAGAAGAGAAUCUAAAGCCGGGAUGUGAGUCAGGUGCUCUAUGAUCGCCUUAAGAGCUCUCUUGCACUUGCUACGAAGAUCUUCGCUGCUUGUCUCGGCCAAAAGUCGGGUGACCAGCUGGGGAAGAACUCCGGCUUCAGCAACGGCGAGCGAGUGAACCGGACUGUGCCUUCCGACUUGUCCGAGUGACCACGCACUGGCACUUUGGAUGUGAUCUUCCUGCUCGUUGGUGAGAGCGUCUACCAGUGGCUUUACACCGUUGGACUGGAUGAUGGUUGUAGACAAAGACUCGUCAAAAGCCGCAAUAUAUCCCAAAGCCAUGAUAGCUGCGCAUAAACGAAGAAAACUUUAUUGUAUACGGACAACAAGCCUUCAAGAUUGCGAGAACAAAGCUUGUACCUGGUAAGCGAUCAUUGCCUAAACAUUCGGCACAGUUAUCCACUAGUGCUGCAACACCACCAGUGGAGACGAUGAACUGUGCCAUUUGCGGUGUGUGCUUGGCAACUUCUCUCACGACAAUGGCCGCUUGCCGUCUUACUUGGUGAUCUAUAUCUUUUAGACACAAAAACAGCUUGGGGAACAGCUCCGCUGCAAGUAAAACCUGUAAGAAACCGCAGGGUUGCUGUUGAGAUCUCAACUGGUCUGUGAUAAAGAUCGUACCUCAGCAAGAUCGACCGUGUGUCUAGCGAUUUGGCCCAGGCACAAGCAAACCUGAGAGAUAAAACAAAGCGACGAGACGCGCUUAGACUAAAAACUGAAGAGAAGAGUUCUUACCCGACAUUAGCUGCGAUGAAGAAAAGCCUUAGAAGCAAAUUACCUGCCUCUUGAUCUUGGCGUCAAUAUGUACAACGAGAGGAGCAAUGAAAGGAACAGUGCCAGCAUCAACCACGAGCUGUGCAAGCUCCGGUGCAUGCUUUGCGAUGUCUGCAAGAGCAGCCAAGGCUGCACGUUUUAAUAUAAGUUCCGGCUCCUGACAGCAUACAAAAGAAGAAGAAGAAAACUUUACGGCAUAUGUGGAAGCGAAAUAGAUGAAUAUCGCACCUGGACACAAAGAACAAGGAGCGGGACGGCACCGGCAUCCACAACAGCCCGCGCAAGCUUCACGUUGUGUUUGGCAACAUUACCCACUGCUGUAGCUCCAACUUCCUUCACCGAAGGAUCAAACUCCUCGAGGCAUGAGACCAAGUCCUCCAAGGCACCGGAUUCAACGACUGCCUGUGCAAGCUCGGCAUUGUGUUUAGCCACGGAGCGUAACACAGAUGCCGAUGCCUUCUUGCUAUAUCUAUUUUGGUUCCUGGCAAGAGCAGAAAAGAAAAACACUUCUUAGUUCUUGGUAAGAAGAAAAGAAGCUCACACUAGAAAGACUAGCAGCUAGAAAACUCAGCAAGAGAAGUGGAAGACUGAGAAGAAACCGAGGAAAAAACUUACUUCAAGGACAAGACAAGCUGGCGCAAGAAAAAAAAAAUCUUAGUUUUUAGAAGGAUAAGAAGAAAAGAUCACGCUUGAAAAACUUAGAAAAAUCAGCAAAAAAACUGAAAAGAAAACUUACUUCAGGGAGAAGACAAGCUGGACCAGGAGAUGAUGCGACACAACCUCCUCCGCCAUGUCUUCGCUCCAAUUGGCGAGCCUUCCCAAUCCCAGCGCCGAGGUUUGCUGGAUUGUGGGAAUGGAAUCGAUCAACAAGGGGCGCAGCAACUCCAGGACCCCAGCCGUGUGAAGAAUCUCCACAUUCUAGAAGCCACAAGGCGAAACGCGUGAUCUGGGUGCCCCAAAUCAGGGUUUGAUGGAUCCGAGCGCCAAACCUGUGCAUUGUUGGACAACUCAGCUACCGUCUGGGAGAAUGUGAUACGCGCCUUCUGAUACGACUCGAGAAUCUGGAGGACUUGCCUCGUCGUCGCCAUAGCCGCACAGCCAAUCUAAAGCAUCGCGCCGCGAUUCGAAUUUCCCCCCUGCGGGCAAAUGAAAAUAGUUAGGGCAACUUUAUAGGGCUGAACUGGAAGCGGACACGUGGAAGAAGAUUAUCUUAAGAAAAUCGAUUAGCAUAACAAGCUCUUUUAGCUCAGUUGGUCAGAGCACCCGUUUAGUAAGCGGGAGGUCCUGAGUUCGACUCUCAGAGAGAGCAAAACACAUUCAUUGACGUUUUAGGGUUUUGGGUUUGGCGCGAACCCUAGGAGCUCGGUGAGCGAUGGCGGUAAGCGAUCGAUGGUGCUGCGCGUUUUCUCGGCUGAUUCUCUGUCUCUUUUUCUCGAUUUCUUGCAGACCGUGCCUGUGAAUCCCAAGCCGUUUCUCAAUGAGCUCACGGGGAAGGCCGUCAUGGUUAAGCUCAAGUGGGGCAUGGAGUACAAAGGUAAACUCGCAAUGCUGUUUCUUCUCAUUGUCUUCUAACACAAAAAAAUCUGGUCUUUCGCGUGGCAGGGUUCUUGAUCUCGGUCGAUUCUUACAUGAAUUUGCAGGUUUGCUCUAGCUUUGGUCUAUCUUUGGUAGGAUUGAAAUUCGUGUUUCUUUCUUCGCAGCUGGGCAAUACGGAAGAGUUCAUCGAUGGGCAGUUCGCAGGAAAUCUGGGCGAAGUGCUGAUAAGGUUUUUCCAAGUUUUUUUCUCCUCUCGGAGGUUUGAUCGUUUUGCUUCUACCAGGUGUAACAAUGUACUCUAUCUUCGUGGAAUUCCGGAAGAGGAAGAAGGCUCUCAGUGAGAAUGGAAGAUGGUGUAAGAAUUUUGCUUGACAAAAUUUUUCCAAGCUAAUCUUUUUUGUUCCAAGUGUUUGAUUGUUUCCAAAGGCAAAUCUGCAUGGGCAGGGUUUUAGGGGUUCUUGGAUAUUUUUUGCCCUUUAGGAGGAGUGAUGCGAUGGAAGAAUUUUGCUUGACAAUAUCUUUCCAAGCUGGGGUUUUAGGGGUUCUUGGAUAUUUUUUGCCCUUUAGGGUCUGUUAGGGUUUAUGCGCGAAUGGAAGGCGCGACGAGCGGCGGCCAUGGAGACGAGGCGGCCGCCACGGCCGCCGCUGCCAGUGCCGCUCUCGUCGCCGCGCGCGUUGUCAAGCCCCAGGAGGUGCUGGAAUCGCUCAUGAACGACGGCACAUUCGACGCUCUGCGCGGCAAGGUCACGGCCCAGCUCAAGAGCAAUGUAAGAGCAAAAUUCUCGUGAAAUUUCGUGCUCAGCUACCGAAAUUCUCCAGGAAGAUCUCAAGCGAUACACGCAAUCGCUGGUGGAGAAGAGCCAGUGUCUCAACAGCCCCGGGGCGGACAACAAAACGCGGCGGGAGCUCUUUGAUGCGCUGCGCCGCGAGCUCGAGUAAGUGAAUCGUUUCCAUCUUUGCCGAUAGGAAGAAGAAGAAGAGAAUUAAAACCUUUCAUCUCCAGGGGUCCUGUUCUUGACAGAGCUUCCAAGGCAGCAUGGGAGCUAAUCCUCUCGAAAGAGAACUUGGGCAAGGAGAUUGCCGAGGCUGUGGACUCGACUUACAGCAAACUUAGCACGCAAACGAUCGAGGAAGAGAGAGCGCCAUCGCUAGAGAGACCCAGCAACGAUCAUGGCACCGAGAAGAGCACGCCAUCGCAGGAAAGAGGUGAUUUGCCAGGAGCUAGCAAAGGAUUGAAUGGGCAUGGUGGCUACUACCACCCGGGAGGAAGCGCUUCGAAUGGCCGGGAGGGGAGCUUGAAAAGGGAUAGAGAUCAAUUGGAAAGGAUGGACAGGGAGCGAAGCAGCCGGAUGCCGCUGGAGCGAGAGAGCUCCCGGGACAGGGAUCGAGAGUUCUCGCGGGAUAGAGAUUAUCCCGAGAAGACGAGGAGCAGGGAUAGAGAUCUAUACGAGCGCCGGGACGCUGCGAGAGAAAGAGAGAGGGAGCAGCACCACUUUGGUGGUGGAAGAUCUUCCUAUGAUGGCCAGGAUUUCUCCAGGGACAGGGAAUUCUCGCGGGAGCACAGUGGAAGAGAUUUCUAUGAUUCGAGGAGAAUGCCGCGAUCGUGAAGAACACACUGCUGGAGUAGUGUUGUAAGGCUUGGCAAGCUUGGCUAUGGUGGACGUUUAAAUUAUGCUAAUGAGAUUGAAUUGGUUUAUCCAUUUGUAUGGUGCAAUCCAACGCAUGCGAUCGUUCCACGUGUGCUAAUUGGCAUCCGACGGUAAAGAGAGGUUUUUGCCUUAAAAAGCUUGUCACGCGAGCGUCAUGGAAUGCUCGUUGUGCGGAGCUCCGGCUAGGGUUUAUCACGCGCCAAGAGGGAGAAUGCUCCCGGCAUAGUCGAGUAUGGCGAAAUCUCUGCUCGCAUUGGGCUCCAGGCACCAGCGCCGGCUCUAUUCGUCGACUUCGAAGCUCACGCAUCAUGGAAUCCAUGUCUUGCAGUGCCCGGUAUGUGAUUAUCGCGAGUAUUUCCAGGAUCUUCAACGCGAUUGUUCCAGGAUCAAGUGGGAAUUGUUGCAAGGAUAUCGGAUUGCAUCUCUGGUCACGGCGCGAAUAUCACAAGCACGGACAUUUUCGUGGACAUGGACUCCCGCGAUGAGCCGGUUUUCAAUUCACGAUGGUAAGAAGCAACAAUCUCUUUUUGUCCUUUCGUGAAAUAGGCAGGAGGAAAAUUUUCUAGUGGCCGCCAUCACCCAGUCAGUUUUCUUUUAAUCCCGUGCAGUGGACGCGGGAGGAAAUGGAGAGCUCGUUCCAAGAGAUUGGGAAGCAAUUCGUAGGGAAAUCAGUCGUCAGUGUUCCUGGGAUGGACAGGGAUAUGAAAGUCGCCGUCUUCGCAUCUUUGCAGGUAAAUCAAUCGUUUUUUUCGUGCUAUAAUAGAAGAACACGUUCUAAAACUCAAUGCGUUCCAGGAUCACUGCUUGGUAAAUCUGCUCCAUCGCUGGCAGGAUGGAAUGCUUCCAGUGCAAAUAGAAUGCGUGAUAAGGUAAGCUCGCAAGCGUGAGAAUCGAUUCGCUAUCGUGUUUUACGUGGUUUUUUCGACAGUAACCAUGCUCGAGGGGAAGAUACUCACAUAUGGCGCUUCUUAAAGCGUCACGGCAUUCCAUAUCACUAUCUUCCAACAACGAAGGCGAACAAAAGGGAGGACGAUAUAUUGGAGCUUGUUUCCGGGACAGAUUUCCUGGUUUUGGCUCGAUACAUGCAGGUAUUUCCAAACUCUCUCAAGCGAAGAGAUCAGGUUUUUCUUUUCUGUCAGGCAGAUUCUCUCUGGUGAUUUCAUAGCUCGCUAUGGGAAGGACAUCAUCAACAUCCAUCACGGAUUGCUACCAUCUUUCAAGGGCGCCAAUCCAUACAGACAGGUACCAAAAGUCUCCUUCAUUCUUCCACUCGUUUACGCUUUGUUCUCGCAGGCUUACGAAGCUGGAGUGAAGCUGAUCGGUGCCACAACGCACUUUGUGUGCGAGGAACUGGACGCUGGACCCAUAAUCGAGCAGAUGGUAAGCACCAAGUUGCUAGAUUUGCCUGCCAGAGUUUGCGAGUUUCCUGACAGUGAAUCGAUGAUCAAACAACGCAGGUGGAGCGCGUCUCACACCGUGACACACUGGAAAGCUUCGCCAUGAAAUCCGAGAGCCUCGAGAGACAGUGCCUGGAUCGAGCGAUCAAGUACUACUGCGAGCAGCGCAUCUUGCGAUACGGUCGAGACAAAACAAAGACGAUUGUCUUUGCGUGAUAGAAGAAAACGAUAAUAAAGACGCCAAAAUGGCUUCUUGUAUAGCAUUUGGAUUCUCUGCCUCGAGCGUCUCGCGGAGAAACCCUAUCGCGCGGGCCAUCGCGUCGCCCAGCCGGCGCCAGGUGAUCGCAUUCCAUCUCGGCCUUGGUCUGUGCUGCCGCGGAGGAUUGGAGCUAGUUGCCGCCUUAGCAGCUGACGGAUCGACCGGCCGUGUCGCAGCGAUGAUUCCACCGGUAGCGCCUCGGCUCAAGCAGGAAUUCGAGCUCUUCGGCGAUUCUCGGGAGGAUUUCUACUUCUGGCUUAGGGAUGACAAGCGCGCGGAUCAAAAGGUACUGGAUCAUCUCAAGGCCGAGAAUGCGUACACGGAGCAAGUCAUGGCAGGCAAGCCUCAUACAUUGCAUUGCUCGCGCUUAUCUUCUUCUUUGCGCAGACACGAAGAAGUUCGAGGAAGAAAUCUUCGCGGAGAUGAAAGGGAGAAUCAAAGAGGAUGAUACGAGUGUUCCUGUGAGAGAUGGGCCUUACUUCUACUAUGAGAAGGAAUUGGAAGGCAAGCAGUACAAAGUCCACUGCCGGAGGAAAAUUCCUGGAGGUGAAGGCCCGGGCUCGAUUGACGAGAUCAUGGACGAGGCUCAAGAGGAGGAAGUUCUUCUAGACGAGAACGAGAAAGCUGCCUCUCACAAGUUCUACACUGUGGGGGAUGUCCAAGUAAGUUUUCUUUUCUAGCUUUUAUUUGGUUUGUAUAUGCGUGGUUUCUUCAGGUGAGUCCAGACCACACGAGAUUGGCUUACACCGAAGACACUAAGGGGGAUGAGAUUUUUAGCAUCUACGUCGUGGACAUUGCGAGCAAACAGCUGCUGGGACCUGUUCUUAAGGGUGCUGUCGAAGAUAUCAAAUGGAUUGACAACGAGUCGAUAGCUUACGUGACUCAGGAUGAUAUUCAUCGCCCUUACAAGGUCUGUCAAAUGCUUUUCUUCUGUGUCUUUCUCAUUGGAGACUCGUGCUUUUGCUAGGCUUGGUAUCACAAGAUUGGAAAUGAACAAUCGGAGGACGUUUGUCUCUACCACGAAGAAGAUGAGACGUGCUUUCUGGACAUGGGUUCGUCGGAAAGCAAAGAGUAUACGUUUGUGCACUCCGGGACUAAGACGACGUCUUUUGUUCUCUAUCUGGAGAACAAGAGUCCGGUGAAGGAGUUGAAGUACUUGACGCCACGCGUUGAAGGUGUUGAUACGAGUGCAAGUCAUAGAGGAGAGCACUUCUUUAUCACCAAGAGGACAGAUGAUACUUACAACUCCGAGCUUUAUGUGUGUCCUGUCAAUGACGUUUCGUCCACAACGCUGGUACUCCCUCACCGGCCGAGGUUUGUUCGACCUUUGACGGAUCUUCGUGACUCAUACUAUUGUCUUGCAGUGUUAAACUUGAGGAGGUUCAGGCUGCAAGGGAUCAUCUGGUAGUCUAUGAACGGGAAAAUGCCUUGCAGUCCAUCACAGUUUUCAAACUACCUCCGGCAGGAGAGCCGAUCACUAGCCUGGAUCAAGGUGUACGGAUAAAGUUUCCAGAGGCUGCGUAUGCGUUGUCGCCAAAGGAAUUUCAGUUCAACUCGCCGAUUCUACGGUACCAAUAUUCCUCCUUGUCAACACCUUUUUCUGUUUAUGACUAUGACAUGGAAACUGGAAAGUCGAUGCUGAAAAAGAGGCAGGAGGUAAUCCAGCUAUUGUAUUCUGGUUGACGUUUACUAAAACUUUGUGUGUUUUUCAGGUUCUUGGCGGCUUCCAGCCUGAGAAAUAUGUAACACUACGCAAAUGGGCAACUGCACAAGAUGGCACGCAGGUGCCGAUUUCUAUGGUUUAUCGAAAGGACCUUGCAAAACUAGACGGCUCUGAUCCACUUUUGCUUUAUGGAUAUGGUUCCUAUGAGGUAUUCCUUUUUUCACUCUUUCCUCCGACACCCUGUUACUUUUUCUUUUGUCCUCGUACAGGUCUGCAUUGACCCUGAUUUCAGAAUGCAUAGGUUGUCACUAAUAGACCGUGGCGUAACCUUUGCAAUCGCUCACAUUCGAGGCGGGGGCGAAUUGGGAAGGAAAUGGUACGAAGACGGAAAGCUGACUAAAAAGAUGAACACAUUCGAGGACUUCAUUUGCUGCGGCGAGUACCUCAUUGCAAACAAGUUUUGUGCCAAAGACAAGCUUUGCAUUCAGGGGAGAAGUGCGGGUGGUCUUCUCAUCGGCGCGGCUCUCACCAUGAGACCAGAUCUGUACAGAUGCGCAGUCGCGGAGGUGCCUUUCGUAGAUGUUCUAACAACAAUGCUGGACUCGUCGAUUCCUUUGACUACUGCUGAGUGGGAGGUGAAUAUUUGAUCUUCGCGUUAUAUUUUCUAAUCAUUUUCUGUCCAGGAAUGGGGAGAUCCACGUAAAAAGGAUGACUAUUUGUACAUGAAAUCCUACUCCCCAGUUGACAAUGUGAUUAUGAAGCUUUACAUUUGUUUUCCACUGCUGAACGGGUUCACUUACAGGUCUUGCCUCGUGAGUAUCCAGAUAUUCUUGUAACCGGAGGACUUCAUGGUGAGUGGCUUGAUUUCCGUUGCUUCAAUUUUGUAAACACUCUCGCGACAGACUCGCGAGUUGCCUACUGGGAGCCUGCAAAGUUCGUCGCCAAGCUGAGAGAAAACAAGACGGACAAGAAUCUACUGCUGUUCAAGUGUGAUUUUGGAGCUGGACACUCCUCGAUGUCUGGAAGGUACGAGAAUUAUAAGAAAAGCUUAGCAACAUCCGCUUACUCCAUCCAUUGCAGAUUUGACAAACUCAAGGAUCUAGCACUUUCUUAUACGUUCAUUUUGAGAAGCUUGGGCCUGGCGACCAGGAGCACUUCUUCUCUAUAGGUAUUCUGCCACUUUUGAUGGGUAAAACGAUUUUCGUUAUAAUCAAUGGCACUAAAAGCCAAUUUUUCUUGCGAGCUGCUUCAUUCCUUGUUUAGUAGGGAAACUUCUGUCAACCAGCUUCCAUUUUGCUCCAGCGUCUUUUCGUGAUUUUACAGAUUGGUGUUAUUUCGCUAUUCAUACCACCUAGAUCGACUCAGAAGGUACUGGAUCUUUUUGCGUUGCUCGUCACGAGAUCUUCACUCUGUUUUGCUUGUGGGAAGAAUAUCCGAAGGCAAUCGUCAUGCGUCCCUUUCUCCUGCAAACACGAAGUGUGAGAGAUGGGCUUAAUUUGAUGGUGAAGGCCACUAGGCCUGAUGAGACUUCUAUGUAAUGCUUCCAGGUUUGUCCGGUUUAUAACAGAUUGCUAUUUUAUUUCGUGGCUGAUAACUUCUUUCGUUUUGUGUCCUAUUUUUCUAGUACCAGACUUGAGGUUCAGGCUCCAAGAUUUCCUUAAACUUGAAGGUUGUACUCGAAGGUUUCUCGUUCAUCUGUUUUAGCUCCUGAGCACUCUUGCUACAGAUUCCCAAGUUCGUUCCGAAGAUUAGCGAAAACAAAACGGACAAGAACAAUUUUCUACUUUUCAAGUAACAGGAGACUGCUCGAUGUCACAAGGUACGGGAAUGGCAGAAGUGGCUCGACUUAUUGUUUCCGUUCUGUAUUUUGUCUUUUGCAGACUUGACAAAACUUAAGGACUUAACAUUUAUUUUGAGAAGGUUGAGCCUGGCAACCAGGGGAUUUUAGGUACUGGUACCACAAGCAAUUUAUUUGCAACUGCAUUUCUAGUAUUCUUUCUCAGGGUUUGGUCAAAGAGGAGUCUCUUUCAGUAAUUAUUGGCCGUUCUCGGAGUAAUGGCCAGGGCUCAAACCGCCACGAUUUCAUUCAAAAGGAACUGCGCCUCUGUUGCUGUCCGUUUAGUUCAAUAGUGACGAACCAAGCAGCUCUAGCUAUGGCGUAUUAGAUACUUUUUUCCCAACAUGGUUUCAUUGGAAGGUAUGAUUUAAGCUAACUCUCGGAUCAUAUCAGACGCAUGCUUCUUUCUCGUCCUUACGGUCAUGCAUUUUCUAUGCUCUCUCAUCAACACUCAUUCACGGUUUUUGCAGAAAUUUGAUGCCUUCCAGGUAACCAUCUACCGUCCCACAAUGACUACAUUUGCAGCAGCGCUCGGUGCUGCUAUUUUUUUUCAAGCAGCAACGGCAGUAACUGGUGGAUAUGAAAGCGCUUUGGGAGAUCCAGGGAUGAGAAGCCCAAACUCCAGAGUGUUGCUCGAAGGCUGGAACUUCUGCAAUGGUGCUGAGAGCAUUGGUUCAGGACAGCCCAGUCCUCGAUGGGCUGAUUGCACUGAUAAAGUCUGCAAGCCCGGUAAGUUUUCUCAACUGACCCUUUUCUUUUUUAGUUGUUUCGCCUAAAUUUUUUCUUUUUUCAUGUGCAGAUAGUGUCUGUUCUCCUUACAGUUUCGUGUCAAACAAUGACAACCAGCUACGGACAGGAGAUAUAUUUCCAAACCGGGCAUUCAAGAGCUACCAGAAUCCAGACCUGUACGCUGUUGAGAAGGAGAAGUUCCUGGCUUCGCUCUGCCAAGUCUCCGAUUUCAGCAACCAUCAUCCCUGGUACUUCUGGAACUCGAUGCUCAAAAAUGGCAACUUCGACAUGAGCUCGGGGCUAUGUCCGGCGACUUCGAAAGCAAGUUCUCUUCAAGUUCACACUCGGCUGACGAGACCUUUCAAGAAGAUUGUCAACGCAUUCCCUUGCUUCGGUGAUGGCUGCAUGAACCAACCGGUUGUUGUCCACGAACAGUCCACAAUCCAGCGGAACUGCAGUUCCCAUGGCUGUGUGGAUGAUCUCAAAGGCAGAUUUUACGGCACCUACGACUUGAACAGGAGCCCCGAGAAUGUGACAGCGGGCAUGUCGUUCUUCUCGGUGGCGUGGGAGAAGAACGUAUCGUCUGGAAGCUGGAUUUUCAAGCACAGGCUCCAAGUAUCCAAGAACUAUCCGUGGCUGAUGCUUUAUCUCCGAGCCGACGCAACUUCUGGACUUUCUGGAGGCUAUCCAUGGGACACGCGAGGCAUAAUGACACAGGUAAAGUUCAAACUAUUUUAUCUACGCUAAUCGCUUUGCCUUCCAGGUUCCCGAAUCACCAAACUUCAAAGUAGUCGUCACUCUCAACGUCACCAAAGGCGGCGGCCCCCAGAGCCAGUUCUAUCUUCUAGACAUCGGUGGCUGCUGGAAGAACAAUGGCCAGCCAUGCGACGGUGACGUGAAAACCGACGUGACACGCUACAGCGAGAUGAUCAUCAAUCCAGAGACGACGAACUGGUGCACUCCAUCGAGGCUAGAUCUCUGUCCGCCAUACCACGUAACUUCGACCGGCACCAUAGUCUACCGCAAUGACACCGUCAACUUCCCAUACUCGGCUUAUCAUCUCUACUGCUCGCCGACAAAUGCAGAGUUUCCAGAGCAUCCGUUCUCCGUGUGCGAUCCUUACAGCAAUCCGCAGCCACAGGAGCUUGUCCAGAUUUUGCCUCAUCCCGAGUGGGCGGUGAAUGGCUACCCGAGCCGGAAAGGAGAGGGAUGGAUUGGUGACGCAAGGACUUGGACUUUAGAGGCAGGAGCUCUCUCGAGUAGGCUCUAUUUCUACCAGGCAAGUCUCUUUUGUCUUUUUUUUUUUUUUAGUUUUUCUUUUUUCUGGACGUUGUUUUGCCUUCACAGGACCCAGGAUCGUUCCCAGCAAGAAGAGUCUGGCCUUCGAUAGACAUCGGGACAGAAAUAUAUAUUAGUUCGAGUGAAGAACUUGCUGAAUGGACAGUGAGUGAUUUUGAUGUUUUAGUUCCAGUGAGAUUAUGAGCACAUUGUUUUUUCCUAAGCUAACAGUAGUAUUAUAAUUGCCUAUUUAUUUACACAAUUGUUAUUUUUCCUAAACUACUAGCUUUAUUAUGCUUAUUCAUUUUUGAAAUAAAAGCUCCUACACCAUAAUGACGUUCUCUCCCACGGUGUAAUAAGUGAUAUCUGUAGAGAUUAAACUCUUGUGAUAGAGUUUAGCAUCAAAUUUGUCUUCUGCUGAGGAGAAGACAAGUUUGAUAAUCUCGUCAAAUACUUUUUCUGAUACUGAAACUUCUGCCAGUAAUCUCCAAGCAUACUCCUCGGUGGCCCUCUCAAAAUCUUCUUUCCGCUUCAAAACAAUGUGACCACUUAUUUCCCACACUGCAGGAUUCACUUGAGUUUCUAAAAUCUCAAGAUCAACCUCACCACGAGCUUGUUUCUCAGCAUAACACUGAACAAAAAUAAUAAUUAAUAUGAUAUGAUAAAACUAUAAUAUCUAAAUCUUACCUGUGGAAAUAAAAAGAUUUGACAUCCUUUAUUAGCAAUAAGAAUAUUAUAAGGAAUGUUUCGUCCUUGAAGCCCCUUGCAAACCUUGAUAAUAUAAAAUGCUAAUUCUUCAAAGUUGCUUUCUCCAACCUCAUAAACAAUACCCUUAACUGGAUAGUUUUCUAGUUGAUAUACUUUAAAACCUUUAUAGUGGUGAAGUAUUAAUUUGGUUGGAGCUUUCUCCACAGGAAAACAAUUUCCCAAAUAAUAAGCCUAUAAAAUAAAAUAGAUAAAUAUAAAAUUAUAAAAUAUAAUAAUAUUACCUGAAAAUGGAGAUGAUUUAUUGUUGCAAAUGCACCCAAACUAUUAUAGCCCAAGCGAAAGAAUGGACUGCUUGCUUCUGCUGCCAUAUAAAUUGCCAAAAGAAAUGUAUCAGUCUCUAAAUGUUGUGGUAUGCAAUCCAACACUCGAGGGACUAAUAAUAUAUGCCCAUAUUCAAUUGGACUCACCUAUAAACAAAAAUUUAAAAAUUCAAGAAUAUAAAGAGAAAGAAAAAAGAAAUACUUACAUUAAUCACCACCACAUUUGGACUACCUCUAAUAUAUGCUUUUGAAUGAUAAUGACUUUUAUCAUUGUUACUUUGCUCAAAGCAAAAUAACAUUUCCUCCUGACCAACCUUUGUAAAAUUGAAUUUCUUAUGAUCAAAAGGUUGUAAGACUUGAUCCACACGAAAUUCAGUUGGACGUUUCUUCAAAUGUCGGCCCUCAUUUAAUUGAGCUAUAAAGCCAUAUUUUCCUGGUAAAACCUUUAAAAUUAUAAUAAUAUUAAUAUCAUCAACUUUAUAAAAUAAAUAAUAAUUACCUUUGUAGCACAAGCAGUGACAUCAUAACGAAAAAGUCCUUCUGCUUGCUUAUCUGCCCACUAUAUUAUAGCACCACAAAAACAUUAAAUUCACUUAAAUAAAAAUAAUCUUUAAAAAAGCAUACUUGACCAAGAAUUGCUGAAUCAAGAAAGGAAUUUUGCCCCAACUCUUUUGAUUGAAUUUCUCCAUGUUCAUCCAAUUCCUGAUUUCCAAAUAGAUAAAGAGGCAGUCUAGCUCCUACAACAAAAUAAACAAGUAUGAGAAAACCAUAUAUAUAAAGAAAUAAAAUUUCUCACCAGGAAUGCAACAAGAUCCCAAACAAUUCUUGCCACAUCCAAUCUUGGAUUCAAGACUCUCCUGAUAGUUGGAUACAAUUGUUGGAAUCCUCCUGAUUGUCAACAUCUUUGACUCCAUUGACUGUGUCCUCAAGUUUGCCUUGCAAGAUUGCAAGAGCAAAAUGAUUGCCUAGAGGCAAUCAAGAGAAAACAGAGCUCCGGAACCGCCCCCAGCCAAAUUCAGAAGAUCUGAUGGGUGCCCUCCUGCAGCAGGAGCGGCCCCGCGACCACCGUGGAAAGAAGGAGAACUCAGAACGCGUGCUAUGCAGAAACUCCUGGCAACAUCCACACUCCCUACAGAGUUCCGAAACUUGAGAUUCAAAGCCGUGAUGAAAGAUUGAAAAGCUCCAGCACGCAGAAUUUUGCUCCCUGCUCCCUCACACCAAUCCUUCCACUCUGAAAUGAACUGCUCAAACCCUAUAAAGGAUUACAGACUACACUUUUCCUUUAGUAUUGGGAUAUGUGAUGCAUGGGAUUGCCACGUGGCAAACUCUCGUUUCUACAAAAAAUUUCUGGCUAGCAGCUCUCUUUUUCUACAGCCAGCUUCCUUGGAGCUUCCCCGUAUCCAACCCGGAAAGAAAGCAAGCGGUCCUUCAAAAAACAUAUUCUUCUCUAGAUGCAAGUAUUCGGUGGUGGAUUCGUCUUUCGACAAGAUGGCACAAUUUCAAAGAAUAUGAGCGCGGCGAGAUUUGGCCGCUAUCAACUUAGCAGGAAGUUUGUCACAAAGUUAGGCACCAACCAGGGUCUUCUUAUUCCCUUUGAAUUUUAGUGAGAGAAGAAAUUUACAACGCUCAAGAUAGCGACAACCUUCUGGAAACUCGAAUGGUACUAGAACGAGACGUGUACGUUCUCACAUACGCAAAAAAGCCUUUCAGGAGAUUCUUGAUCAUCCGCUGGCCUUGGUCGAGCUAUGGAUAUGGAGUUCUCAUCACUGUUCUCUCCCUCGGACGCCGUCAAUGACAAGCAUGGUGACGAGUUUCCAAUCGUAGAGGCCGAGCACCAGCGCCUCCGACUCGCACUGGCUAGAGUGGCAUGGACCCCGGAAAGACAAGGAUCUCGUGAGCGAUAGAGAGCCGAGCGUGCAAACCAGGCCUCCCAGCGCCGACCAGUGGAGGAUCCUACGCCGCUUUCAAGGAGACAGGAUCUUCGCCGUGAUCUUCAUCGAGAGCGAUGAUCUCGGCAAUUACACAAGAGUGACUUUCCUUUACUCUUGAUGGGCUUCUCUUAUAUACACUUUCACUUCUAGCACUAGUCUCUCAUUGUACAGUGUUCUCUUCGUUGACCAGACAGGAGAUCGUGAUUCUUCCGGAGCAAUCCUUGUCUAGGACGUUGAACUGCCUACACACGUCCAUGAUCUCCUUCUCACUGAUCUUCCCCAUCUCCUUGAGCUUGUAUAUCACAUACUCGGACUUCCUGUACGCAGCAAAGAGAAAACAUAUAUACUUGAGUCAAGAUCACUGGAGAAAAAAAAAAAGACUUUGAAAGCUUACGUGACGAAUCCGUUGUUGUCCAUGUCCGCAGCAACUAGAUCCGCCACCGUCAUCUCCCUGUGCAGCACCCACUUUGCGAUCAAUCGGUUCCUCUUAUCGAUCCUCGCCUCGGCUAGAAACAGAAACGAUCGAGCAACCGCCAGAGUGCUCACGAGCAACCACCCCGCAGCAAAAAGCCUGCCUUUGAAAGUCUUGAACGUGUGAUCCCCGUAGCCAACCGUCGUCACGGACAUGGUGGAGAGAUAGAACGAGUCGAGCCACCCGAGCUCUUCCAUCCAGUGCAUGAAGAGAGUCCCGAUCGCGAGGCAGAAGAACACGACCCCGAGCGCCAGGCCGACUUUCAUCCGGAUUCUCAUCCUCCCCUUCUCCGUGUUCACCACAUAGUUCUUGGCCGUCUCGUGGUGACUCCCCUCCACAGCACUGAGAAGGAGGUGUUCUUGCCGCUCGAGAACGUAGGCCACCAUUCCACUCAGGAGUAUGUCGAUGAAGCCGAAACCAACAAGCACGAAGAAGCACGCGAAGAGCUUCGCCGAUGGAGAGGUCGGGGUGAUGUCGCCGUAGCCGAUGGUACACAUCGUCACGAUGCAAAAGUAGAGCGCGUCGAUGACUGGAUACGUCGAAGAUCCUGAGAAGUCGUCCGUCCUCCACACGUAGAUCGCGACCCCGAUAGCGAGAUAGAUCAUGAGCCCGAUGCUAGCUUGCACCACCACGGUCGUGGCGCUCUCCAGCUUUGGCCUCGUGAGCUUCUUCGACUUGUCCCGCUUGGUGUAGUUUACGUUGAGCGCUGGCGCUGUCCGCGAUUUCUUCAAGUACUUCCUCUUCACAGGAAACCCCGGAUGAUCGCAUUCCUUGGCGUCAGGCAGCUUCUCCAAAGUCUCGGAGCACUCGCUGGAUAAUCCCGAGAGAGUAGCAAGCAGUCCAGUGGUUUCGUCACCGCCACCGAAAAAAGAAGAGCCCCUUCUCUCCAUCGGCGUCUCCUCGUCCUGUUCGUCAUCCCUGCUCUUGCCCGAGUAAAGCAUCCAUUGUUUUUCCUCCGCGGUUGGGUAUAGAUUAUAUGCUCGCCGAGACCCUCCCUGGCUCAAGAAAUCCUCUGUCUCGUCUUGGCCCUCGCAAGCGUUGAAAAGCCUGGGGAGAUAGAACCCUGCGGGGCUCUCCAGCGAUCCAUAGACCAGCUUCUCCUUGAAUGCCAGAGGUGUGAUCGGGAUUGCCACUUCCCCCGGAGCCGCUGCUUCAUCUUCCACCACUAGCCGGUGCAAGGAGAAUGGUCGGCGCUGGCUGCCGAGAAGUGGCUGCUCCAUCCCCGGGAGCUGGAAAUCCUCAUAAAACCGAGAGCUUCCGGAGAAAAUCCUCGCAAUGCCGAUGGGCCGCGGGGAGAACUCCUGUGCUCCCGGAUUGAGAUUACUUACAAGAAUCGCUACGCCAUCGCGGAGGGACGACGAAGUCAAGCUCUCCGAUAAUAGGGUUUUCUUCUCCUCCGGGGAGCUUCCAUCCCCGCCGUUGGUUUGAGCGAAUCACCGGGUGACACGUCAACUAACGUAUCUCCGAGGAUAUUCUCAGCUUUUCUAUUUUGUUUUUAUGGGCGCGCCAAAAUUCAAAGAUUUGUGUCUGGCCCAAUUUUGCUUUCCGUUACAAUCUUUUUAUUUUCUUUCUUUCUUUUAGGGUUUAUGGCGCCACUGCGCGUCUUGGAGUUCUACAGCGGCAUUGGCGGCCUGGUAAAGAGAUUAUCGCGCAGAUUCGUGGAUCCACACACUCUCGCAUUCGUUCUUGCAGCGAUUCUCACUCGAGGAGGCUAAGAUCGAUGCCAUGGUCGUGGAGGUGUUCGAGAUAAACGAGCUCGCCAACGAUGUGUAUGAGCGGAAUUUCGGCCAUCGCCCUAAUCAGGUGUGUGCUAGCUAGGACAGUGCUUUGGAUUGAUUGAUUUGAGAAUCCAGGGAAAUAUCCAAAGGCUUUCCGUCAGCGAUCUAGACAAAUACGAGGCCGACGCAUGGCUGCUCUCUCCGCCGUGUCAGCCUUACACUCGACAAGGUGUGCGAUUCUUUUGCUCUUUAUUCCUUUCAUGUGGAAAAUGUGGACAGGGCUACAGAAGGAUUCUGCCGACGCUAGAGCUUCGUCCUUUCUCAAGCUUUUGGACACGAUCUCUUCGCUGUCGAUUCCUCCGACGCAUGUUUUUAUUGAAAACGUUGUUGGAUUUGAGGUAAUGGGAUUAAGUUGCGAUUGCUUUCUCCCUCACCGGGGUCUGUUUUUCUUGCUAUUUUUUCCUUUUCUAGACUUCGCAUACACGAAGUCAGCUCAUUAAAGUGCUCGAAGACACCGGUUUUAGAAUACAAGAGUGUAUCAUCAAUCCGCUCCAGUUUGGGAUUCCAUAUUCUCGGCCCCGUUACUUCUGCCUGGUAAAUCACAUUGGUGUUCGAGAGAGAGCAUGACUUACCCGUGCGAUUUCUCCAGGCCAAGCGUGAACCUUUCCAGUUUUCACGUUCCGACUUAAACGGGCAACUUGUUUCCUGCCCUUUCGAUUUUUCCACCAACAGGGACUUCCAUGUUGAAACUAAAACUGUCGGCGAGUACCUGGAAAAUGCUUCCGACUGCACGGAAGACUAUAUGGUCCCGUCCACUACAAUUGCAAGAUGGGGAGAAGCUUAUGGUAUCCUUGACAGCUGGUUGAUCGUUUUGUGAAGUUGUUCUUAACAGUGGCGACAAAGAUAUUGUUACACCCGAUUCCGGAAGAUGUUGCUGCUUUACAAAGAGCUAUGCGCGAUAUGCCAAAGGCACUGGUUCCAUUUUAGUCACAAAUCCAUCCUUUUACAAGGUAGCUUUGGAAAGAUUUCUUUUCUUUUCUUUUCUGUGAUUGAGCUAACAUAAUGGCUCUCGUGCUCGCAGUAUUUUAGCAAGGACCCGGCUGAACUCAGUGACCUGACAUGGUUGCAGUCUGCUGGCUUACGCUAUUUCACACCACGCGAGGUAUUUCCUUGCGACUUUUUCUGUAUAUGUUUGUGAUGCUCGAGGUUGCAGGUUGCAAAUUUCCAUUCUUUUCCAAAGGGAUUCGACUUUCCUGAUCACUUAUCUAUCAAACAACGGUACGUUUUAGCUGUUCUCAUUGCAGAUUGGUUGUGUUACGGUUCUUGCACAGAUAUGCUCUUCUUGGAAACAGCCUCAACAUCAAAGUCGUGGGAUACUUGUUAAACUACCUUUUUUCUACGUAACGCUGGCGUAGCCAUCGAAGCCUUGGUCCAAACAAAGCCGUGGUUUUCUUUUCCUUCUCAUCUCACGAUAUUUCGUACGAACAUACGGUAUAUCUAUAGUUAAUUUGGGCUUGUAUUUAAACUGUCCAUUUGUGGCAGAAGGGGAGAUCUGGUCUGGGAGGCGUUUCUUACAUCUUUGAGCAAGUUUGCGAUGGCGGUCAAAGUUUACAUUGUGUAAGCCUUCCUGCCUCUCUUGCCUUUGUAUGCGAUGCAUUGCUCCCGCGUUGUUUGUGCUUUUAUUGUCGCUGGAACUGUGUGGAUCGGCCCCAAAUUGCCUGUUUCUCGCAUUCGGGUGCCCUAGAUCCACACAGAUCUGGGUUGACUUCCUUAAGCAAUGCGAUGCCUCGUUUUACUUUUGAUGGGCUCACUGAAGAAUCAAACUUUUGUUUUUGUUCUUUUCCAUGCCGCGCAGGUACUACUCGAUGUAUGGUCAUGUUGAGAAGCUGGCUCAGGAGAUCACCAAGGGCGCUAACUCGGUGGAAGGUGUCGAGGCUUCUCUUUGGCAGGUAAGCCGCAGAUUUUCGUGCUUGUUUGUCAACUGAAAAAUAAAAGAGAGGGAGAGAGUGAUGGAGAAGAGCUUGCUUGCUUGGUCGAAAAAAAACUAUGUACUGAGUUUGCGAUCGAAAUUUCCAGGUGCCAGAAACAUUAAGUGAGGAUGUUCUAGGCAAGAUGGGAGCACCUCCAAAGUCGGAGGUCCCAAUCAUACAACCUGGCCAGCUCGCUGAUGCUGACGGACUGAUAUUCGGCUUUCCCACGCGAUUUGGCAUGAUGGCUGCACAAUUCAAAGCUUUCAUGGAUGCCACUGGGGGCCUCUGGCGUGCCCAAACACUCGCCGGUAAACCGGCCGGAAUCUUUUACAGCACUGGCUCCCAAGGAGGCGGUCAAGAAACUACAGCGUACGUAUUUCAUUCUCGUUUCGUUCUCGUGCACGCAUCUAAAGCAUGGAUUGUUUUUAUCUCUCACUCUCACUCUCUCUUUUUACGUGCAGGUUGACAGCUAUAACCCAGCUUGCUCACCACGGUAUGAUCUUCGUGCCGAUCGGCUACACUUCUGGCGCUGGGAUGUUUGAGAUGGUCCAAGUGAAAGGCGGCUCUCCAUACGGUGCUGGAACUUUGGCUGGGGACGGGACCCGGCAACCAUCAAAGCUGGAGCUGGAGACAGCGUUCCACCAGGGGAAAUACAUUGCCGCCAUCACCAAGCGCCUGGCCACUAAAUCCGAUUGAGAGAAACCAUCUCCGCGAGCUCUAAGGUAUACUUUGCUCUUUCUUUGUUUGGUUCUUUUUCUUAUGCUGGCUGUGAUUGCUAACAGAUAAAACCGCGGGACUUUGAUAUAUUGUUCUUCCUCUUUGGAGAUUCCCGUGGAAGGAAUCUCAGGGAUGCUUUGGAUUGUUUAUAAGAAGACGAUUUUUUUGGUUUUUGCUUUUACUAUGUUUUCUUUCCAGUAAAGAAGAAGAGAGAAUCACGGUGAUGGUAUGGAACUGGUAAAAGGAAAGGGUUUCGUGGCCCCGGUGAGUUUCUCCUUUUACUUUUUAGGAUUUCUUUUCUUGCUUUGGAUGCAAGGCAAGACAAAAAAUACACAGUGGAAUGAUUUUCUCGUGUGGAAAGCUCUUCGCGAGGUUUGAUUAUUACAUCACGACCUCAGGGUCAAUAACACAAGAAAAAAUCUUUCAAGCAAAAUCCGAUUCUUUUGCUUAAUUUCUCGUCAGCACUUUCUUCCAGCACAAGAUCUGAUCUUGCUGCUUGAAUUCCUGUUUACUCUUGGAUUGAGACGUGAAAUUUUCUUUCCCUCUGCGAGUACAUACUAGAAUCUUAGUAACUUGAAAAGGUGGCAUACUCUAUAGGGGAAACGAGAAUGAUCUGGGCCUGGGUCGCUCCCAUGGCUCGCAUGAUGCAAAAAAGACAUUGUACAUAUUGACUUCGUCGUUCUAUACAUCGUCCUUCUCGCUACAAAGUAUGCAGCGUAGACCAAAGCUCAUCAGAUUUGUCGCUGCUUCGCGGGCAUCUUAGCAUUUCUAGCUCCAAUAGCUGCCAGCGAGCCAAUGAGGCUAAAAGCUUGCAAACCCUACAACUAGUUUCUACUGAAAGCAACCAAAGAGAUGGGAGACAAUGUAAACAAGUAAGGACAGGCAAAAGGAGAAGUGUAAAGUUUUGGUAUUAAACACACAUACACGCACAAAAGUCUUUCCAAGUGUAUAGACUGUCACAAAGUUUUGGCUGCGUUCCUGGAAUUUUCAUGUGCUUGUCCACGGCCCAGUAGUGGAGAGUCAAUGCUGAGUUUUGUCUUGCACAUAUGGAAACAGGUGAUCUAUCAACAUUCUUCUUGUUCUUGUUGUUCUUGGCAAUUUCUUUUGCGUUUCUUUGGGUGUGAAGAGGUUCUCCUAGUUGACUAGUUUGACUCUAGUUGCUUUUCUAGCUAGGUUGUGAUGAUUCGCUAUGUAUCCGCUGCAAUAGGCCUUCGUCGUGGUGUCUUGUCUCGGUAUAGAUUUGUCUAUGCUGUUUGGAAUGUUCAAAAGAUUAACAAAUAGAUGUUUCAAUGUUUGUGCACACACAUGUGUUGUGAUAUAUCAAGACUGUAGUUUGAGAGGGAGAGGAAGAGGAAUUCGGAUGAGCGAGGAAACGGACCUUCCCCAUGUCCCUUGCAGGGAUAUUUCAAUCUAUUAAACGGAUUCAGUGCAGAGCGGCAUCUCGCCUAGAGAGUCACACCAAAGCGAGAGAGGAAAAUAUUCCACACGAUCUCCAAAGGGAAGCUCGUGGUGAUGUUUAUGUGGGUACAACUUUUAACAAUGUUGCUGAAAGGUGGCACAUUUCCUCAGAAGGGUAGUUGCCAUCGAUCACAUUCGUUAUCACAUGGAUAUUCCUCUCUCUUUCUUCAGCAUGUUUAGGAGCUUCUUGCUGUUUUGGAUCAAGAUAGAUCUAGAUCAUCGAUGAUUAUGGUUCUGCAGUGAAAGAUUUGGCAAAACUUUCAUAUGCUAACCAAGCAUGGAUUGGGACCAGUAAGUACUUUCAUUCGCUGAUCAGGCAUGGAUUGGGACCAGUAAGUACUGGCGAAAGUGAUUGUCUGCAAAAAGAAAACUCUAGAAAUUUGUGUGGCCUGUUCUUCUUCUGGAAAACUUGGAACAACCAGCCAAGACUGGUGCAAAUUCCUAGAAAACGAGAUCUUCCUGCUUAAGGAGACCGUUUGUUGACCAAAGACUGGUUUGACCAGGCUUAUACCUCCCCAAAGUACGUAUAGCAGAGAGCGUAUAUGUCGUAUAUAGUGUUCUCAAGGACAUCAUGAUUGUAUGGUAUGGAGGGAGAAAGAAGGGGGCCCAUGCCACAUGCGCAUGGGGCCCCAUGCCAGGUCGGUCGGUCACUUUAUUGACCGGGGGCCCACGUGGAGCGUGCCGUGCCACGUAGGUAAAAUUCCCCCGCCCCUUUCCCCUUUCACACCUCCAGUAGUCAACCAAUAAAGAAAGGUAAAGUGGGCGUCACCCGUCAACGGCUGACGUGACGUGGUGAUCUGUAGGUCGGCGGGAACGUGGGCCCCAAGUGGCAGGCCACGUGGGAAUAUGACGACACGUCAGCGGGCCCCAACCCAGAGGUCAAACUGUGGUCCCUCCCGUCCGUCACCGCCUGGGUGGUGUUCUCCGGCAAACGCAACGGAUGCCCAGCGUUUACAUUCUCCUUUAAGUUUUUCUUUUUUUUUUGCAAAAGGUGGCGUUGACUUUGAUGGUUGACAAUGUGAUUUCCUGAAACGAUUUUUCUGAUUUAAAGCUGCAACCUUGGCUCCCAAGCAUCAGGCGUUUUUUGUGACCAAAACAAUCACUGCUUUGUUGCUGGCUGCAAGAGAUUGGGGCAAAUGGAUUUACUUAUUGGAUCCAUCCAGCUUUCAACUACAGAUCGACUCUUCUCAUUCUUAAGCUCCAAGUUGUUGAAUGAAUCCGGGUGGCCAAAGGCCAAAGGUGGUGGUACAAAAGAUUAUUAUCAUCACCCCAAGCUUUUCAAAAAGAGAGUCCUCAUCAUUCAAGCGAUGCCGAGUAAAGAUUCCGGGGCGACAUAUGGCGAGAGUUUCCUUGCUGAUGCUUACUUCUUUUUCUCCCAAUAGUAAUUUCAUUCAAAACUAUAUAUCAAAGUUGCCCGGUUUCGCCAUCUUGACUAUAAAACGUGUCAACUUAUGCCCACAAAACUAUAGAGUUGGAUUAACUUGUCUUGGGAUUUCUUCCUAUGCGAUGCGGGGACAUGAUAGCUUCUAUAAUAAUUGGCAUGGAAGCAUCAAAAGCAGUCGAGAGAGAGGUCCAUCCAUCAAUUCGAUUCAUGGAUGCCAUAUAAAUCAAUCCUAUAGGAUCAUAGUCCUCGCCGGGCGGAAAGAGAUCCAUGUACGAGAUGAUCCUAUUCUCUUCACCCCCUAAACCACCAACAUGGAGAAUACUAAAUCUCCAUGAGGUUAUUUCCAUUUCAUACUUUUGGCCUUCAUUUCCCCUUUAAAAACACAUUGCUUGAUGCGAAGAGGAUUGAUUAGACAAGUUUCCGUGUGUGUGUGUGUGGACCCAAUGCUGCAUCCCAAAAAAUGCAUACACAAACAAUGCAAUGUUUAAGUAACAUGGUAGCUAUCGAAGAAAAAAAUCUUCUUCUUUAGAAAAAGUGGGAGAAUUCGAUAGAACUUGAUGGAAAAACUGGCUGUAAUGAAGGGUGGCACAAGGAUUUGUAUGAGGCACAAAGAGCCAACCACAAAACUAUAUGAAAAAACCGCCAGAUUCUUGUCCCAGUCGCGUAUAGAUUUCGCUUCCAAAAUCAAAUGCCAAAGAAAGGAGGGAGAGCGAAAGGAAUAAAAUAACGCGGGGGUCCGGCGGGGGUUCGAUACCGGCCAGGGCCAUGAGGAUGCUGCCCGCGGGCACCAUCACGCGUGGCCCCUCGAAAACGCGGACAGCUGCACGCGUGGCAUGGCCAUGGCGGACGGGCAGCUGCCCGUGACGACCACCGCGAAAUGCGGGAGGGGGGCUGACGUCAUCCUGCCCGUUACUGGAUCCAACGGCUAUGAUGCGGACACGUGGCAUGGGCAUCCAUGACCCAUUCAUGCUGGGAUAACUAUAACUACAUAUAUAUACUCAUUGGCCUGGGUUGACUCCUCUUCUUCUUUGUUUUGUUGCUCGGGAGAGAGCUUGUUCGUCUCGCUCCAAAGAUUGCCCCGGUCAAAGCCCAGAAUUUUAUUUGGAUUUGUGGAGCGCAGGGAUCGCUCGCUGGAUCCAGUUUGGCAAUCGCAUUUUACAAAUUCUCACUCUUCUUCUUCCAGCGCUAAUGAAGAAUCUCCUGUGUUGUCGUUACUAAACGCGCCAGGGAGGAAUUCCCGUUCGAUCUCCACGCUAUAUAUUCUAACAAUUCUCCUUGGUGGGAGACGUUUGGAGAUCUUCCUCUUGUCAAGACCCGUGGCCCCGGCUCGCCACAAAGAAAAAUUGUUUUCUUCUUUCUUUCUUAGGAGGAGGGGAAGGGUUGAUGCAGUCGAUAGCAAGACUUAUAACUCUCCUCUUUCUUCUCCGGAGUAGUGUUUCUCGAGAGAUCUCGCGCCGCCGCCUCGAUGUUGCAUCACGCAGAUAGCCGGCUGCUGAAUGCGUUCCCGUUUUCAGGAGCAGAAUCAGCAAUUGCGGCCGUCAAUCUGUCUCAGCUGCUGCUCUCGUCCACCACAUCUGCAUCCAACAAUCCACAGCAGAAAUCAGCAGCAACAGCUUGCGCUAGCGUCGCUCACAGCCCUCUCAAUUCCGAAGGCUCCUCGACGAACAGCACCACCACCACCACCACCAAUCUUGAAUGUUCCACAUCCAUACAAGCUCCACCACCGCAAGCCAUCCAUUCCUCGGUGUAAGUUCUUGAAGCACUAUACCGCACAGUGUUCCAUAGUCUUAUCCGAUUGCCGUGUGAGAGAAUUCUUACUGAUCGUGUGCUCUCUUCUUGCAGCUGGUCCGAGUUCUUGAAUGGUGCUGCUUCUAAUUCCUUCAUGGGUGACAACUUAGAGAACGCGCUUCCAACUUCGUCCAGUUUGAGCUCCACCGCGCCGCCGGUGACGAGCAGCGGCACGGCAGUCUCAUCAUGGUGGAGCGGGCGAGAUCAGGAUGAUCAGCUCCCAGCCGUGAACUGGAACCAGACCGCUGGAUCCACCCAAGGCUUGCCCGAUCUCGAAGGUGGAGACUGGUCCCCGGGACAAUUGGGUUGCCUCCCCACGGCUCCAGAAGUGAACGAGCAGCUCCCCAGCCACCAUAUGGCGAUCGAGCACAGCGAUUUCACCUCCACAAUGAACACCACCCUGGUGGAUCCCGAUCAGAUUUCCGGCAAUCCGGCUUCAUGGGGCUCCAUUCUCAUGUACGAAACUUCUCGCUAUUUCUUUCUUACGUUAGCUAUGCCGUGAUUUGCGGACGUAUCGCGGGGAACUAAAUUCUCUUUGUUUGUGUCUGCACAGAGGGAGCUCCGGGAAUGAGGAAGCUAGCCUUGACAACGAGGCCUUCUUCUCCAGCAUGAAGCUCUUGAACAAGGCCGUGUCAGAGCCGUGGCCCGAGUUUAAUCCUCUCAAGAGCUCGGCCGCUGCUUCUGGAUUCGAAAGCAUCGACGACAUGAUGAUCAAGCAGCAGCAGCAGCAAUUCUCGCUGCCGGGCCAUCACUUAAACAUGGAUUCGAGCACCAACUGGUCAUCGAGAGCAGCAGCAGUUACCAGCAGCCUGGACGUUUUUGGAGGCUCUCAACUCAUUGGAGGCAGGAGCAAGAUCAAGCAAGAGAUGGAUGCACAGUUCCUCAUCACCCAACAGCAGCAGCAGCAGCAGCACUCGAUGCUUCCGCCACCACCGACGAUUCCAAAUCCAAACAACGUCAUGAUGAGCAGCGAGGUGCCCAGCCCUAGCAGAUGGGGAGCUCACUCUAGCAGAUUACCAGCCAUGCUCUCGCAAGUUCUUCCCUCAACUUCGAAGCGUGGUGGAAACCUGUUUGGAUCCGGUUCGAGGUCUUUUGGAAACUAUGUGAGCCCGAAAGCCGAGCCAGCUUUGUACUCGAGCAGCAAAGGCCAGCAGCAGCAGAGAGAACAAAGCUGCUCCAUGUCCCAGCACAGCUCGGGAAUCACCUCACAACAUUCGCAUGACAGCAAAGAUUCUCAUGCCAGCAAACACUUGGUAAGCCACCACACAAAACUUUAGACACUUAUCUUCUUUUUUCUUCUCUUCUUGUCAAGGCUUGUUGUUUUUCUUGCUCUUGUUCUUGGAACUUCUAUCACUGCACUGCAAGGAUCAUUUCUCAAAAGGAGAGGAGUAAAAGAAGAGAAUCAUAGAUAUGAUCAUGCAUGAACUUUAAUUUUCUUUUUCCUUUCCUUGCUGCUUGUCUGUGUGUUCAAGCGGAACUCGAGUAGUGCAACUUUACCUAGCUGGAUGAUCUCUUUGCUAAGUUGCUGUUGUUCAUUUUCUACAUGAUAUAGAUGGAUGAAAGCCGAGAGGUUUUGUCGUCCGAGCCUGUUUCAAAGCGAGGAUCAAACAGCAGCAGCGAUCAUCCAGAGACAUUCUUCAAGAGGCCAAGGAUAGAGCAACAGCAGCAGCAGCAGGCAGCUCCAACUUUACCUUUCAAGGUGAAUUUCUUUCCUUCUCUCUGUUCUUUGCUAGUACUGCUUUUCUCUUUCAUAAUCUUCUCCUUUGUUUUUCUUUUUUAAGUUGCUACCUUUUGUUUUUCCACAAAAGAAACCUUGUGAACUGAGAGUUUGAUGAACAGGCCACCACAUUCGUUUUGCAGGUGCGGAAGGAGAAACUGGGUGAACGGAUCACAGCACUCCAGCAGCUAGUGGCUCCAUUUGGAAAGGUGUGAUAAAAACUCCCUCGAAAUUCUUUACUUGGCUGUGGAAUUUUUUCGCUGGAUUCAAGGCUGAUGGGUGUUCUCUCUCAGACUGACACUGCUUCUGUCCUUCUGGAGGCCAUAGGCUACAUUAAGUUCCUGCACGACCAAGUCCAGGUAAUGUCCCAGAUUACUUUAAACACAUCCCCAAGUGAAGGAGCUUACCUCCGGGAUCAUUGCAUAUCACAGCUAUUUGUUUCUGUGGGUUUGAUCAUUGUAUCACGUGUGUCUGUGUGUCUUACUGCCUGUUUAUACAUCUUCCAUCUCCUGGCACCGUGUUACUGCUUGUUUGUCUUACUGCUUGAGAGACAAACAAGCAAUCACAAAAGAAAGAAAAAAGUAUAGAAAAGAGAGGAAAAGAAUGCUUAAAUCUGCUUGCUGGGCUGCCUGUGAAUGAUCCAGACGUCUGCCUGUGUGAGGCUGCAUCGAAUCAAGCAGCCCAAGCUUUGGUGGAUGGGAUGAUUGCAUUCUCUUGCUGCUCCCAAGCUCUGGAAACUGGGCCUGACCGUACAACUGUUUUGUUCACAUGCUGCCAGGUUCUAAGCACACCGUACAUGAAGAACGCAGUUGCAGGCGCUGGAGUCCCGGGGAGGCCCAAUGUAAGUGAUUGAUCAGCCCUCGUCGCUCUCGUACUCUUUUCUCUUUCGCAGCUUUAUCUCGCUCCCGCUCUCUCUCUCUCUUUUAUUCUCUCUUCUCGUUAUCAAAAGAUAAAGUUUACAAACGCUAUAGAUUGCCAAACUACUCUAAUUCUCCGCUGCAAGAAUUCUCUUCUUACUUCUCGUCCCUUCUGUCUCGCUACUGCAAGCUGUGUGUUAGAAUCAUGGCAGCAUCUUUCCUGUCUCGAUUGCUUGGCAGCGGUCAGUAGCGGCAUGGGUUUUCUAAAGCAUUUAGAAAGAUGCUUUUGUCAAGUUGAUCAAUGCAUAUAGAUCAAUUCCUGGUUGAUCGAUACGGGAUAGAAUUUCCAAUAUAUACUAAUUAAUGUGUGGCUUUCACCACAACUUGCAGGUGGUGGAGGGUGCGAUGAAAGGAUCGUCCUCGUCUUGGGCGAUGAGUUCUUCCGAUGCAUCGAACAAAUCCAGAGACAACGACGAGCCAAGGCAGGAUUUGAGGAGCCGAGGGCUUUGCCUGGUUCCAAUCUCCUGCACACUCCAGGUUGCCAAUGACAAUGGUGCCGAUUUUUGGACUCCGAACAUUGGGGGAGGAGGUGGCGGUGGUGGCGUUGCUGGUGGUGGUGCCGCUGGAGGUGGCGGCUCCGCCAAAUGAAUGGGAUCAAUCCAUCAUAGAUCUUUCAGCGACGUUAACGCGCACGUCAACUCUCCAAGUACGUAUAUAGAUUAUGUACGUUAGAUCAAGACUUCGAGCAUUUGAUCAUUCGAUUUAGCUAUGUCUACGCCCAACGUUCUCUAUUCUACUACUGCACUACGUACAGCCGCUUGCGAGAAGAUCAUCCAAGACACACAAGCUCACAUUGGUGAUCGACCGCUUCAUAUGUGAGUGACCGUAUAAUUAUAAAUAUUGUAGAUAGCCAUCUAACAACAUUUUCGUUGGACACUCUAACUUGAUUAUUUCGCUAAUUACCAAAUUAAUAAAAGGUUCGCCACCAACCAUGUAUCUAAGAGAAAGAGUUUUAACAAUUCUCACUCAAGUUCUCCCAUUCAAGCACAGUAAAAUAGAAAAAAUUCCAUUAGUAAAUUCCUGAUCUUUAUCCUUUGAGGAACUACAAUAGUAUAAUGGAGCGUGUGAUAACGAAACAAGGCCAAGAAAUAUCAAACGAUUCCCUGCAAGCCACAGCAAAGAAAGCGAAUAUGCUGGGCACUUGACAUGUGCAGAUGCUAUCAUGAGCGCACGCGGGCUGUACGGACUGCCCGCCCGUACCAACGGUACCAAAAUACGGAAUAUUCUAACGAACGUUCUAGACGCCAACGUGGAAUGACCUAGAAGCUUUCAAGCGCGUGAGAUUAGGGUUUAAGGCGAAGAACGAAGAGGAGAGGAAGCGUUGCGCGCCGGCGAUUCACGCGGGGUGCUUUGGAAUGGCUGCCGACGGCGAGGUAUGUCGAUUCCGCGAGCGAUCGAUCGAGGAUUUUCUUGCGCUGAUCGCCGAAAUCUUGCGUUGUAGGCCUCGCAUUCCGUGGUUCUCUACGUCUACGACCUGAGCCAGGGCCUGGCGCGGCAGCUCUCGACUUCGCUGCUCGGGGCAGCGAUCGAGGGCAUCUGGUAUGUCACGGGCAAAUUUCCCUCUUUAGCUCAAAGAUCCCCAGUAACUUCCAAGCUUAUAGUUCCAAGUUUUUCUUCACAGGCACACUUCGGUGGUGGUCUAUGGCACCGAGUACUACUACAGCGGUGGAAUCACGACCAGCAAUCCGGGGCGCACGCCCUACGGCCGUCCCGUGAACACGGUCGAGCUUGGAAGAACUCAAGUGCCAAAGGAGGUGUUUGCGGAUUACCUCAGGGAGAUCAGUCCCCGCUACACGGUCCAGACUUACAGCAUCCUGUCGCACAACUGCAACAACUUUAGCAACGAGGUGGCGCAGUUUUUGCUCGGAGUGGACAUCCCGGACUACAUUUUGCGGCUGCCUCAAGACGUGAUCACCACUCCCAUGGGAUACUUGCUCCGUGAGUGCCAAUUUUUUUUUUGCUUUUGUGGAUCUUUUUCUUCACUGACUGUUUGAUUCUCUCAGAGCCGAUGAUCCAGCAAAUGGAGACCACCCUGAGAUAUGGAGGAGUCCCGCAAGUGCCUGAACUAGCAGAGGCGACGGGGACGCCACAGCGUGUAGCGAUGGCCAGACGUGCCAAGGAAGAGUGCCUCACCACCACCAUACCCGAAGACGAGGAUCUAGAGCUCCAGAGGAUGCGCUCUUCGCGAGCAGUCAAGACGGCUAAGGUGGCUUCUCGCGGCGAUGAGGGAGGAGCUGGACGGAAGAAAGCCGCCGCCACCAAGAUGGAGGACGCGAGAGCCAAAGUCCAGGAGGAGAUCACUCGCGAGUUUACUGCGCUCAUGGCCGCGGGAGGGCUGCGAGCCAGCGAGGCGGCGGCUCUUGCCGCGCGGAGAGUGAUGGAAAGGCACGGCAUUGGUGGCAGUGGCACGGCGACGCAGUCGUGAUAGAUACGACGUACGAGAAAUUCUUUUGGGUGUGAGCGAUUCUUCUACACCCCCAUUGAUCACACAGUUCCUUGAUCGAUAACAACGACGAUGAUAUGUUUCAAUCAAUAUUGGGUUUUGCCGUGAUUGUGGAUGUAGUUUGAAACACGUGUUAAAGACUGGAUCUCUGGAUCGUAUAGUCGACUUUGAAUCUGAUUUUUCCCAUCGGACAAGGGAAAAAUCAAAGUUGCAAAGUAAAGUUGCUAUCAUACAGGGUUAUCACUCCAUUAACUUUGUAAGCAGGUGUCAAGCAAGCGUAGUUCAUACGUUCUUGCUCUGGAACUUCAGCUAUUUGAGAGGUCUAGCUGAAAGAAUUGAGCGGUUUGUGAUAUCUUCUUGCUCUUUAGGUCCAAGGAAAUGUGGUCGACAGAUUAUCUCCUUCUCCUUCUCACAGUUGGCUUCCUCGCAAAGAUUUACGUCUCAGCCCAACCAGGUCAGUAGUAUUGCAUAAGGGUCAAUCUGAAGAUUGUUUUUGCAGGAUUUCUGAGCCUUGACUGUGGAGCUUAUGACACUCACAGGGAUGAAUAUGGUAUCGAAUGGACGCCGGAUGACAAGUAUAUCACCACUGGAAUUAAAGCCUCCAUUUCAAGUUCGGAAAAAAAUGGGACAGGUUUAGCUUCGCAGCGUCUUCGCUUCUUCAACGACACCUCUCGGAAGCACUGCUAUGCUCUGCCAGUGGUGGUAAACGAUAGCUACAUCGUGAGGCCAUGGUUCUACUACGGAAACUAUGAUGGGAUGGAAUCAGCUUACACAGAGUUCAACAUCAUAAUUGAUGCAAACGAUGUGGCAAACUUCAGCAUGGAUUUAACCAAAAGAAUAGCUUACUAUCACGAGUUUGUGAUUAAAGCCAAAAGCUCGACCCUGGAUCUAUGCUUUGGAACCGGCUCAAAUUCACCGGCAAAUAUCCCCUUCAUCUCCGCAAUCGAGCUCAGAAGGCUGGAUCCCGGUAUGAGAAUAAGUUCUUUCAAUUCUAGUGAGCUUUUGAUCACUUGGAGAAGGAUCAAUUUUGGAGCAGCUAUAAAUAAUCCCAUUUGGUAAGAAAUUCUUCAGAAGGUAAAAGUUCUUUUUGACUCGUAUCAAACAGGUACCCUUCUGAUGACUAUGAUCGAUUAUGGUUAGCUGAUAAAAAUUUCCCAGACAUCAUGGGAGGAUACCAACAGAUUAAUACUACCUCAAAUGUUUCGGUGGGAAAAACAUUUGACAAGCCUCCCACAGCCGUGAUGAGUUCCGCCAUCACCUCCCAUUCCACGAUGGUUUUCCAGUUCCCACAGCUUCCCACAACGCCGACUGAAUUCUACGUUAGCUUUUACUUUGCUGAGUUUGCCGCCCUGGUGAACAACACGAGGGAGUUCCAAGUCCGUUUUAACACAAGCUUGCUUGAAUCUCCCCAGCUUUUGGCAACCAUCAACGUUGAGAAGUCUGUACAGGCUCCUCUAACGUCAUUGCAGAUGUAUUACAACUCUCGAGUGGAACUUUCUGAACCAACAAACUUCUUGUUUGUGCCCACGGUGAACUCUACGCUUGGUCCGAUUCUCAAUGCUGCUGAGCUGUGGGAGUACAAAGGAGGUCUCCUCCCAGGGACGGAAACCAACGAUGGUAAAGCAUAUAAAUUUAAAUAAUUGUGAUCUCGUUAACAUUGUCAUAAACAAUGCAGUGGCAGCUGUACUUGAUGUGAUGAAAGAUUUUCACAUGACUGAAUGGUCAGGAGACCCUUGCUUGCCUGAUGCUUACACUUGGAAAUGGAUUACUUGCGAUGUAGCUCAAAUCCCAGCAAGAAUUAUAGAGCUGUAAUAAGUGGACGCAUUUCUAGCGUGAUCACAUUAACAUCUGUGCAUGACAGGAACUUGUCUAGCAGUGGACUCAAAGGAACCAUAUCACUGUCCAUCACAAAGCUAUCGCAUCUAACAAAAAUGUAUGUAUGGGUCUUUUGACGUAAUUUUUCGUUCUUCUGAUCUUUAUGUCUUCAGCUAUCUGGAUAAUAACGCAUUGACAGGGCAUGUUCCAGAUUUUAGCUCCUUGAAAAACCUCACGGUUUUGUGAGUACCACCAUUCAGUAUGCUAGAUGAUAGAAUUUUACUAAUUCUUUUGCAGGUCAUUAGAAAACAACAGUUUGGAUUGCCUACCACCAGAACAUGUACACUUCUCUUACAAGUCAGUUUUUCUCUAUUGCCAUUGAAUUGUUUAUCACCUAUAUGUUUUUUCAGCGCUACUUUUAGCUUGUGUGAGAAGAAACAUACAACACUUAUAUUUGAAGUAGUGGUACCAUGUGCAGCCAUAUUGUUACUUGGAGCUGGACUUGUGGUUUGUUUCUUCUCCCGUAGAAAAACUUCGAAAUCCAUCACAGUACAGAACAGGAAUCCAAGUAAGUUCCAAAAGGUGGCCUUGUGGGUAAUUCAUUUUUCUAAUGGCAUAUUGUUCCAUCCAGGCUUGUCUCUAAAAUCUCCAAACUCUAGCACUAAAAUGAUUGCUUACAAGGAUGUGAUUGAGGCCACAAGCAACUUCAAGAGAGUCAUUGGUGAAGGAAGUUUUGGACCCGUGUACUAUGGCUGCCUUCCAAAUGGUGUUGAAGUUGCAGUCAAGGUUUUAUCCAGUAACUCAAAGCAAGGAUAUCAAGAAUUUCAAACUGAGGUGAGUUUGAUCAUCAACAGGUACAAAUCUAUCUAAUUUUCCUUGAUAGAUUGAUAUUUUAUCAGUUGUACACCACAAGAACUUAGUGCCCUUUCUUGGUUACUGUACUCAAAAGUCCAAGCUCAUACUGGUCUACGAGUUCUUGUCAAAUGGAACGUUGAGGGAGCACUUGUAUGGUGGUAAGAAUUUUUUGUGUUGAAACGUCCUCCUUUAAUGUAAUGUCAGAAGGUAAAAGAUAUCCAACUCUAAGCUGGAAAACUCGGCUUGGAAUAGCUCUAGAUGCUGCUCAAGGUAAGCUAAAUCUCUGAAUUGAUAUGAUAUAACUCUCUCUCAUAGGAUUGGAGUAUUUGCACACAUCUUGCAAUCUACACAUAAUCCAUCGAGACGUCAAAACAAGCAAUAUACUUUUAAGUUUUGAUAUGGUUGCAAAAGUCAGUGACUUCGGUCUCUCCAAGUUUUAUGACAGUAACAAAGCAUCUCAUGUCUCAACUGGCAUCAAAGGAACUCCAGGAUAUCUUGAUCCAGAGUGAGCAAAAGUUUUUUUUCUCAAUAAGCAUGAUAUUUUACUGAAUUUAAUGGUUUUACAGGUCACAGAGAAAUCAGACGUAUACAGCUUUGGAGUGGUACUAUUUGAGAUUGUUUGCGGACGUGAGCCCCUCAAUUUCACACUCCUUGAGGAACAAAUUGUUCUUUCGGAAUGGGUAAACGAUUAAGAGAGCUAAGUUAUAAACAUCUGUUCUUGAUGAGCUUUGCUUCCUCCCAGGCAUGCAAGGAACUUGAGAAAGGCAACCUACGAACAGUAGUCGAUCCCAAGUUAUCCGACUAUGGAGAGAAAGCAGCACUGAAGGUUUUGGAGGUGGCAAGAAAAUGUGUGGAACGUUCUCCCCACGGGAGGCCUAACAUGAGCACUGUCGUGAUCCAGCUGAGAGAGGCCAUCCAACUCGAGGAGGACGGAAGUUCACUGCCAAAAUCCAUGGAAAUAUUCACUGGAGGAAGAUAGAUAUGCAAAUAUACUUAAAUUCUAUAAGAUUGUGGCUAUGGCAUUUUUAACUACAUAUAAUAAUAAUAAUAAUACUUUUACUUUAAUGUUUUAAAAGUUGCGACUGAGUGACGAAAGAGAAGGGAUAUUGGAGUCAAUUCGUUCUUAUCAAAUGCGGGUUGCUCUUCUCAGGAAGAGAAUACUACACCGGUAAGUGCUAGUGCUUUGUAUCCUUGGUAGAAAGAGGCCGCUGGACACUAUCUUUCUUGAGCGCAAUGAAUUUCUGUUCAGUGUUUGUGCCCACAAGAUCCACGAUCACCAAAUUUCCGAAGUGUCAACCCGUCUAUGAAGCGAAUCGAAUCCUUGGCACCGCUGAUCCCAUCCUGGUGGCUCUGCGAUGGCUGUUCCUGCUGCUGGAUGCUGGAGGACAAGUCAGCCUCGCCGAUCUCAAGAGCGCCAAGGAACCUGUACGAGAUGCUGGGCUUGAACGCCAGGAAGAACCGGGUGACGGUGGCGGGCUGGAUGACGGCCGUGUCCUUCCACCCGACUUGAUCCACGUCGGCUCCCUGUGCCUCGCCCGUGUAGCAGCUCCUCGAGUCCGGGUAGUCGUACUCGAACGAGCACGACCCGGCAGCGAAUCGCCCGGUGUCGAAUCCCUGCUGCUCGAGCACGAGAAAGUUGAUGAGAUGGAUGUGGAUCGGAUGGGAUGCUGUCAUGGUGUUGAUCAUGCACCACACCUCGUUCGUGUAGAGCAGGACUUGCUCGGUGGCCGGACGCGUGAAAGAGAACCUGUCCUGGAGGAAGAGUCCCGUGAGCGUGUUUCCAGAGUCGUGAACGAAAGGCCGGUUGUAAGUUGACGCCCAGUCGACGUACGAGAGAUCUACUCCGGCCGUGGCUUUGAUGAUCGAUAGCGUCGGCAACUCGGCCAGCUCGCUUGGAGUGAGUGCUUGCGGGAUCUCAUUGGCGUCUUCGUCGACGGUAGCGUUGGUCUGCCAGUUGAUUACGUUGAACAGGAGAACUUCUUGCUCGGUGACGCUUCCACUCGGGAAUGGAGCCGACGGGUUGUUGUACAAGAGAACUCUCUCCCCGGGCUUCACUCCGCGAAAGUCGAUAAGAAUGUCGACUCGUUCGGAAGGAGAGAGGCUGAGCUUCUUCUGCCGUAUCGGAGUCGCCAGGUAUCCCCCGUCCGUGGCAAUCUUGAUGAAGCUCAAGCUCGUGUCGUUCAAGGUGAGGAUGAAGAAUCUCGAGUUUGCCGCAAGCAGCACCCGGAACCUCACCACCACCGGCCAGACUUCGAUGUAAGGCCACACCUUCCCGUUCACCAGAAUGGUAUCACCAAAGUAGUCCGCACACCACUGCGGAUGAACUGCCGGAUUGCUGGGAUAGUUUAUGGAGCCAUCGCUGAAGAACUGCUUGUCUUGGAUCACCAGAAGUAAGUAGUUUCUCGGGACCCAGGAUGGAUCUUCCCAGGGCGACUCUAUCACGUAAAGUCCGACCAAGCCAGCAGCCAUAUUGAGCCGGGUCAUGCCGUAAGUGUGGUCGUGAUACCACAGGAGCAAGUGGCGCUGAAAGUUGGGAUAGACGUAGUUUUGCGCAGGUUGGAGGAGUGCCCAAUGUCUUGGAAGUUCGUAACGCUGUUCAUCCUCGAGAUUUUAGUCGCAGUAGAAGCGGAUGAGGUCUGUCUGCAACUGUCACCGUCCCCGGAGCUGGAAAAGUUCGUCGACGUUCUUCCAACGCCACCGAAGAUAUACUUGACCCCACGCUACAGAGUUACCAUUGGAGCUUACAAAAUCACCCAGGUCCACUUGAUUUCCAGACUCUUCCAAGACUCGUUUUUUUUUGUUGACGCAGAAACUGCACAGAGACUUGCCACCAACAACACUGUAUGCAUUCGGCACGAGCGAGUAUACAGCUUCAUAUCCGGGUCCAACUUUGAUAGCCCAAAAGAGACAAACAUCCUUUGUCCGAUGGGAAAAUCACAUUCCAGAUCGUGAACACUCUCUUCCAGUCGACUAUACGAUCCUAGGGGCGGUACGGCUACAUUCCCGUGGUCCCUCAUCUCCAUGGACAAGAGGGCUCGAGAUGGUCCGACGGGCAUCCAGAAGCCUGGUUUACAUCAGUUGGCGAGCGGGGCCCGGGUUACGUAACAACACUUGGAUCGUAUAGUCGACUUUGAAUCUGAUUUUUCCUAUCGGACAAAGUUGCGAAGUAAAGUUGCUAUCAAACUUUCAAUCGUACAGGGUUAUAACUCCAGCAUUAACUCUGUAAGCAGCUGACAAGGUAGCGUAGUUCAUACGUUCUUGCUCUGGAACUUCAGCUCUUUGAGAGGUCUAGCUGAAAGAAUUGAGAGCUCUGGUUUGUGCUAUCUUCUUACUCUUUUCGAAAAUAGGUCCAGGGAAAUGUGGUCGGCAGAUUAUCUCCUUCAACUUCUCACGGUUGGCUUCCUCGCAAAGAUUUAUGUUUCAGCGCAACCAGGUCAGUAGUAUUGCAUAUAUGGUCAUUGUGAAGAAUGUUUUUGCAGGAUUUUUGAGCCUGGACUGUGGAGGUUAUGACAAUUACACGGAUGGAAAUGGUAUCGAAUGGACACCGGAUGACAAGUAUAUCACCACCGGAAUUCCAACCUCCAUUUCAAUCUCUGCUAAAAAUCAGACAGAUUUACUUUGGCAGCGUCUUCGCUACUUUAAUGACACCUCUCGGAAGCACUGCUAUGCUCUGCCAGUCGUGGUAAACCAGAGCUACAUCCUGAGGCCAUCGUUCUACUACGGAAACUACGAUGGGAUAGAAACAACUUUAACGCAGUUUAACAUUAUAAUUGGUGCAAACGAUGUGGUAAAGGCCGGCGUGGAUUUAACCAGCAAAGAACUGAAGUACUAUUACGAGUUUGUGAUUAAAGCCACAAGCUCGACCCUGGAUCUAUGCCUUGGAACCCGCUCAAAUUCACCAGCAAAUAUCCCGUUCAUCUCUGCAAUCGAGCUCAGAAGACUGGAUCCCGGUUUGAAAAUAAGUUCUUUCAAUGCUAGUGAGCUUUUGAUCAUGUGGAGAAGGAUCGAUUUAGGAGCAGCUACAAAACAUACCAUCAGGUAAGAAAUUCUUCAGAAGUUAAAUGUUCUUUUUGACUCGUAUCAAACAGGUACCCUUCUGAUGACUAUGAUCGAAUAUGGAGACGUGAUACAGAUUUCCCAGGCUUCAUGGGAGAAUACCAACGGAUCAAUACUACUUCGAAUGUUUCUCUGGGAAAAACUCUUGACAAACCUCCCACGGCGGUGAUGAGUUCCGCCAUCACUUCCAAUUCGACAAUGGUUUUCCAGUUCCCAACAAAGCUUCCCACAACGCCGACUAAAUUCUACGUCAACUUUUACUUUGCUGAGUUUUCUGCCCUGGUGAACAACACGAGGGAGUUCCGAGUCAUUCUUAACACCAGCUCGCUUGAAUCUCCCCACCUUUUGGCGACCAUCAACGUGGAGAAGUAUACUCAGGCUCCUUUAACUUCAUUCCAAAUGUACCUCAACUCGCCAGUGGAGCUUACCGAGCCAACAAACUUCUUGUUUGUGCCCACGGUGAACUCUACGCUUGGUCCGAUUCUCAAUGCUGCCGAGCUGUGUGAGUACAAAGGAGGUCUCCUCCCAGGGACGGAACCCAACGAUGGUAAAGCACAUAUGAAACUUUAAAUAAUUGUGAUCUCGUUAACAUUGUCAUAAACAAUGCAGUGGCAGCUAUACGUGAUGUGAUGAAAGAUUUUCACAUCACUGAGUGGUCAGGAGACCCUUGCUUGCCUGACGCGUACACUUGGAAAUGGAUUACUUGCGAUGUAGCUCAAAUCCCAGCAAGAAUUAUAGAGCUGUAAUAAGUGGACGCAUUUCUAGCGUGAUCACAUUAACAUCUGUGCAUGACAGGAACUUGUCUAGCAGUGGACUCAAAGGAACCAUAUCACUGUCCAUCACAAAGCUAUCGCAUCUAACAAAAAUGUAUGUAUGGGUUUUUUUAACGUAAUUUUUCGUUCUUCUGAUCUUUAUGUCUUCAGAUAUCUGGAUAACAACGCAUUGACAGGGCGUGUUCCAGAUUUUAGCUCCUUGAAAAACCUCACGGUUUUGUGAGUACCACCAUUCAGUAUGCUAGAUGAUAGAAUUUUACUAAUUCUUUUGCAGGUCAUUAGAAAACAACAGUUUGGAUUGCCUACCACCAGAACAUGUACACUUCUCUUACAAGUCAGUUUUUCUCUAUUGCCAUUGAAUUGUUUAUCACCUAUAUGUUUUUUCAGCGCUACUUUUAGCUUGUGUGAGAAGAAACAUACAACACUUAUAUUUGAAGUAGUGGUACCAUGUGCAGCCAUAUUGUUAGUUGGAGCUGUACUUGUGGUUUGUUUCUUUUCCCGUGGAAAAACUUCAAAAUCCAUCACAGAACAGAACAGGAAUCCAAGUAAGUUCCAAAAGGUAGCCUUGUGGGUAACUCAUUUUUCUAAUGGCAUAUUGUUCCAUCCAGGCUUGUCUCUAAAAUCUCCAAACUCUAGCACUAAAAUGAUUGCUUACAAGGAUGUGAUUGAGGCCACAAGCAACUUCAAGAGAGUCAUUGGUGAAGGAAGUUUUGGACCCGUGUACUAUGGCUGCCUUCCAAAUGGUGUUGAAGUUGCAGUCAAGGUUUUAUCCAGUAACUCAAAGCAAGGAUAUCAAGAAUUUCAAACUGAGGUGAGUUUGAUCAUCAACAGGUACAAAUCUAUCUAAUUUUCCUUGAUAGAUUGAUAUUUUAUCAGUUGUACACCACAAGAACUUAGUGCCCUUUCUUGGUUACUGUACUCAAAAGUCCAAGCUCAUACUGGUCUACGAGUUCUUGUCAAAUGGAACGUUGAGGGAGCACUUGUAUGGUGGUAAGAAUUUUUUGUGUUGAAACGUCCUCCUUUAAUGUAAUGUCAGAAGGUAAAAGAUAUCCAACUCUAAGCUGGAAAACUCGGCUUGGAAUAGCUCUAGAUGCUGCUCAAGGUAAGCUAAAUCUCUGAAUUGAUAUGAUAUAACUCUCUCUCAUAGGCUUGGAGUAUUUGCACACAUCAUGCAAUCUACACAUAAUCCAUCGAGACGUCAAAACAAGCAAUAUACUUUUAAGUUUUGAUAUGGUUGCAAAAGUCAGUGACUUCGGUCUCUCCAAGUUUUAUGACAGUAACAAAGCAUCUCAUGUCUCAACUGGCAUCAAAGGAACUCCAGGAUAUCUUGAUCCAGAGUGAGCAAAAGUUUUUUUUCUCAAUAAGCAUGAUAUCUUACUGAAUUUAAUGGUUUUUCAGGUACCAUUCCUAUAGCAGGCUCACAGAGAAAUCAGAUGUAUACAGCUUUGGAGUGGUACUAUUUGAGAUUGUUUGCGGACGUGAGCCCCUCAAUUUCACACUUCUUGAGGAACAAAUUGUUCUUUCGGAAUGGGUAAACUAUUAAGAGAGCUUAGUUAUAAACAUCUGUUCUUUGCUUCCUCCCAGGCAUGCAAGGAACUUGAGAAAGGCAACCUACGAACAGUAAUCGAUCCCAGCUUAUCCGACUAUGGAGAGAAAGCAGCACUGAAGGUUUUGGAGGUGGCAAGAAAAUGUGUGGAACGUUCUCCCCACGGGAGGCCUAACAUGAGCACUGUCGUGAUCCAGCUGAGAGAGGCCAUCCAACUCGAGGAGGACGGAAGUUCCCUGCCAAAAUCCAUGGAAAUAUUCACUGGAGGAAGAUAGAUAUGCAAAUAUACUAGAAUUUUAUAAGAUUGUGGAUAUAUAGUUUACGAUGGCAUUUUUAACUAUAUAAUAAUAAUAAUAAUAAUAAUAAUAAAACUUUUACUUUAAUGUUUUAAAAGUUGCGACUGUUUAGGGACUGAGUGGGAUACUGCAGUCAAAUCGUUGUUAUCAAAUGCGGGCUGCUUUUCUCAGGAAGAGAAUACUACACCGGUAAGUGCUAGUGCUUUGUAUCCUUAGUAGAAAGAGGCCGCUGGACACUAUCUUUCUUGAGCGCAAUGAAUUUCUCUCCAGUGUUUGUCACUCUGCCCACAAGAUCCACGAUCACCAAAUUUCCGAAGUGUCAACCCGAAUCGAAUCCUUGGCACCGCUGAUCCCAUCCCGGUGGCUCUACGAUGGCUGCUCCUGCUGCUGGAUGCUGGAGGACAAGUCAGCCUCGCCGAUCUCAAGAGCGCCAAGCUCAGGAAGCAAGAGAAGAAGGGGAAGGGAGGCAUGAUUCGCGAGGACCUCUACUAUCCUGGCGUCCUGUAGGUGCAUCGUGUGGCCAGCACGGGCUGCAUUACGAGAAACAAUGCCAGUGGUACGUGUCCAUGCUAGACAUGCAAGGAUUCGUCAAUGGCGAGCUCAGAGCUGGUUCUACAUACGAGCGAGCUAGCGGGAGGCUACAGGUGACUCCUAAGUUCCCAUCAGUGCCAGAAGCCUCGGAUCCAGAUUUUCUUCUCAUGACUUAACGCUGGCAGAUGUUCUUCCCUCGAAACCGAGCCGCGGUUUUGCUACGGUGGUAGAGCACAUCUAGUGGCUGUUCAAGCUGCCUCAUCCGGCUAUCACGUUGAAAGGCGCAGAACUCGUGCUGUCCGAGGAACACGGUGUUCAAGGUGUGGUUGCGCCUCUAGCCAGUGUCGAGAAGCGUAUCAUCUCGCAACGGAUGGCCAUGUCAACCUGCGGAGGCUGUGCAGCUCAGGAGAGGUGGACGUAGGUCUCCUCAGCUAUCUGGUACUGGAGAGUUACGGGGAGCUAUUCGGUGAGGCUCAUGUCCGGGAUGCAGUCUCCAUGGAGGAGAUGUGGAACCAUAGACUCUGGCACCUUCACGAGAAAGGUGUGCUCCAUCGGGAUCUCAAGCCAGACAACAUGCUGGUCUUAAUGGGGUGCUGAAGAUCAUCGACUAUGACGUUUCGUGUUUCAAAGGCGAGGCUACCACCUUCACGGAAGACGCUGGCACCAAGGGGUAUGAGUCGCCAUUCGCUACUGCGGCCUUACAAGUAGGAGGAUGACGUGCUGAGCUUGGCACUGGUGUUUUACUCUCAAAGAACAGGCGUGCGAGGACAGAUGAGAGCGACUUCGUAUUUUGGGUGACGACCUCUGCUCACAGUGCUGGCGCUGGACAAAUUCAUUGAGAAGCUAUGGUUUUGAUCCUAGAGACGCCCUCUCUACUGCGAAGGAAGGUGACUUGGUGUAUCCUUAAAAUGUUUUUCUUCCUUUAUAUUGAUAGUAGCUAAAUCUUCUACACCAUGCGAAGCAACAAAACUACCCACAUACUGCUAGGAGAAUGUGUGGUUGCAGCAUUCUACUUGUAAAAUCAUCCACUUACAAACUUCUACCAACGUACCAUACAUUUGUAGCUUUGCCAACCAUCUUUUAUUCCGGAUGAAUGGCAGGAGAUUCGUGCUCAGAAAACUGCAGCCGCCGUGAGUGACAAAGGUUUUUGCAAUCUGUGGAGCCCGCACUUGCUCCGAGCCUGCUGUAACGUAUCAACUCGAUGCAGUUCUUGAGGACUUUGUGGCUGAUGCAUGGAGAAUGGGAUCUCUGGGGAUGGCUGGGACAGCUCUAUGUAUCAUGAUCAUGACAAAAGGAAGGAUGCAAAAGGUGCAAGAGUGAAAUCCUUGCCAUGCUUGCCAAGAAUGUGAUUCAUGUGCACUAUGUGCAACCAGGGAUCACAUAUGAUGAUCUUCCAUCAUCAGCUUUUGCAGUUCACUUUUCUGCAAUGAAAGAGGUUAUGGAAUGCAUUCAGUGUUCAUACCUCCUACCGGACACGACAUAGGGAGGAGCACAAGGAGCUGUGAUCAAAAUAUAGUUAGAACUUAUUGAUACAUAAAUGAUACGUGUUUGUGUAAAGCUUGUGUUACUAGUUGUUCUUGUUCCGCUAUCAAGAAUAACACCUGGUAAAGUUUCAGCGUUCUAGAUGGAUGGAAUGGAAUUGUGACUAGAACAUCUUAUUGUUGCGUGUAGUUUUAGUAAAGAUGGAUGGACUCGUUGGUGACGAGCUUUACGUAGACGUGUUUCCUGCGAAAGAAAGAGAAGGAUUCCAGUGAUGAAAAAAAAACAAUGCCAAGAGUGUGAGCACCUGUCGUGUGGAUGGAUCGAGUUCCCGGUGGCGAGCCCUACGUUUUUGCUUUCGUCCCUGGGAAAGUAACGAGGGAAGGACUUGUUGGUGUAGAGAGCAUUCGUGCUGGACACCACCAGCGGCCUCAUCAUCUCGUUAUCCUCGUGCUCGAGAAUGUGGCAGUGCCACACAAAGUGUGGAAACGUCGUUGGAUCCAGCGGGAACCUGUACGAGAUGCUGGGCUUGAACGCCAGGAAGAACCGGGUGACGGUGGCGGGCUGGAUGACGGCCGUGUCCUUCCACCCGACUUGAUCCACGUCGGCUCCCUGUGCCUCGCCCGUGUAGCAGCUCCUCGAGUCCGGAUAGUCGUACUCGAACGAGCACGACCCGGCAGCGAAUCGCCCGGUGUCGAAUCCCUGCUGCUCGAGCACGAGAAAGUUGAUGAGAUGGAUGUGGAUCGGAUGGGAUGCUGUCAUGGUGUUGAUCAUGCACCACACCUCGUUCGUGUAGAGCAGGACUUGCUCGGUGGCCGGACGCGUGAAAGAGAGCCUGUCCUGGAGGAAGAGUCCCGUGAGCGUGUUUCCAGAGUCGAGGCUUACACGGUGGACGAAAGGCCGGUUGUAAGUUGACACCCAGUCGACGUACGAGAGAUCUACUCCGGUCGUGGCUUUGAUGAUCGAUAGCGUCGGCAACUCGGCCAGCUCGCUUGGAGUGAGUGCUUGCGGGAUCUCAUCGUCGUCUUCGUCGAUGGUACCGUUGGUCCGCCAGUUGAUUACUUUGAACAGGAGAACCUCUUGCUCGGUGACGCUUCCACUCGGGAAUGGAGCCGGCGCGGUGUUGUACAAGAGAACUCUCUCCCCGGGCUUCACUCCGCGAAAGUCGAUAAGAAUGUCGACUCGCUCGGAAGGAGAGAGCCUGAGCUUCUUCUGCCGUAUCGGAGUCGCCAGGUAUCCCCCGUCCGUGCCAAUCUUCAUGAAGCUCAAGCUCGUGUCGUUCAAGUUGAGGAUGAAGAAUCUCGAGUUUGCCGCAAGCAGCACCCGGAACCUCACCACCACCGGCCAGACUUCGAUGUAAGGCCACACCUUCCCGUUCACCAGAAUGGUAUCACCAAAGUAGUCCGGACACCACUGCGGAUGAACUCCCGGAUUGCUCCCAACACUGGGAUAGUUUAUGGAGCCGUCGCUGAAGAACUGCUUGUCUUGGAUCACCAGAAGCACGUAGUUUCUCGGGACCCAGGAUGGAUCUUCCCACGGCGACUCUAUCACGUAAACUCCGACCAAGCCAGCAGCCAUGUUGAGCCGGGUCAUGCCGUAAGUGUGGUCGUGAUACCACAGGAGCGAGUGGCGCUGAAAGUUGGGAUAGACGUAGUUUUGCGUCACGUAACCCGGGCCCCGCUCGCCAACUGAUGUAAACCAGGCUUCUGGAUGCCCGUCAGACCAGCUCGAGCCCUCUUGUCCAUGGAGAUGAGGGACCAUGGGAAUGUAGCCGUAGCGCGGACCCGCCCCUAGGAUCGUAUAGUCGACUGGAAGAAAGUGUUCACGAUCUGGAAUGUGAUUUUCCCAUCGGACAAAGGAUGUUUCUCUCUUUUGGGCUAUCAAAGUUGGACCCGGAAAAGAAGCUGUAUACUCGCUCGUGCCGAAUGCAUACAGUGUUGUUGGUGGCAAGUCUCUGUGCAGUUUCUGCGUCAACAAAAGAAAAAACGAGUCUUGGAAGAGUCUGGAAAUCAAGUGGAGAAAGAACACAUACCUGGGUGAUUUUGUAAGCUCCAAUGGUAACUCUGUAGCGUGGGCUCAAGUAUAUCUUUGGUGGCGUUGGAAGAACGUCGACGAACUUUUCCAGCUCCGGGGAUGGUGACAGUUGCAGACAGACCUCAUCCGCUUCUACUGCGACUAAAAUCUCGAGGAUGAACAGCGUUACGAACUUCCAAGACAUUAGGAACUCUUCCAACCUGCUUGCAACACUUGCCGAACUUAAAUAAAGUCAGUCAAAGAAGUGAACCUGGCGUAGUCCAGACGUACUUGCAAAGUCUUUUCCAAAGAGCGUGACACAGCUCGCCGGGAGUUCAAAUAAUUCAGCGCUUGAGAGGCCGAAAAAUAAUGGCUAGCAAAGGAAAGUUGUGCUUCAUUGUCUCGUCGAUCUUCAUCCUGCGUUUUGCUCAAGCAGAACAAUACUACAGGAAUUUCACCAGCAAAAUAAAUGAUUCCUUCUUGUUUCCGCUUGAUCCACACGGCUUGAAUGGCCGCUACGCUGGUUUAUGGUCCAACUAUAGCGACACACAGAUCAGCCGGUAUAUUAGUUACGAGGUGUGGAUGCUGAGUUAUAACGCUGACACACCACGAUCGUUUUUCCUGGCCCUCGUUGCCAUCCGCAAUCCAACUAGCUGGGAGCUCACAAGACCGGUCAUCCUGUGGAAGGCCAGACAGACGAGGCUUGUAGGUGAGAAUGCCACUCUACAAUUUACCACAGAUGAAGGACUUAAAGUCGAAGAAGACGGUGAUGUUGUAUGGUCCACGAAAACUGCAAACAGAGGCGUCCGGUGGCUCUGUAUUUCCAAUCGCGCAACCAUAAUGCUCCUGGAUGAAAGCGGAAGCAAUGUCAUCUGGCAAAGCAGCGACGAACCUUCUGAUACUGUGCUGUUGCAACGAGCACUUACGCCGGGACAAAAGCUCGUAAGUUGGAAUACUUCAGAAGACAGCAGCGAUGGCCUCUAUAGUCUCGUCAUAGAGAAAAACAGGCUGCAACUGUUGUACGCCUCGCAACCGUACUGGAGCUUCGGUAAUAUUACCAGCGAGGAAGAUAUGUUUGCGGUGUUUUGCUGGCAAAACGAUGGUAUCGUGUCUCUGGAUCUGCGAGGCAACUUCUCACAGAUUGAAACGGAGCGUGAUGACUUGGGCUUAGUGUUUUCCUGGUCAUGUUCCAGUCGAGGUUUAAGAGACCAAGUGAUGGAGUUGCCAAUAAAUGGGUCACAACUCACGGCCUCCACUUUCAUAAAGCUGAAACCGGACGGGGAUGUCGUCUUGUACUCCUGGAAUUGGACGGGUACAAACUGGAUAGAUUUCUUCAGGUUUUCGACUCUCUUCAAGUGCUUUCUUCCAAGUGGAUGUGGAAGAUACAGAACCUGCAAUUCAGCAUCAGGCGCAUGCGAGGAAACUUGUCCAGAUACCUUUGCAAGAAGAGGUGAAGACUGCCAGCCACCAUAUCCACUAGAGACAUGCGAAGACCAGCUCGAGUAUCGAUUCGUUCGAAGAGAGGGAGCUGAUUACUUCUCCACAAAUUAUUCCACUCCAGUUCCUGAAGCAUCAGUGGAGGCGUGUCAGGGGCGACGUGAGUCGAACUGCACCUGCACGGCGGCCUUUUAUAAUGACGGGAGCUGCUUUCUCACGCACGGCGACGUGCAGUCACUCCGAUCUGGGAAGUACGUUGCUCUGCUGAAAGUUGCCCGCCCUCGAAAGGUUUCCAAGACGCAACUCCAGGCCAUCACAUUGGGAGUACUUGUUCCAACAUUGUUCCUGCUGAUAGUCUGUCUCGGAUGGCACUGCCGGAGGAGAAAUAAGCAUGAUGACGACGAGGGAGAAGAAGAAAGCACCUUGCAGCUAUCCCUCAUGGCGGGUAUCCCCAGGCGCUUCAGUUUCCAGGAGCUUGAAGAAGUCACAGGGAAGUUCAGCAACUGCCUCGGGAAUGGAGGAUUCGGAAACGUUUUCAAAGGAUUACUUGCCGAUGGCACUGAAGUUGCUGUGAAGAAGCUCGAAGGCUCGAACCAGAAAAGUAAGGACUUUUUUGCGGAAGUUGGAAUUCUAGCCAGGACGCACCACUGGAACCUCGUCAAGCUGCUGGGAUUCUGUGCGCAAGGGCCCAGGAAAAGGCUCCUUGUGUACGAGUAUAUGAAGAAUGGCUCCCUAGAGCGGUGGAUAUUUGAAGACGACAGAAUUCCUGGGAAUAUUUCGUGGAAACUUAGAUUCAACAUCGCAAUAGGCACAGCGAGAGGAUUGAACUACUUACACGAUGACUGUGUUGAAAGGAUAAUCCACCUGGAUCUGAAGCCGGAGAACGUACUCCUCGACGAUGGUUUCCAGCCGAAGAUAGCAGACUUCGGAUUGUCCAAGCUCAUGGACAGGAAGGAAAGCCAGUUGCAGCUGACGAUUACGAGAGGCACCCCUGGCUACGUUGCACCGGAGUGUAUUCAGGAAGGAACGGUGACUGAAAAAACAGAUGUUUUCGGCUUCGGGGUUCUGCUGCUCGAGAUCAUAACAGGCUGCAAGAACAGGAACCUCUCAGGCGACUACCUGAAGGACUACUUGUUGGUUAGUAACAGAAACGGUAGUGCCGCUGCUCACCUCUCUGAAGAAGAGAACGAAAAGGAAAGAUUGAAGAAUGUUGCGGCGUUGUGUGUUCGAGACGAUCCAAACUUACGGCCCUCGAUAAGCAAGGUUAUACAGAUGAUGGAAGGAGUUACCGAGCUGCUUGAAGUACCUUUGGAAUCGGAGCUGAAUUUCUUUUUCGCUUACAGACCCAAAGAUCAGCUUAGCAGAACCGCAGCCUCGAACGUGACUUAUAGGAGUUCUGAUAAGUUGCUGAACUCAUCUUCCUCGUUUAAUGCCUUCUCACAAUCUAGCCUGAAUGCCCGAUGAAAUUAUACGUUACAACAUUGAACGAAAAAUAUACCUUCGUUGAUUCGCUACUGCUGAAACUGUUGCGCUAAGCCAAAAACAAUGUAGCUGCAAUAUCAUUAAAUCAUCAACCUCCAAAGAAGAACAGUUAUAUCUUCUCCUAUUUGGGUUCCAGAAACUCAUAAAGGAAAUUCGUCGUCCAAGUCUGUAGAAAAAUCGUCAAUUAGUACGUGAUUCAAAACUAGAAAUUAUAAGAAGAAACCGUUUCGAGCUUCGGCUUUCAGCAAUAGCAAGCUACAAAAAGAAAAACCUCGCGAAAUAUCCUGAAAAGCUCCAUCAGGAACACAAGAAAAGAGAAAGAUUGCCAAUCGUCAUUGCAAUGUGGGGUAAAAAGGCAAUAUUGAGCUUAAAAUCGCAGGUGAUCUUGAGAGAAAAGGAUGGAGCUCCCUCAUGAGAGUUUCGAAAAGAUGCUGAAACUAUCAAUAUCGUUCAAGGAUUUGCCACAACACGAGUCCAUCUAGAGCACAAAAAAAGGAAUAGCAAUGGACGCGAUUCUUAGCUUGAAAACCAAAAUUUACCAAACGAUGGACAGCGUCCGCCUGGAGCUAACACAGUUGGAGCACAAAAGCAAGCGCAUCACAGCGCGCUCUUCCUCUAUCAACGAACAGCGACCAAAGUGUGAGCGUCCAUCUAAAGCCAAAGGAAUUCUUUGUGUAAGCGAAAUAUACCUCAGAUUUCACGGAUCUUCUGUGACGAGCUCCAGCGCCAAGAAAAAGAAAUCGCGCCAUGGCAUUGCAUUCUACAAAUUGCGAGGUUAAUCAGCCGCAAGAAAUCGAAACUAGAGAGAGCAACUCAAUGAAUGAAGUGUCACCUCAAAGAUUCACCACAGUGCUCGAGCAGCAUUGCGCCGAUCUCCACGGAAUGCGACUCGAUCGGCAGAAAUCCAUUGCAUUUUCCGAGCUCCAUCCCUGGCCCAUUCAUAAACCCUAGAACACAAACCCACUUUAAGAGGCUUUAACAGGAGCAAAGGUUUAUUAUUUAUCCACGUAUGAUCCAAAACAUUCUUCGCAAUCUAGCGAGCCAAGGAUUUCACAGCGUCUCGCAGCCUCGUGUAGUCCUCGAGCUUGUUGUAAAUCUGGUGAGAAACUCUCGCGUACGCCGUCCCGGAUCUCUUGCUCUUCGAAUUCGCGCUGGGCGAUCCCCCCGCCUGGAAGCAAAUCGGCACCUCCACUCCAAACUCCCUGCGCAAGCUCGGCACACGUCCCACACUGCGUCCCCCACGCCGCCGCGAGCAUCUCCGCCAUCGCCAUCGCCCGGCGGUGAUUGAAAGCGAUGAGACUGGAGAGGCCACCUAGAUUCCCAUCGAUGAACUCCACCGCGGCGGUCACAGCGAGCUGGGAGGUGUAGUCUCUCGUCCCCACCCAAGAACACUCGCUGAAGAGCCCCAGCUUGAAGUUGUGAGACACCACCGGGUGGUGGAGGCGCUCCAGGUGCUUGGCCUUGGCGUGGAGGAACGCGACGCUAUGUGGAGCGAAGAGCCACUUGUGGAGAUUGCUCGAGUAGUAGUCGGCGUCGAUCUCCUCCACGCUCAGCUCGAUGUUGCCGAUCGCGUGAGCUCCGUCCACGAAGAUCUGCUCCACUCCAGCGUCGCGGCAAAGGGCGACGAGAUCUCGCGCCGGGAGAACCACCGAUGGCAUCGAGGUGAUGUGGUCGAUCACCGCCAGCCGGAUGGUGGUGGAGCUCUUGGCGGCCUGCUCCAGCGAUCGCUGGAAGCUGUCGAUGAUCUGCCGGGCGGAGAGGAUUGGAAGCGCGAGCUCCACCUCGAUGAUCCUCGCGCCGGCGCGAACAGCGUAGGCCUCGAAGCACUUCUUCACGGCGGCAUAGCUGCAAUUGAGCAUGAGGAUGGCGUCGCCGGGGUGGAAUCUCUUCUCCAGGAAUCCCCACGCCAUGUCCUGGGCGAUCAUCGCCGCCGCCGUCGUCACGUUGUCCACCAGGACGAUCUCCUCCACGUUGGGGGCGCGGAUGAUCGACGCGAUCGCCUCCCGCGACGCGCGCAAUCUCUUCUCCAGGGGGCCGAAGUAGAACUCGUCCGGCUGCUCCAGCCACUGCCUGUGCCAUCGCUGCUGCGCCUCCAGGACCGAUCGAGGACAGCUCCCAAAGCUCCCAUUGUUGAUUCUCGCGAUUCCUUGCCUGUGAUGCGAGAAUUCGCGAGCCAGCAUCUCCUCCCAGAUCUUGCCGGAUCCUACAAUCGGCAUUCUCUGGAUACUCCCGGCCUCUUGGCCUUGCAUCGACACAGUCAUGGCGCAGCACCCUCGAUCGAUCAAGAAUCCCUACCCUCGUCGCGGGGAUCAAUCCAAUGCAGCACAACCUUCCCAGAAGAAUCUACACUCACAAUCUCGCGGGAAAUAGGUCGAGUUCUUCGCCGCUGCCCUGCCGCCAUAGCUCAAGCUUCUGCCCUUAAAAACAAACGAGCCUCUUAUUCCCUGGAUAUUCUCAUUUGUCCGUUAUUAUAUGAAGGAAUCUAUGGGCAUAUCCGUCUUGGUCAAUGCAUAUGCCCGGAUAUCCUAAGAAGAUAGCUUUGCAGCAAUGGCAAAACAAUUCCUCCACGAAAGAAGGAAUCGAUCGAUCAAAAAGAAUGUUGCCAUAGCUUUUCGAGAUGCUUGCUAUCGCCCAUCCUGCAAUGGAAGAAUAACAAAGGUUGUUAGAUCUCGAUUCCUCUGGAGAAAGAUCGUCAAACCUUGUGUUUUCGAGUGCCCAUCCUAGUUAUUAAAAGAAUAGCAAAGAUCGUUAGAUUUUGAGAGAAAGAUCCUCAAACCUUUGCUGUGUUAUUCGAGACGCUAUCGCCCAUCCUGGCAAAGACAUGUGAUAGAAGAAUAACAAAGCUUGUAAGAUUGCGAUUCCUCUGUAGAAAGACCAUCAAACCUUUGUUUACGUUUUCGCUCCCGUGCUCCGUGCGAGUUACUUUCUUGCUUGCGUUUUCUCUUGCCGACGUCCUCGUACUCGAUUGGAUCGAUUAUCACUCCCGCUCGUUUGAUUAUCUGCGUGGAAAUCACGUUUACAAUCAAAUCAAAACAGGAAGAUCGAGAAACAGUAAGAAAAACAAAGCUUACAGAUGGUCGUGUCAAGUCCUGGAAAGCUUUGGUUGGAUUGUAAUCACCCCCAAUGGCAUCCGCAUUGUUUUCUCGAAAACUUCUUUCGAUGUGUAGGGGAAUGGCAGCGACGACGACAGGAACUUUGCAGCCUGUUACACAGAGAAGUGAGCAAAGAAAAGGAAGAACAGGAAAAAACGCUCCCAGUACCUUCUUAUCAGUCUUCUGGCUGAUGAUGACGUGCUUGAGCUUUGCAUCCAGUCUCCGCUUCUCGGCCUCUUCUUUCUUUCGCUUGGCCUCCUCCUGUUGCUUUAGCAUCCAUUGUGGAGGACCUCUCUUCUUCUGGAUGUCUGUCCACUGCCCCCACCCUGGUAAGUCCAUUCUCUCGAGUUCUUCUUGGGGACACUCCUCGUCCACUGCGGCCGCUUUUGCUUCUUGGAACUCGGCUUCCACAUCGUCUCCAGCAAAAGCCUCUCGAAUCAGAUCCUCUUGACUACGUGGAACUAUGACUUCGUCACCGUCGUAGUCGAGAUCUUCCUCUUGUUCUUCCAUGCUGUUUACAGGUUUUUUGUCCUGCUUGCGACUCGUAUCCUUUGGCAGCCCCGCAAUCGCCACUUUAAAACUUUCGUCUGCUACGCUUUUGCUGUUUGUUUCUGGCCUCACAACUUUGUCCGUGCCGAAUACUGUCGGGUUUGCGCUGAUGACCGAAUGUUUCGUCACCUGCACUCCCAUCGAGUCGCCGAUUCCUUGUUUUUGCUUUUCUUCUUUGUCUUCUCGCUCUUGUUUCCUGCUAUCGUGAUUGAUUCGUCAACUUUCGUUGUGUGCUCCACGGCAGCACUAACCUAUAUUGCCGCGUUAUCUUAUUUUGAGGAAAGAAGAGCUAUACCGGCUUACCAUUCCAUCCAGAUGGUGUUUAACGGGAGGUGUCAUACUAAUAAGCACAACACCGUACUGACGUGUCUUUCCAUGUAAUGACAACUAUUGGACACACUUUAUGUAUGCCUUUACUCUGCCUUAUUUUAUUGUGUGUUAAAGGCGCCGACCCCGCCAGCUACAUACGUAGUCCAACUUGCAACGUCUUGUCAUGACACAGCUGGCUGGGAGUUCAAAUAAUUCAGCGCUUGAGAGGUCGAGAACUCCAUGGCUACCAAAGGAGAGCUGUGCUUCAUCUUCUCGUCGAUCUUCAUCCUGGGAUUUUCUCGAGCGGAACUGUACUACAGGAAUUUCACCAGUGAAUUAAAUGGUCCCCUGUAUCCGCUUGAUCCAUCCGGCUUGAGUGGCCGCUACACUGAUUUAUGGUCCAACUACACCGACACGGACAUGAGCUUCCAGGUGUGGAUGCUGAGCUAUGACGCCACAACACCAAGAUCGUUCUUCCUGGCACUGGUUGGAAUUUGCAAUCCAAGUAAGCUCUGGGACCUCACAAAACCGGUCGUUCUGUGGAAGGCCCGUCAGACGAGGCUUGUAGGAGAGAAUGCCACUCUAGCAUUCACCACCGAUGGAGAGCUCAAGCUUGAAGAAGAUGGCGACGUUGUCUGGUCCUCCAACACCACAAACAAAGGCGUCCGGUGGCUUGCCAUAUCCGACAGCGCGACCAUAAUGCUCCUGGAUGAAAGUGAAAGCAAUGUCAUCUGGCAAAGUAGCGACGAACCUUCUGACACUGUGCUGUUGCAACGAGCGCUUAAGCCGGGAUAUAAGCUCGUAAGUUGGAAUACUUCAGAAGACAGCAGCGACGGCCUGUAUAGCCUUGUCAUGGAGAAGAACAGGCUCAAACUGUUGUACGACUCGCAACCAUACUGGAGCUUCGGUAAUAUUACCAGAGAGGAAGAUAUGUUUGCGGUCUUCUGCUGGCAGCCAAAUGGAGUCGUGUCCCUGGAUCUCCGAACUAAUUUCUCACAGAUAGCCGUUGCGGGCUUGGUACAGCCGGAGUCUUGUGCCAUACCUGGUUCUGAAGACCAAGCGAUGCAGCUGCCAAUAAACGGGUCACAGUUCACGUCCUCCACUUUCAUAAGGCUCACACCAGAUGGAGAUGUGGACCUGUACUCCUGGAAUUGGACGGGUAGCAACUGGGUGACUUAUCUCAGCUUUUCCAAUCACUUCAAGUGCUUCCUUCCAAGUGCAUGCGGGAAAUAUAGAACCUGUAAUCCAACAUUAGGUACAUGCGAAGAUACUUGUCCCGAGAGCUUUACCAAGAAAGAUGAAGAUUGCCAGCCAUCGUUUCCACUUCAGAUGUGUGAGGAGAUGGAGUAUCGAUUCGUUCGGAAGGAGGGAACUGAUUACUUCUCCACAAAUUAUACUGAUCCACUCAAUGUUGCAUCGGAAGAAGAUUGUCAAGGGCUGUGUGAGUCGAAUUGCAACUGCACGGCUGCCUUCUAUAGUGACCGGGCCUGCUUUCUCGUGCAUGGAGACGUGCAAUCACUUCGAACUGGACAAUACGUUGCGUUAUUGAAAGUUGCACAGCCACGAAAGAAUUCCAGGAAGCACGUCCAGGCCAUCACCUUGGGAGUACUUAUUCCAACAGUCGUCCUACUGAUAGUAAGCCUCGGAUGGCGCUGCCGGAGGAACAAGGAAGAUGACGACGAGGGAGAAGAAGAAAGCACCUUGCAGCUCUCUCUCAUGGCUGGCAUGCCGAGGCGUUUUAGUUACCAGGAGCUCCAGCAAGUCACAGGGAACUUCAGUGACAGACUGGGAAGCGGAGGAUAUGGAAGCGUGUUCAAAGGAAAACUUACCGAUGGAACUGAAGUCGCUGUGAAGAAACUUGAAGGCUCCAAUCAGAGGAGCAAAGAUUUUUUCGCCGAAGUUGGAAUCCUAGCCAGGACGCACCACUGGAACCUCGUCAAGCUGCUGGGAUUCUGUGCCCAAGGUCCCAGGAAAAGGCUCCUUGUGUACGAAUAUAUGAAGAACGGGUCCCUGGAGCGAUGGAUAUUUGAAGACGAUAGAAAGCCUGGCAGUUUUACAUGGGACGUUAGAUACAACAUUGCCUUGGGCACAGCAAGAGGAUUGAGUUACUUACAUGACGACUGCGCUGAGAGGAUCAUCCACCUGGACCUGAAGCCGGAGAAUGUGCUCGUCGACGAUGGUUUCCAGCCGAAGAUAGCCGACUUCGGAUUGUCCAAGCUCAUGGACAGGAAGGAAAGCCAGCUACAACUGACAAUUGCGAGAGGCACCCCUGGAUACGUCGCACCCGAGUGUGUUCAGGAAGGAACGGUGACUGAGAAAACCGACGUUUUCGGCUACGGGGUACUGCUGCUCGAGAUGUUAACAGGUUGCAAGAACAGGAACCUCUCAAGUGAUUACCUGAAGGACUUCUUGUUAGUCAGUGGACAGAACGACAGUGCUGCUGCUCACCUCCAUCAAGACGAGAAGAAAAGAGAAAGAUUGAAGAACGUUGCAGCCUUGUGCGUCCAAGACGAUCCAGAUUUACGGCCCUCGAUGAGCAACGUGGUACAAAUGAUACUGGGAGUUACUGAGCUGCCUCAAAUGCCCUCGCGAUCACAGCUGAAUUUCUUUCUUGCUUACAGAUCCAAAGAGCACUUGAACAGGAGCUCAGGCUCGGACGUCUCGCAUAGGAGUUUUGAUAAGUUGCUGGAUUCAUCGAUGUCAUCGACGUCAUUUGCAAUUUUCUCACAAAAUAGUGGUCGAUAGUUAAACCGGAGUAUAAUUUAAACGUAGGUAUAGUAUUGCCUCUGAAAAUCACAAAAUUUGUUGAGGUUCAUUCUUUGUCAAAGAAGUAAAAAUAUACCUUCGGAGGAAGUAUUUCGUCCUUGUUCAACAAGAGAAUCGCCGAUCACAAUGCUUCUAGGAGUUUUGGGUUUGGUGGUUCAGAAUCGUGUUCUUCGUUCCCUACGUCGCAGCGUCGCGCAGUGUUUCUUGCCAAGAAAAAUGAAAAGUCGCUGUUAGACUCCGCAAACCAUUACUAAACAAUACCUCACACAUGGUCACAUUGCAGUGCCGCAUUGAAUAGCAAUUAGCGUUGAAACAGUCCCGACGAGACAAUUUCCUGGCAUUACUAAAACUCAACGAUGAACAGCGGCACAAACUAUUCCUUAUCAGCUGUGUAAACGCGAACGAAUAGAUAACUUUAGUCAUACGUACUUGCGGAAAGACUUCUUCAAAGCUAAUGCUUCGAGUCGCUGGAACUCCCGAGUAUGUGAGCGCGCUCUCCAGCAACACAAGCCAUGGCUAGCAGAGAGCUGUACUUCCUCGUCUCGUUGGUCUUCAUCCUUCGCUCUGCUCAAGCGGCACAGGAAUUUCACCACCAAAAUAGAUGGUCCUUUGUAUCCGCUUGAUCCAUACGGUUUGAGUGGCCGCUACGCUGGUUUACGGUCAAAUUAUAGCGACAUAGGUAUCAGCAAGGACAUGAGUUACCAGGUGUGGAUGCUGAGUUAUAACGCUGAAACGCCAAAAUCGUUUUUCCUGGCACUCAUUGCCAUCCAAAAUCCAAGGGAGUUUUGGGAUCUCACAAGACCGGUCAUCCUGUGGAAGGCCAGACAGACGAGGCUUGUAGGUGAGAAUGCCACUUUAGAAUUUACCACAGAUGGAGAGCUUAAAGUCGAAGAAGACGGUGAUGUCGUAUGGUCCACGAAAACUGCAAACAGAGGCGACCGGUGGCUCUGCAUUUCCAAUCGCGCAACCAUAAUGCUCCUGGACGAAAGCGGAAGCAAUGUCAUCUGGCAAAGCAGCGACGAACCUUCUGAUACUGUGCUGUUGCAACGAGCACUUACGCCGGGACAAAAGCUCGUAAGUUUCAAUACUUCAGAAGACAGCAGCGAUGACAGUCUCGUCAUGGAGAAAAGCAGGCUGCAACUGUUGUACGCCUCGCAACCGUAUUGGAGUUUCGGUAAUAUUGGCAGCGAGGAAAACAUGUUUGCGGUGUUUUGCUGGCAAAACGAUGGUAACGUGUCUCUGGAUCUGCGAGCCAACUUCUCACAGAUUGAAACGAAGCGUGAUGACUUGGGCUUAGUGUUUUCCUGGUCAUGUUCCAGUCGAGGUUUAAAAGACCAAGUGAUGGAGUUGCCAAUAGAUGGGUCACAGCUCACGCCCUCCACUUUCAUAAAGCUGAAACCGGACGGGGAUGUCGUCUUGUACUCCUGGAAUUGGACGGGUACAAACUGGAUAGAUUUCUUCAGGUUUUCGACUCUCUUCAAGUGCUUUCUUCCAAGUGGAUGUGGAAGAUACAGAACCUGCAAUUCAGCAUCAGGCGCAUGCGAGGAAACUUGUCCAGAUACCUUUGCAAGAAGAGGUGAAGACUGCCAGCCACCAUAUCCCCUAGAGACAUGCGAAGACCAGCUCGAGUAUCGAUUCGUUCGAAGAGAGGGAGCUGAUUACUUCUCCACAAAUUAUUCCACUCCAGUUCCUGAAGCAUCAGUGGAGGCGUGUCAGGGGCGAACUUUCCAUGUGAGUCGAACUGCACCUGCACGGCGGCCUUUUAUAAUGACGGGAUCUGCUUUCUCACGCACGGCGACGUGCAGUCACUCCGAUCUGGGAAGUACGUUGCUCUGCUGAAAGUUGCCCGCCCUCGAAAGGUUUCCAAGACGCAACUCCAGGCCAUCACAUUGGGAGUACUUGUUCCAACACUGUUCCUGCUGAUAGUCCGUCUCGGAUGGCACUGCCGGAGGAGAAAUACGCAUGAUGACGACGAGGGAGAAGAAGAAAGCACCUUGCAGCUAUCCCUCAUGGCGGGUAUGCCCAGGCGCUUCAGUUUCCAGGAGCUUGAAGAAGUCACAGGGAAGUUCAGCAACUGCCUCGGGAAUGGGGGAUUCGGAAACGUUUUCAAAGGAUUACUUGCCGAUGGCACUGAAGUUGCUGUGAAGAAGCUCGAAGGCUCGAACCACAGAAGUAAGGACUUUUUUGCGGAAGUUGGAAUUCUAGCCAGGACGCACCACUGGAACCUCGUCAAGCUGCUGGGAUUCUGUGCGCAAGGGCCCAGGAAAAGGCUCCUUGUGUACCAGUAUAUGAAGAAUGGCUCCCUAGAGCGGUGGAUAUUUGAAGACGACAGAAUUCCUGGGAAUAUUUCGUGGAAACUUAGAUUCAACAUCCCAAUAGGCACAGCGAGAGGAUUGAACUACUUACGUGUUGAAAGGAUAAUCCACCUGGAUCUGAAGCCGGAGAACGUACUCCUCGACGAUGGUUUCCAGCCGAAGAUAGCAGACUUCGGAUUGUCCAAGCUCAUGAACAGGAAGGAAAGCCAGUUGCAGCUGACGAUUACGAGAGGCACCCCUGGCUACGUUGCACCGGAGUGUAUUCAGGAAGGAACGGUGACUGAAAAAACAGAUGUUUUCGGCUUCGGGGUUCUGCUGCUCGAGAUCAUAACAGGCUGCAAGAACAGGAACCUCUCAGGCGAUUACCUGAAGGACUACUUGUUGGUUAGUAACAGAAACGGUAGUGCCGCUGCUCACCUCUCUGAAGAAGAGAACGAAAAGGAAAGAUUGAAGAAUGUUGCGGCGUUGUGUGUUCGAGACGAUCCAAACUUACGGCCCUCGAUGAGCAAGGUUAUACAGAUGAUGGAAGGAGUUACCGAGCUGCUUCAAGUACCUUUGGAAUCGGAGCUGAAUUUCUUUUUCGCUUACAGACCCAAAGAUCAGCUUAGCAGAACCGCAGCCUCGAACGUGAAUUAUAGGAGUUCUGAUAAGUUGCUGAACUCAUCUUCCUCGUUUACUGCCUUCUCACAAUCUAGCCUGAAUGCCCGAUGAAAUUAUACGUUACAACAUUGAACGAAAAAUAUACCUUCGUUGAUUCGCUACUGCUGAAACUGUUGCGCUAAGCCAAAAACAAUGUAGCUGCAAUAUCAUUGAAUCAUCAACCUCCAAAGAAGAACAGUUAUAUCUUCUCCUAUUUGAGUUCCAGAUACUCAUAAAGGAAAUUCGUCGUCGAAGUCUGUAGAAAAAUCGUCAAUCAGUACGUGAUUCAAAACUAGAAAUUAUAAGAAACCGUUUCGAGCUUCGGCUUUCAGCAAUAGCAGGCUACAAAAAGAAAAACCUCGCGAAAUAUCCUGAAAAGCUCCAUCAGGAACACAAGAAAAGAGAAAGAUUGCCAAUCGUCAUUGCAAUGUGGGGUAAAAAGGCAAUAUUGAGCUUAAAAUCGCAGGUGAUCUUGAGAGAAAAGGAUGGAGCUCCCUCAUAAGAGUUUCGAAAAGAUGCUGAAACUAUCAAUAUCGUUCAAGGAUUUGCCACAACACGAGUCCAUCUAGAGCACAAAAAAAGGAAUAGCAAUAUUCUUAGCUUGAAGACCAAAAUUUACCAAACGAUGGACAGCGUCUCCCUGGAGCUAACACAGUUGGAGCACAACGUAAGCGCAUCACAGCACACUCUUCCUCUAUCAACGAACAGCGACCAAAGUGUGAGCGUCCAUCUAAAGCCAAAGGAAUUCUUUGUCUAGGCGAAAUAUAUCUCAGAUUUCACGGAUCUUCUGUGACGAGCUCCAGCGCCAAGAAAAAGAAAUCGCGCCAUGGCAUUGCAUUCUACAAAUUGCGAGGUUACUCAGCCGCAAGAAUCGAAACUGGAGAAAGCAAACUCAAUGAAUGAAACAUCACCUCAAAGAUCCACCAAAAUGCUCGAUCAAUGCAACAUUGCGCCGACCUCCACGGAAAUGCGAUGUUAAAGCUCUCGAUCGGCAGAAAUCCAUGAGCCAUUCAUAAACCCUAGAACACAAACCCACUUUAAGAGGCCUUAACAGGUCCCGCGUUCGACUCUAGCAAGGUUUUAUUAUUUAGCCACGUAUGAUCCAAAAGAUUCUAGCUAGCCGAUUUCACAGCGUCUCGCAGCCUCGCGUAGUCCUCGAGCUUGUUGUAAAUCUGGUGAGAAACUCUCGCGUACGCCGUCCCGGAUCUCUUGCUCUUCGAAUUCGCGCUGGGCGAUCCCCCUGCCUGAAAGCAAAUCGGGACCUCCACUCCAAACUCCCUCCUCAUCUCCAGAACCUCACCACCACCGCGAUGUAAGGCCACACCUUCCCGUUCACCAGAAUGCUAUCACCAAAGUAGUCCGGACACCACUGCGGAUGAACUGCCGGAUUGCUCCCAACAUUGGGAUAGUUUAUGGAGCCAUCACUGAAGAACUGCUUGUCUUGGAUCACCAGAAGCACGUAGUCUCUCGGGACCCAGGAUGGAUCUUCCCAUGGCGACUCUAUCACGUAAAGUCCGACUAAGCCAGCAGCCAUGUUGAGCCGGGUCAUGCCGUAAGUGUGGUCGUGAUACCACAGGAGCGAGUGGCGCUGAAAGCUGGGAUAGACGUAGUUUUGCGUCACGUAACCCGGGUCCCGCUCGCCAACUGAUGUAAACCAGGCUUCUGGAUGCCCGUCCGACCAGCUCUCUUGUCCAUGGAGAUGAGUGACCACCAGAAUGUAGCCGUAGCGCAGACCCGCCCCUAGAAUCGUAUAGUUGACUGGAAGAAAAAGUACACAAUCUUUCCCAUGGGACAAAGGAUGUUUGUCUCUUUUGGGCUCUCAAAGUUGGACCUGAUAUGAAGCUGUAUACUCGCUCAUGCCGAAUGCAUUCAGUGUUGUUGGUGGCAAGUCUCUGUGCAGUUUCUGCGUCAACAAAAAAAAACGAGUCUUGGAAGAGUCUGGAAAUCAAGUGGAGAAAGAACGCAUACCUGGGUGAUUUUGUAAGCUCCAAUGGUAACUCUGUAGCGUGGGCUCAAGUAUAUCUUCAGUGGGGUUGGAAGAACGUGGAUGAACUUUUCCAGCUCCGGGGACGGUGGCAGUUGCAGACAGACCUCAUCUGCUUCUACUGUGAUGCAAAUGUCAAGGAUGAACAGCGUUAUGAACUUCCAAGACAUUGGGAAUUCUAUGGCACGGGUGCUGCGUGAAAAAAGACUGUACAGUGUGAUAUUGCAUUUGCCAGGUGGCAACAUUUGAUUGGCCUGCCAUAAUUAUGUUGCUAUUAUGUACAUUGGAUGAAUGCUUUUAAUGGUCAUCCAUACAUGCCUACAUAGUACAUAUCUGCUCAUCCUUUGAUUAGGGUCAUUUUUAAGGCGAGGACUAGCAGGACAUCUUGAGGGUGGGUUCUUUCAAGGUUGGGGGACAAGAGAUUGAUUCCUUGGAGGUGGGGAGUAAAGUCUGAGCGUGCGGGGUGUUUGGCAGACGCUAUGACUGGAAAGGUGUGUUUUCUUUGAGGCUUUGUUGUUGUGAGCACAUGAGUCCAUGAAUGAGAAUGGAUCCUAGUUUUGGUGGAGAUGAGGGGUAGCCACAUUGCUGAAUGCUCCCAUGAGCAGUGUGUGGCUAUCCUUCAUUCUCAGACCAUGCAGGAAGCUUGAUGAUGCUAAAUUGAGCAACACAAGUUGUUGGUAAUUUGAGCAAAGUAGAGUCAAUGAGAGGCUUCUAUGGCAUUAGAGACUUUCAAUGAGGAUGCCAAGGGCAUUGUUGGAAAGUGAUGCCAAUAGAAACACCCCAUGUGCAAGUCUCACCAUGGCUAGUGGUGUGGCAGGUUUUUUGAGUGGAAACUAUGGAGGCAAAUAUGGCUCACGAGGGUUUUCUGAUGGAAGAAAUGAGAAAUGUGAGUGAGGAGCUGCCUAGAAUGCAAGCUGGGAAUUCUCCUAUACUUGAUAUUUUAGAGGAGCAACUUGCAAUAGUGGUUUCUACUAUUCUCAAGAGUCUUGAGAUGAUGCGUCAUCUCAUUGGCACUAGAAGCUCAAGUCUUGGCCAAUGAGCUCUUUUCAUAGGGAAGGCUCCACACCCAGCCAGGCUGAAAUAUCCCACAUUCCAACUUGGAGAUGAUUUUGAUAGUUACCUGGAUGUAUUUGAUUGCACGGCUUAUAACAAUCAGGUAAUAGGCCAUGAAUAAAUAAAUGCUUUCUGUAUGGCUCUCUCAAGAGAGGUAUAGAGAAUGUUUAUCACACAUUAUGCUCGAGAUCAAAUGGUGUCUUGGGAUAAGGCCAUAGCUUUGGCCAGGAGGCUCUUCAUCAUUAUAACUUUUGAACUUAUCAACACAAGAAAUUAUCAAAAGGGCAAAACUAUGCAGCAAUAUUGGGUUGUGCUAUAACUGGCUGCCACAUAUAUCUUUGAUGACAUUGACAAGGCAAAGAGGAUGGCAAAGCAAGCUUUUUAUCGAGGCUUUCUUGAGGAUCUGCAGCCUUAUUUGAUCACAGCAAAAACGAGAUUUGUGGACAAGUUGCUUUCUGUGGCAGCAAAAGCAUUAAAAAAGUGGAAACCCAAAGCAGUUACAGCAUGUGCUACUCGGCCAGAGGUACAAGAAAGUGAUGACUCAGGAGAGCAAGAGGAUUGCCACUAUAAUGCCAAAAGAGGUGAAACUAGUCUCAGAAGAACAGAUACACCAAUGGUCCUAGUGUCAAGUGGUUGGCACCCGCUAAUGGUGAAAGGGAUAAGUGACCUAGCAAAAGGAUUGAUUGUUACACUUGUGGGAAAGAAGGCCACAUCCAGUGUGACUGUACCUACAUUGCCGAUACAAUGACCUAAACCAGCAAGUUAAGGAGAAUUUAAACUAGAGCUUGCACCUAGGCAGGGAUCAGGCGCAGAUAAUGGAUACCCUGACUUAAGAGUAGUAGAAGCCAUUGCCCUUCUUUCUACAGUCACAGGAUUUCGUUGUGGUCAUGAUAUGGUUCAAUUCGCUGAGCUCAGAUUUCUCUGAGAGAGUGGUGGCCAUGGUGGACACAAGCUGUGAAGUGACGACAGUACCAGAAAAGUGGGUAACCGAGGCCUCCAAGGUGGUACCCCCCUGUCAUCAUAUAUGUAUACAACGAUGAGUUAUAUACACCUCGAGGUUUAGUCGACCUUGAUCUGAAGGUUGGGGACACAGCAAUGAGGAGAUGCAACAUUGUUGGGACUUAAUUGGAUGAAUGAUGUAGGUGCGAAGAUUGAAAUAAGGGAGAGGCAACUCACUUUCUCCGAUGGUCACAGACCUAUGAAGUUGGGGGGUCUGCUUAAACCUAAAUCUUCACGCAAAGCCUUUCAUUGCACUUCCGAGUUUAAAACAUUUGCUCCAAUCAAGCAAGGGAUGUAUCUGUGGAAGGAGCCAUGCAAAGAGGCAGUUACGAACGAAGUAUUUUUGGUUGAUCGAAAGGUGGUGCUACUAAAAGCGGAAGUAGACAUUAUGAUUCCUCCUAUGUCACAGGCAUUUGUCCCAACACAAUUCUUUAUUUGUUGCUGCAAGGGAACAUUCAUACGCUUGUGGUCCUCAUAUCAGGCACUCCAGAGAGGCAUGUCAGUAGCUAAUGGAAUAAUUAGUUCUGUAUAUAAGGACAAGCCUAGCAUCCUUAUGGCAAACUUGAAGACCUCCACAGUGAACGUCAAGUCGGGUGAUCCUAUAGCUGAGGCAGCAUGCAAGGAUAUCUCGGACAUUGUGUGCUAUACAGCUGCUUAUGGUCUGGAUGCUCUUGGAUUGCCAGACCCAUACAAAAAUUAUGUUGGGGGAGCGAGCUGUAUGUCAUCGGAAAAGCUGCCACUAGGCUCUAAAAUUCCUUGGGAGGAUAAAAGGAGAACUAAAAGUUGGAGAUAUGCUCUCAGGUACGGAUCUCAUUUCUGAAUUUGAUGAGUUGCUGUGGCAGUACUGGGAGAUUUUUAGUACUGGAACUCUUGACCUGGGCAAAACUAAUAUGCUUCGUCGUGAGAUCCAUACUUCCUCAAGCAGGCCUAUCAAGCAGCAUGCAUACCGUGAAACUCCCAAACAGAGGAGAUUAAGAAAAUGUUAGAUGCUGACGUAAUUGAGCCUUCAUCAUCACCCUGGGCAUCGCCGGUGGUUCUCGUCGAGAAAAAGGAUGGCACAACCAGAUUCUGCGUUGAUUAUCGCAAGUUGAACCCUAUUUCUAAGCGUGAUGUUUAUCCAGUACCGCGAAUAGAUCAUACACUCGACCAGCUUGCUGGUGCACAGGUAGAUGUCCGAGAGAGAGGUAUGCUGGUACUUAUGUGUUGUAACUCAGGUGUUUUCCUUCUAGCCUCUAGCUUCUGGCAAGUGCCUAUGAGAAGAGGAUAAGGAGAAGACAGCUUUUACAUGCCGGGAUGGUCUGUACCAGUUCAAAAGCAUGCCUUUUGGGCUAUGUAACGUAAGUGCUACUUUCAAAGACUUAUGGACCGUGUCCUCGGUACGCUCAGAUGGGAAUUGUCACUUGUCUAUAUAGACGACGUUAAUGUCUAUUCUCGGGGAGUAUGUAGCCUCAUCACAGACCUCAGAAAGGUAUUUUCCAGAUUGAAAGCAGCAGGUCUGAAGAUUAAGCCAAAGAAAUGUCACUUCUUCAUGCGCGAAAUUAAGUUUCUUGGACAUGUGGUGUCUAGCAAAGGAAUUGCUCCGGAUCCUGAGAAAAUAUCAGCAGUGAAGGAGUUUCCUAUUCCUGAGGGAAAGAAGCAGGUCCACGAGUUCUGAACUCUAAUGCCUUGGUGCAGAUUAAAGCCUUUCUUGGUCUGGCUGGCUAGAUUUAUCAACAAAUUCGCAGAAAGGGCUUCUAAAGCAGUCGGAGCGGAUGGCUUGGGGUGCCGAGCAGCAGAACACCUUUGAAGAACUAAAGCGGGAGCUGUGCAAGGAGCCUAUAUUAUCUUAUCCUGAUUGUAGGUAUUGUAGUUGCCUGGUGAUGUAUUGAUGCAAUGCGCCAUAUCAGCAAUAUUGGCAUAGAUUGGGAAUGGGAAUGCGGAACAUCCCAUUGCUUAUUAUAGCAAGCGCUCAAGGCUCUUCAAGGCUCAGGAUCACUCUCAGGCUGUCUCCAGUGAUGGUCGAUUUACUUAAUGGGAUAUGACUAUGAAAUUGUCUACAAAAGAGGCUCAAAAACUCGAAAGCAGAUGGGUUAUCCAGAGCUUUUCACAGCUAGACUGUCUCACAAAUUUGUUGAAUUUCCUUGUUAUAUUUCUCAUGUUUAAUCGCAUUGGCAAUAUUUAUCAUUCCUGUUCUGGGUUGUAGUUGCGUGAGCAUCCCUAUUUGGACUUGAUUAUUUAAGUGUGUGGGUCGGUUGAAGUAGUUAUCCCUGCUUUGGACUUCAGAUGGAUCGCAAAGAAUACAAACUGCACCUGGCCUUCGCUGAAUCGGGAGAGAUUGUUCUUGGCAUUGACAAGUCAGUGAGGAGAAAACUCAAUCGAGGAAGAGAUAAGUUUGGUGUGCUAGAUGGCAAGCUAAUGUACAUCGCUUCAAGGGAGCUGAAUCAAUACCUGGUAGUUCAGCGGGAUGAGGUCGAUGAGCUCGUGCUAAGAUACCAUGCUUCCUCUUUAUCGGGUCAUUUGUCACGGAACAGGAUCCUAGAUGAUUUACAGCAGCAUUACUGGUGGAUUGGUACGAGGAAUGAUGUUGAUCGGGUUACAGUUUGCAAGAUCUCUAAUGCUCCUAUGCGGUCAUCUAUAACCUCAGAAUUACAGCCACUGCCAAUUGGAGGGCCUUUUGCAAGGGUGGGACUUGAUUUCGUUGAACCUUUCAACUUCCCCUCCAGACAUGGCAACUGAUAUUUUGUUGUUUGCAUGGACUACUUCUCUAAGUGGGUUAAGGCACGAGCAGUAAAUGACAAAUCUACUCAGACUGCUGUGGAAUUUAUCUACGAGGAUGUUAUCUUAAGACAUGGAGUCCCAGAGCAGAUCCUUACUGACAGGAUAAAGGAGUUUUGCAGUGAGGCAUUAAUGGGUGUGAAGCACACCCUGACAGGAAGAUUAAAACCUUCAACUAAUGGCAUGGUAGAGCACUUUAACAGGACAUUAGAAAAGACGAUCUCAGUAAAUAUUUUGCUCAAGAAAGGGGAGUGGGACAAUGUUUUGCCGGAAGUACUCUUUGCUUACAGAACAACAAGACAGGAGUCCACAGGUUUUUCACCUUUUGAGAUGAUUUACAGGAGAAGAGCGAAGAAACCUGCUCACCCUGGAUUAGAUCUCACCGCAACCAAUGAUGGUAUUGAAUCCCAGAACUAUGUUGGAGAAAGCUCGAAUCACAGGGCAAUCUUGGAAGAAAGAGCAAGAGCAAACAUUGAACAGGCACAAGCUCGUUAUUCAAGGAACUACAAGAAAAGAAUCAAUGAUCAUCCCUUUGGUGUUGGAGAUUCUGUCAUGGCCAAAGUUGUGGUGCAAGGCAUCCUAGGAAGGAAGUGUUCUUCACGGUACGAUGGGCCCUAUUUGGUAAUAGAUCAGCCAACUCAAGCUAAGAUGACAAUUUUGGCUCAGCAAACAGAGAGUGCAAUGCCAGGGACAGUGUUAUCCACAGAAUUACGAUUCUCUAAUUUGAUAUUCGACAGCAAUGUUAGAAGUCCUGGAGAGCGUUCAAUCAGACCCAUGUUUUUUCAAGUCUCUCCUUCAAAAACGAGGAAAUGACUACAGACAUUAGUCUAGGAGUUGUGUGAGAACACGAGUGACCGCUACAACGUUUUCACGCAGAGAAUAUCCGCGAAAAAUAUUCUUCCAGAUGAAUAAAGGAAUGCCACAUGUCCUUAUUUUCAUGUAGUACGGUCAUUUUUUGGCAGACGCCAUAAAUUCCUCCAAUAUCAAGUCAGUCAAAAAGUGAAUCUGACGUAGUCCACCUUGCAAGGUCUUGCCCAAAUAGGAUGACACAGCUGGCUGGGAGUUCAAAUAAUUCGGCGCUUGAGAGGCCGAAAAAAUAAUGGCUAGUAAAGGAAAGUUGUGCUUCAUUGUCUCGUCGAUCUUCAUCCUGCGUUUUGCUCAAGCAGAAAUAUGCUACUCGAACUUCACCACCAAGAUAAAUGGUGCCUUGUAUCCGCUUGAUCCAUACGGUUUGAGUGGCCGCUACGCUGGUUUAUGGUCAAAUUAUAGCAACAUAGAUAUCAGCCAGGGCAUGAGUUACCAGGUGUGGAUGCUGAGUUAUAACGCUGAAACGCCAAAAUCGUUUUUCCUGGCACUCAUUGCCAUCCGCAAUCCAAGUGAGUAUUGGGAUCUCACAAGACCGGUCAUCCUGUGGAAGGCCCGACAGACGAGGCUUGUAGGUGAGAAUGCCACUUUACAAUUUACCGCAGAUGGAGAGCUUAAAAUCGAAGAAGACGAUGAUGUCGUAUGGUCCACGAAAACUGCAAACAGAGGCGUCCGGUGGCUCUGUAUUUCCAAUCGCGCAACCAUAAUGCUCCUGGAUGAAAGCGGAAGCAAUGUCAUCUGGCAAAGCAGCGACGAACCUUCUGAUACUGUGCUGUUGCAACGAGCACUUACGCCGGGACAAAAGCUCGUAAGUUGGAAUACUUCAGAAGACAGCAGCGAUGGCCUCUAUAGUCUCGUCAUAGAGAAAAACAGGCUGCAACUGUUGUACGCCUCGCAACCGUACUGGAGCUUCGGUAAUAUUACCAGCGAGGAAGAUAUGUUUGCGGUGUUCUGCAGGCAAAACGAUGGUAUCGUGUCUCUGGAUCUGCGAGCCAACUUCUCACAGAUUGAAACGAAUCGUGAUGACUUGGGGUUGGUGUUUUCAUUGUCAUGUUCCAGUCGAGGUUUAAGAGAUCAAGUGAUGGAGUUGCCAAUAGAUGGGUCACAACUCACGCCCUCCACUUUCAUAAAGCUGAAACCGGACGGGGAUGUCGUCUUGUACUCCUGGAAUUGGACGGGUACAAACUGGAUAGAUUUCUUCAGGUUUUCGACUCUCUUCAAGUGCUUUCUUCCAAGUGGAUGUGGAAGAUACAGAACCUGCAAUUCAGCAUCAGGCGCAUGCGAGGAAACUUGUCCAGAUACCUUUGCAAGAAGAGGUGAAGACUGCCAGCCACCAUAUCCACUAGAGACAUGCGAAGACCAGCUCGAGUAUCGAUUCGUUCGAAGAGAGGGAGCUGAUUACUUCUCCACAAAUUAUUCCACUCCAGUUCCUGAAGCAUCAGUGGAGGCGUGUCAGGGGCGCUGUGAGUCGAACUGCACCUGCACGGCGGCCUUUUAUAAUGACGGGAGCUGCUUUCUCACGCACGGCGACGUGCAGUCACUCCGAUCUGGGAAGUACGUUGCUCUGCUGAAAGUUGCCCGCCCUCGAAAGAUUUCCAAGACGCAACUCCAGGCCAUCACGUUGGGAGUACUUGUUCCAACAAUGUUCCUGCUGAUAGUCUGUCUCGGAUGGCACUGCCGGAGGAGAAAUAAGCAUGAUGACGACGAGGGAGAAGAAGAAAGCACCUUGCAGCUAUCCCUCAUGGCGGGUAUGCCCAGGCGCUUCAGUUUCCAGGAGCUUGAAGAAGUCACAGGGAAGUUCAGCAACUGCCUCGGGAAUGGAGGAUUCGGAAGCGUUUUCAAAGGAUUACUUGCCGAUGGAACUGAAGUUGCUGUGAAGAAGCUCGAAGGGUCGAACCAGAGAAGUAAGGACUUUUUUGCGGAAGUUGGAAUUCUAGCCAGGACGCACCACUGGAACCUCGUCAAGCUGCUGGGAUUCUGUGCGCAAGGACCCAGGAAAAGGCUCCUUGUGUACGAGUAUAUGAAGAAUGGCUCUCUAGAGCAGUGGAUAUUUGAAGACGACAGAAUUCCUGGGAAUAUUUCGUGGAAACUUAGAUUCAACAUCGCAAUAGGCACAGCGAGAGGAUUGAACUACUUACACGAUGACUGUGUUGAAAGGAUAAUCCACCUGGAUCUGAAGCCGGAGAACGUACUCCUCGACGAUGGUUUCCAGCCGAAGAUAGCAGACUUCGGAUUGUCCAAGCUCAUGGACAGGAAGGAAAGCGAGUUGCAGCUGACGACUACGAGAGGCACUCCUGGCUAUGUUGCACCAGAGUGUAUUCAGGAAGGAACGGUGACUGAAAAAACAGAUGUUUUCGGCUUCGGGGUUCUGCUGCUUGAGAUCAUAACAGGCUGCAAGAACAGGAACCUCUCAGGCGACUACCUGAAGGACUACUUGUUGGUUAGUAACAGAAACGGUAGUGCCGCUGCUCACCUCUCUGAAGAAGAGAACGAAAAGGAAAGAUUGAAGAAUGUUGCGGCGAUGUGUGUUCGAGACGAUCCAAACUUACGGCCCUCGAUGAGCAAGGUUAUACAGAUGAUGGAAGGAGUUACCGAGCUGCUUCAAGUACCUUUGGAAUCGGAGCUGAAUUUCUUUUUCGCUUCCAGACCCAAAGAUCAGCAAAGAGCCUCGAACGUGAGUUAUCGGAGUUCUGAUAAGUUUCUGAACUCAUCUUCCUCGUUUACUGCCUUCUCACAAUCUAGCCUGAAUGCCCGAUGAAAUUAUACAUUACAACAUUGAACGAAAAAUAUACCUUCGUUGAUUCGCUACUGCUGAAACUGUUGCGCUAAGCCAAAAACAAUGUAGCUGCAAUAUCAUUGAAUCAUCAACCUCCAAAGAAGAACAGUUAUAUCUUCUCCUAUUUGAGUUCCAGAUACUCAUAAAGGAAAUUCGUCGUCGAAGUCUGUAGAAAAAUCGUCAAUCAGUACGUGAUUCGAAACUAGAAAUUAUGAGAAGAAACCGUUUCGAGCUUCGGCUUUCAGCAAUAGCAGGCUACAAAAAGAAAAACCUCGCGAAAUAUCCUGAAAAGCUCCAUCAGGAACACAAGAAAAGAGAAAGAUUGCCAAUCGUCAAAAAGGCAAUAUUGAGCUUAAAAUCGCAGGUGAUCUUGAGAGAAAAGGAUGGAGCUCCCUCAUAAGAGUUUCGAAAAGAUGCUGAAGCUAUCAAUAUCGUUCAAGGAUUUGCCACAACACGAGUCCAUCUAGAGCAUAAAAAAAGAAAUAGCAAUGGACGCGAUUCUUAGCUUGAAAACCAAAAUUUACCAAACGAUGGCCUGGAGCUAACACAGUUGGAGCACAAAAGUAAGCGCAUCACAGCGCACUCUUCCUCUAUCAACGAACAGCGACCAAAGUGUGAGCGUCCAUCUAAAGCCAAAGGAAUUCUUUGUGUAAGCGAAAUAUACCUCAGAUUUCACGGAUCUUCUGUGACGAGCUCCAGCGCCAACAAAAAGAAAUCGCGCCAUGGCAUUGCAUUCUACAAAUUGCGAGGUUAAUCAGCCGCAAGAAAUCGAAACUAGAGAGAGCAACUCAAUGAAUGAAGUGUCACCUCAAAGAUUCACCACAGUGCUCGAGCAGCAUUGCGCCGAUCUCCACGGAAAUGCGAUGUUAGAGCUCUCGAUCGGCAGAAAUCCAUCGCAUUUUCCGAGCUCCAUCCCUGGCCCAUUCAUAAACCCUAGAACACAAACCCACUUUAAAAGGCCUUAACAGGUCCCGCGUUCGAUUCUAAGCAAAGGUUUAUUAUUUAUCCACGUAUGAUCCAAAACAUUCUUCGCAAUCUAGCGAGCCAAGGAUUUCACAGCGUCUCGCAGCCUCGUGUAGUCCUCGAGCUUGUUGUAAAUCUGGUGAGAAACUCUCGCGUACGCCGUCCCGGAUCUCAUGCUCUUCGAAUUCGCGCUGGGCGAUCCCCCCGCCUGGAAGCAAAUCGGGACCUCCACUCCAAACUCCCUGCGCAGCCUCGUCCUCAUCUCCAGCGCCGCCUCCUCGCUCGCCACUUCCAGCUUCGCCGGGAGCUCCACCAUCGCCAUGGACGAAGCAAGCUCGGCACACGUCCCACACUGCGUCCCCCACGCCGCCGCGAGCAUCUCCGCCAUCGCCAUCGCCCCCCGGUGAUUGAAAGCGAUGAGACUGGAGAGGCCACCUAGAUUCCCAUCGAUGAACUCCACCGCGGCGGUCACGGCGAGCUGGGAGCUGUAGUCUCUCGUCCCCACCCAAGAACACUCGCUGAAGAGCCCCAGCUUGAAGUUGUGAGACACCACCGGGUGGUGGAGGCGCUCCAGAUGCUUGGCCUUGGCGUGGAGGAACGCGACGCUGUGUGGAGCGAAGAGCCACUUGUGGAGAUUGCUCGAGUAGUAGUCGGCGUCGAUCUCCUCCAUGCUCAGCUCGAUGUUGCCGAUCGCGUGAGCGCCAUCCACGAAGAUCUGCUCCACUCCAGCGUCGCGGCAAAGGGCGACGAGAUCUCGCGCCGGGAGAACCACCGAUGGCAUCGAGGUGAUGUGGUCGAUCACCGCCAGCCGGAUGGUGGUGGAGCUCUUGGCGGCCUGCUCCAGCGAUCGCUGGAAGCUGUCGAUGAUCUGCCGGGCGGAGAGAAUUGGAAGCGCGAGCUCCACCUCGAUGAUCCUCGCGCCUGCGCGAACAGCGUAGGCCUCGAAGCACUUCUUCACGGCGGCAUAGCUGCAGUUGAGCAUGAGGAUGGCGUCGCCGGGGUGGAAUCUCUUCUCCAGGAAUCCCCACGCCAUGUCCUGGGCGAUCAUCGCCGCCGCCGUGGUCACGUUGUCCACCAGGACGAUCUCCUCCACGUCGGGGGCGCGGAUGAUGGACGCGAUCGCCUCCCGCGACGCGCGCAAUCCCUUCUCCAGGGGGCCGAAGUAGAACUCGUCCGGCUGCUCCAGCCACUGCCUGUGCCACCGCUGCUGCGCCUCCAGGACCGAUCGAGGACAGCUCCCAAAGCUCCCAUUGUUGAUUCUCGCGAUUCCUUGCCUGUGGUGCGAGAAUUCGCGAGCCAGCAUCUCCUCCCAGAUCUUGCCGGAUUCCACAAUCGGCAUUCUCUGGAUACUCCCGGCCUCUUGCCCUUGCAUCGACACAGUCAUGGCGCCGCGCCCUCGAUCGAUCAAAAAUCCCUACCCUCGUCGCGGGGAUCAAUCCAGCACAACAGCACUGGAUUUCGCCCUUCCUAGAAGAAUCUACAAACUCACAAUCUCGCGAGAAAUAGGUCGAGUUGCCCUGCCGCCAUAGCUCAAGCUUCUGCCCUUAAAAACGAGCCUCUUAUUCCCUGGAUAUUCUCAAUUGUCCGUUAUUAUAUGAAGGAAUCCAUCGUCUUGGAAAAUGACGUGCAUGCAUUAAGCUCAAUGGCUUUGCAUAUGCUAUUUGCAUAUGCCCGGAUAUCCAAAGAAGCUAGCUUUGCAGCAAAGGCAAAACAAUUCCUCCACGAAAGAAGGAAUCGAUCGAUCAAAAAAAUUGUUGCCAUAGCUUUUCGAGAUGCUUGCUAUCCUGCGAUAGAAGAAUAACAAAGAUUGUUAGAUCUCGAUUCCUCUGGAGAAAGAUCGUCAAACCUUUGCUUGUGUUAUUCGAGACGCUAUCGCCCAUCCUGUGAUAGAAGAGUAACAAAGCUUGUUAGAUUGCAAUUCUUCUUUAGAAAGAUCAUCAAACCUUUGCUUGCGUUUUCGCUUUCCUGGAAUCCCGUGCUCCGUGCGAGUUACUUUCUUGCUUGCGUUUUCUCUUGCCGACGUCCUCGUACUCGAUUGGAUCGAUUAUCACUCCCGCUCGUUUGAUUAUCUGCGUGGUAAUCACGUUUACAAUCAAAUCAAAACAGGAAGAUCGAGAAACAGUAAGAAAAGCAAAGCUUACAGAUGGUCGUGUCAAGUCCUGAAAAGCUUUGGUUGGGUUGUAAUCACGCCCCAAUGGCAUCCGCAUUGUUUUCUCGAAAACUUCUCUCGAUGUGUAGGGGAAUGGCAGCGACGACGACAGGAACUUUGCAGCCUGUUACACAGAGAAGUGAGCAAAGAAAAGGAAGAACAAGAAAACCUACCUUCUUAUCAGUCUUCUGGCUGAUGAUGACGUGCUUGAGCUUUGCAUCCAGUCUCCGCUUCUCGGCCUCUUCUUUCUUUCGCUUGGCCUCCUCCUGUUGCUUUAGCAUCCAUUGUGGAGGACCUCUCUUCUUCUGGAUGUCUGUCCACUGCCCCCACCCUGGUAAGUCCAUUCUCUCGAGUUCUUCUUGGGGACACUCUUCGUCCACUGCGGCCGCUUUUGCUUCUUGGAACUCGGCCUCCACAUCGUCUCCAGCAAAAGCCUCUCGAAUCAGAUCCUCUUGACUACGUGGAACUAUGACUUCGUCACCGUCGUAAUCGAGAUCUUCCUCUUGUUCUUCCACGCUGUUUUCCUGCUCUGGUACAGUUUUUUUGUCCUGCUUGUGACUCGUAUCCUUUGGCCGCCCCGCAAUCGCCACCUUAAAACUUUCGUCUGCUACGCUUUUGCUGUUUGUUUCUGGCCUCGCAACUUCGUCCGUGCCGAAUACUGUCGGGUUUGCACUGAUAACCGAAUGCUUUGUCACCUCCACUCCCAUCGCAUCUUCAAGUCUAGUCGCCGAUUCCUUGUUUUUGCUUUUCUUCUUCUUUUUCUUCUUCGUCCUCUCGCUCUUGUCUCCAGCUAUCGUGAUUGGUUCGUCAACUUUCGUGGUGUGCUCCACGGCAGCGCUAACCUGUAUGAACACAUUAGUCUUAUUUUCAGGAAAGAGGAGCUAUACCGGCUUACCAUUCCUUCUAGAUCAACAUCCUCAAUAUCAACGGCAUUGACAGGAACAGGAUCAGAUUUUCUCUUUUUCUCCUUCCUCGUGACUAAUAGCAUCUUCGUUCCCAUCAACGGAGAUUCAUCUUCUGAGUUUUCACUAUCGGUUCCACGCUCGACCAUGUCAUCUUCUUCAUCGAUAGCUUUCAUAGCGGACACCUUGUCUGCGUGGCCUCCAAACGACAGUUUCCCUUUUAAUGGGCCAGUUUCCUGGCUGGGACCAGCAUCGUCAGCUCCAGCAGAUUCAAGUUCUUCUAACACUGCUCGGGCCUCAUCUUCUGCUUCUUUUCUCUUUUUCUCAAUCGCACGGACCUGAAAGAAAGUGGUAGAAGUAAAGAUGAGUUCAAUUAAAAUGCAUGAGUAUUUACCAUGAAUGGAAGAGCAAAGAUACCAGUAGUCGGUAGCUCGGUGUCGUUGGUUCCUUCUUCCAGUGCUUUCAACGUAGCGACCUUGGCUUUGGCUAGCACUCUUGAUCCAGGCUUUUCUAGCACAAGUCCCGGCUCAUCAUCCUUAUCACUGUCGUCUUCCUCGUCCUCGUCACUGCUACUGCUCUCAGACUUGGCAGAAUGAAUUUUUCUCGUCAACAACGCGUGCUCACGGAGCUGCUCUGUGAUAGCCUCUCUUGUUCCCUCAUUGUGUUGCUGCAAGCCACGCUUUAGAAUUCUUUUUGCCCAGCGAGACGUGUUUUUGUGUUUCAAUGUCAUGCGCUCCUGCAAAACAGGAAGAUUAGUAAGUCAUCUGGAUACAGGAGACUAAAACUUUUACCCUUGCACGAUUCAACUCCUGCUUCAUAGUUUCCUCGAGUUGUACGUCAGGAUCAUCCGCCAACAUAUCUGCUUUGGUCUUCUGCGAUUUCCUCGCAAGCCGAUGAAACGUUUUGGACUUGAUCUUUUUUACUCUCUUGGCUCUCUCCUCGUGACGGAAUAGAAGAUUACGCAUUUUAGCAAGUCUCUCUUGACGAUCCCUGACUUCAUCAACCGAUAGCUGCACAAAAAUAACGCUAGUAAUUUACCAGAGGAAACAUCAAAGAGCCAACCAAUACCUUGUUAAGCUCGAGGCUUUCCUUGGCCUCAAUUUGAGAAGGAUCGGCCACACCGUUUUCCUUUAGCAAAGCUGCCACCUCCUUCUCAAACGCUGUCGAAGGCUUGAAAUCAGCGACCAUCGACGUCGUUGAUGAAAGGGCGACGUUUACUUUGUCAAUAAACUUCAGUGUAGAGGCUUCACGAUUCCUUUUCACGAUCGGCUGCCACUUGCUGAUGUCCUCAACAGUUUUCUCGUAGCCAGCUUGUCUAUCGAUCUUCUCCUGAAUAUUUUUCGGCAGCGGUACCGACACCGGAGCCGCACUCUUUUGCAGUGAUCGAACCCGUUUCUUGAGCGCAUUAAAUCCAGGCUUUUCCUGGAGUGGAGCCAGCAAAUCCUCAACAGUGAUUGGCACUUCUUCAUUCUUAUCAUCCAUGUAGCUGAUAUCUUCCUUGACCUUCUUAGCUACGUAGACAAAGAGCAGUCUUUUAGCCAUAGCUGAGAGAGAAUAGAAAAGCACGUACCAUGUCGGUUCGCUUUACCAGUGACUUCCAUGAGCAUUCUAUCAUGGAGUUCUUCCUGAUCUCCUUCUUCUUCGUCUCCCUCGUCAUCUUCAUCGUCGUCAUCUUCCAGUGAUUUAUCAUCCAAAGUUCCAACAUUCUCCUCUCCAGACGCAGCACCUUCAUCGAUCUCCUCGUCCUGCAAACGCCCCACAUUCAAUUCCAGAAGCAAAACAAACACAAAAUCUCACCUCGAAAUCCGAUGGAAGCUCGUACUCCAGCUUGUCCACCUGGUCAAACCGCCUGUUCUUCCCGGACUCCUCCUGCGGCACACCCUCUUGGUACUCGUACAAAUCGCUGGCAACCGAAUCGGGCUCAUCCGCCGGCUUGCCGGAUUUGCGAGAAUGCCGCCUCUUGCGAUCAUUCAGAUCCAGCGGCAGGCCAAUCUCCUUGAGAAGACGCGAUGGGUAAUUUGGCCCGGCAUCCCUGCCCUUGCCUCUUCCUCCCCUGCCUCUUCCUCCCCCUCCCCUUCCUCUUCCCCGCUUGGGCGCCAUACCUAAACCCUAAACCUUCACAAAAAACUUAACCAAAUAACCAUUCCACCUUUGUUAAAAAACUUACCAAACACAAGAACUUUCGUCCUGUGGCUUUUGCGUUCCAUCGUUCCAUCGUAAAGCUUUAGUAUGGUCCCAUGCCAUCUAUCUAUCUAUGUAUUUAUCUAUCGUUAUGAUCCACAUGGAGAAAUAUUACAAACCAAAAGCCAUGAAGUACCUUCACUCCAAUUGCGAUAGAAGAGCCAAAGUUUCUCUUCACUCGAAGAACAAAGAAGCAUAGUGGCAAACUAUUAAAAAAAAAAACACAUUACAAAAGCAUAACAAAGCUUGGUGAAACACAUUCAUUGUGGUGGUUUUCCGGGCUGGAUUUGAUUAUUUUUGGUGUGAUGGUAGAUCUGGCACACUUGAGGAAGAGAUUCCAGUGGCGAGGUGCUGUGCAUUUCGCUGGAUCAUAAAUUUCCGUUGUGCUGCAUGACUUUGAGGUACUUCUGGGACUGCACAGCGCAGGCUCUAAGCAAGUUGGGGAUCCUCCACAGACCUUAUCACAGAUUCUUGUGCUCCUCUUUACAUCGUGUUCGGUAGGAGAUACGAACACUGAACACUUUCUUUGAGCCUGCUUCCAUAGGAGUAGCCACCGGAUUAGCGUUAAGCAUGGAGAUGGAUAGAUUUAACCAAAUAAAUAUCAAAGAACUUCAUAAAAACUUUGUGCUCGUUUGAUUACAAACCAAAAGCCAUGAAGUACCUAUCUUCAUUCCAGAUGCAGCUGGUUCAAAACAGCGGUGCUGUUCUCAAACUCUCUCUUCACUUUGACGCGCUCGAAGAACACCGGACAAUCUAGCGAGACGCACAGCACCUCGCCACUGGAGUCUCCUCCUCCACAAGUGUGACAGAUCUACCAAAAACAAAAUCAGUUCCAGCCAGGAAAAA
Molecule: long non-coding RNA, 90355 nt
Filed under: Selaginella moellendorffii
Lineage: Eukaryota; Viridiplantae; Streptophyta; Lycopodiopsida; Selaginellales; Selaginellaceae
Description: long non-coding RNA (SMOE_LNC000868)
Rfam family: tRNA (bases 20276-20349)
Source: RNAcentral